GUGCAAUAACCCGAUGACCAAUCGGGAAGCGAGCUGAACGAAGCAGGAAGCGUGACAAAUGCAACAGUAGCUACGAUAGUUAACGCGAAGCGCGAGCUGAGGUGGACGUCGGAAAGACAGAAGGUGAAACGCGAAAGUUCACACAUUGUAUUAGGUAAAAGAAGUCGCAACCACAAUGACAAGCGGAGGGGAUUGAAAGAAAUCGCUACUCUAAUAGACGUACUGGGAACCCAAGCAGCUAGCAACAGUUAGCUCCCGUAGUCCGACUUGUUUCCUCCAUUAGAAUCACUUUUAAAAGUUUUCAUGACUCGGGACUCCGGCUGCUACUCUACAGGACCAAAACCGCCAAAUCCUGUCAUCACUCGCCCUCAUGUGUGGAGUUUCUGACGUUUUCAAGAUCGGCCUAGAUCAUAAAAAUCUUGUAGUGUGUGCCACAUUUACGCGAACACCUCAGCGACGAUCAAAAGGCGCAGUUUGAGGCACAGCCAGCCUGCCUUUCUCCUCCAGCAGCUGCUCUGACGAUAUCUUCUCCAUGAUCAGUAUACAGGAUUCUUGGAAUGACAAGUUUUGGAGUUCUUCAUUUUCCUCAUUAAAGGAGCAAUUUCGUGAGAGCGUUACACAGACACUUUUUUGUGUGAACUGCAUUUAGAUGCUGAAUGUUGUUUUGAACGGAUAAAGUGAUUGAAAAACAUUCUCAUUGAACUUUGAAGUGCAAUGCUUCACACUCACUUAAGGCCCAGAAAACGCAGCUGGCUCUCAGAGACGUUAUUUACCUGGAAGUGCUAUAAUGACUGGAACCAUACUUGAUGCCUGCAGCUGUUUUACUGGUGAGCAAAUAUCUCCUUCUCUAAAUGUUCAACCACGAGAGAUGAUGUUGUGCUUGAGAUUAAUUCAUACAUUAAAAACAGUUGGCCUACAUGUAGUGAUCAUCUGUUGUAGGCCUGUUUUUGAUUUGUUAAUCUUUGCUUCAGAGUGCGGCUUGUUUUGAGAUUUGUGUGAUGUGUGAAAGCUUAAUUUCAUAUUCAAUUUAGUUAGUUCUAGUUUGGUAUCAGUAUUCUUGCCUCCAGCCUCGAGGCCUGUCUAAAAUCCCAUGCUGCUUGUGUGAAUUUUCAGUGUCAGAGCCAGAAUAAGUCACUGGCAAAGUUGUGUUUUUUAAAGUGUGGUGGUGGCAGCUUUGACUUCAAAGCCCCUAAAAUAGGAAUAAUAAUAAAGUGGGAUCCAAUUUGUUGCAGGAACUCGCAAAAUGCGAAGGAAGUUUGAUAAUUUUUUAUGUCUUUGGUGUUUUAAUUGACUAAACUUUUGGUGUUUUUAACAAUGCACUGUCACCAAACUUUAGCAGGACAUGGUUGUGUUGUUGAAAGAUUUCUAACUUUUCCUUGAAUUAUUUUCUUCAUUUUCCCUGAAUGAGUCAAUUAAUUCCAUUAAAGCAGCACAGAGUCUAGCGAGACUUUCAUUUCACCAGACAUGCUGCUGAGAUGAAAAUCCUUAUUUACUCCAUUUUCUGUGCUGUUAUCCCUCGGCUGCUCUUAUUCUUGUGCACAGUCUGUAAGCUGGUGCAGAUUAGUUGAGUUAUUCAUUACAGAGGGUGUCUGUUGUCGAUUGCAGAGCUUAUCCACUGUGAUUAAUGCUGGGUUUGUGUAACUAUCAAAGAAAACAAAGACUGGUCUUUUAAAGGGUCUUCUCCACUAAGGGAUACAUUGAAAAGAUAUACUUACAAUGUGUUACAUGCUGUGUGUUUUCCUGGUAAUGUUCUGUUCAUGAAUAGAUGAAGCUGCUGACGUCCCUGCUUUAUUACACGUUUCUGUUACUGCAGCUGCAUCCUCUCAAGAGAAACUGAAUAAUUCCAGUUUGUUUUUUCCCCCUCAGCUAUUAGCUGUCAUGGUCAAUAAGUGGUAUUGUUUAAAUUUAAAAAUGUGGUUGUCAUAACGACCCUUAACAUGAUUAAUUUGGAGGGACCUGUACAUUGAAUGUGUUACUUGGACAUGAAAGAUUUGUCAGUAUAUUGAUUUUUUGUGUGUGUUUGUGUAAAGCAAUGCAAGUCAACCGAGCCUGUUGAGAUUGUUUUGGUGUCUUCUGCCAAUUCCGGUUUGAUUUAUUCAUUGUUGAUACCAAAUAUUAUACAGGAGAAGUCAGCUGAUCUCAGGUAUGUGUAAAUUUGAAGUAACCUGGGAUUUGCCACUGUUAAAUUCCUCUUUACUGUGACAAGGAUACAUCACAAGUCAUUCUCUUCUACAUUGUGUGUGCUUGUCAACAUCGCCACUCACACUGGUAUGUGCACACUCAUGAAUACGCUCAUAUAUAUGCAAGUGAAGCCACUGCACUGUUGCAACUCAGUUUUAGUAUUGGAUGUGGGCAAUUCCCCGAGGCAAGGAUCUGCUCUCCACCCAAACAAUGAGGUGCAGCUUUUGCUCUCGCGGUGAACGAGGGGAAGCAAGCCCAUUCAGGAGGUCAGCUCCGAGCUGUUGACAUUGCUCCCUGGUUGCCUGUAGUCCUGGGCAGAGCCUCAUUAUCACAGGGUCUGCUUGGAAGAGAGUGGGCUUCGUUAGGAAGCAGCUGUCAGUGCUGAGGGGCGAAAGCAAAGGGAAACAGCAGAGAAAGUAGAACCUACUCUGCAGUCCAUUUGCAGUGGUGCUCAAGGGCCAGUUGGCCACAGUUGUAUAGUCUGCUUUUGUGUGUGUUUGCACAGUGUGAUUCUUACCUGUGGGUGUGUAUAAGUGUGUGUGAGGGUUGAGAGAGUCAUAUCACCUGUAUGGCAGUGUUUUCACUUAUUAUUAUUUAUCCUACGGUAUUUUAUUUCCAUCAGGAUUUUUCUAAUCUAGUCAAUUUAAUGCAAAUUUAAAAGUUGCUAUCAAUUUCUUGAAAAAAGUGCACAACAGAUGUUGAAAAAUUGUGAAACUUGCUAUCUCUUAUAGACAUGGACAGAAAGGCUCAUGACAUAAAUCUGGCGUCAUCUUGUUACAAAAAUAAAUCAGUUAUAAAAGCAACAUAUUGUUGGUCCCCACAGACAACAAAACUUGACAUGUCUUAAGUAACAAAUGUGGUUAAAUUCUUGAUUGGAACUUGAAGCUUCAUCAUCUGUGGGUAUUUUAAAACAUUUAUUUCAUGAAACAAAGUUAUUCCAAGCUGCUUGAGCUGGCAAGCUCAGUAGAAAAGGGGAAAGGAAAUAUCUUUCAUUCUUAGCAAGGGCUAGCAAGGGCUAAGAAUGAAAAAUAAUUUCGAAUGCAGUGAGCCAUUUAUCAUGCAUUAUGGGAAACAAGAUGAAAUGUAUAGUGGAGGUCUGCAGCAUGUGUCAGGUUUCAUGUCUGUCACACUCGAUCAGUGACCGCAGCUAAUGAGAUGCUACAUGCUGCCUGGGACUGGAGCUGGAAAACUGCUGUUCUGGUGCACAUUAGAAUCUGGGGAAUUCCAAAAAUCCAGCAUCUGGUGAAAAACACAGCAACCCUCUAUGGCACAGUGGUCAUUAACUUCUGGGAUUUACAGUGAUACGAUACCCUGUUGAGAAAAAGUUUUCACGGUGAUGAAAACAGUCCUUCAAACUUGACCAAUUUUCUGCCAAGCAGAGGCAACACAAGUCAGGAAAAGAAGCUUCCAAUGCCUUCCCAUUUAAUAGCUACAAAGAUAUGAAAUGUUGAUCUACAGAUGUUAAUACUACAGCUGAGCAGAUUAAGGUAUAGAUCAGCGGGUUGUUGAAAGGUAGAUGGAUUGAUAUGGUGAUGCUUGGGAAUAGUUUAGGCAUGACGUAUUAGAUUUCCAUGUUUGAACAGUUAAAGUGAUUAAAUCACGUUUGAGAGACUUGUGUAGGAAUUCAAUUGUAGAGAGAAAAAUGGACAUGAAACGAGUGAAUAUGUUAAAAAUGUCUCUGAAAUUAUAAGACUAAAACUCCAAAUCUAAAAGUUUAUUAAAAAAAACAGCUGUCACAUUAUUAUGGCAAAAAGAAAUUCAGUUUCAACAAUUUAAAGUUUGUGUGGAAACAUAAAAAUUACAAAAACCAUCAAGUCUAAAGAGAUGAGGGAAAACUCUCGGACUGCUAAUUUGGUGGAAUAAAGGGACGCACAGACGUCAUGAAGCCAUAUACAAUUUUAUUUAGCUGUCUCAUAUUUCAGUUGUACAAAUGAACUACCCUUUUAUAUAACACUCUUUUAGGCAUGUUUUCCCAAAGGGCCAAAAGUACCAAAAAUAGCAUUAUAUUUCCUCUGCACAAUCCCACAGAGGAUCAGACACUCAUGUCAAACGCUAUCUCCUUUUCAUGCAGAACCACCUUGACAUUAACUUUUGUACUUCAGAGCGAUGAGGGUUAGGGUUAGCUCAGUUGAGAGCUUAGAUAGUAAUAUAUUUUGAUAGCUCUAAGGGUAGUGAUUUAGGUCCCUUUGAAAUUUAAUGGGUCCCCAAUUCGUUUUUCAUUUCAGGAAAUUGACAUUAUAUGCUUGAGAUGGCUUAUAACCAUGAGAUAUAUUCAGAGGGCUUCAAAAGUACUUAAUAAUUAUAAUAAAAACAUCAUAUUCUUACACAAUAAAACCAAUAUGUUUUUUCUGCUGCAUUUUUGAAACAUUUUUUAUAUGUCUAUAUUCAUAUUUGGAGGAUAUUACUGAAUGUGCAGCCCAAGCGUCUGCAGCAAAAUGCAGGAAUGAAGUGAAACAGUUCAUAUCAGAUGAUCCAGAGCCUCAUCACACAGAAGUGAGCUCUGUAAGCAUAUGCAGCAGAGUUUGAUCUGUCAGUCACAUUGACUGAAAGCCAGUUGGGGUGACUUGAGAAGACUGUCACAGCUCUAGCCCUUUUUGAAGGGUUGACAAAGGCGGUGGGCACCUCAUCUGCAUCUGAAUUUGAUGUCAGGGUCCUAAAACAUUUUCUGUCCAGACAAAGAGGCUUACUCAUCUACUAACCUGUAGACUUUUAAGUGGGUCAGAAUGAACAGGUGAGGUCAUUGAUUUUCAAGCUACUCCUUCAGAAAUGUAAGUACCUUAAUUUUUACCUCAAAAUAUAUUAGAUAUUAUUAAAUUCAAGUAUUUCAACACACUUCACGUGGGUGCAUGCCAUUCAUGACUUUGCAUGGAAAAGUAUACUAUCAGAAAUUUAGCUUACUUCAUAUAAAGCUAGCUCCAGAUGGCCUACUAAGCGAGCUAGCUUUUACUUUCAUACUUAUAAUACUGUAUGCAUUGGAUGUGUGUGUGUGUGUACACCAAUGGAGAAACAUAACAUUAUGACUACUGACAGGUGAGGUGACGGUGGUUGUCUUUUUUUCAGUGUUAUGUGUCAGUGGGUGGGAUGUGUUAGGCAGCUAAUCAAUAGUUUAUGUGUUGGGAGCAGAAAAAUGGACAAGUGUAAGAAUGUGAGCUACACUGACAAAGAGCAAAUUAUGACAGUUAGACGACUGGGUCAGAGCAUCUCCAGAACUGCAGCUCCUGUGGGGUUUUUCCCACUCCACAGUGGUCGGUGCCCAACAGAAGUAGUCCAAAGAAGGAAACUGGUAAACGAGUGAUACGGUCAUGGGCAACUUACCUCAAAAACCUGCAGGAUGCAUGUGCCCUGUAUUCUGUUUUUGCUCACCCAGGCCCACUGGGAGCCUGUCUGAAGCACAGCAGCAGGGGAGCAGAGCCUGGAGCAGCUGGUUUCAGUGUACACACAGACAGGUUACUUUGCCUUUUCGUGGUUGAUUUCCUGCUUGUUUGGAUUCUAUUCUGAGACUCUUGUGCUUCUGCCACUAGUGAGCAUGUAAUGCGGUUCAUGCGUUUGGUUUUUCAACUACGACUGUACCUCCCAGAUUGCGUCGACCGACCCUCAUUUUAAACAACCCGAAUUGGUUGUUUUUGGCUUGUGUACGUUAUUUAUUUUGUAUUAUGAUCUACUAAUUAACUAACUCUUGAAAUUUUACAGUAUAAACUGAAUGAAUCGUUAAACGGUUGGCUUAUAGUAGGAUUUUGUUUUUCUGCUAACGACUUGUGUGUGUGUGUGUGUGUGUGUGUGUGUGUGUGUGUGUGUGUGUGUGUGUGUGUGUGUGUGUGUGUGUGUGUGUGUGUUAUACAGUACUACAAUGGAUUUUGACAUUUUGGCUUUAACAUGGUUCAUGUCAAUCUUAGUUUCUUGUCUAUCAUUACACCAAAAAAUUAGUUUCAAUUUCUUUGUAUCUUAUUUUCUAGUAAAACUUUGCAACUCUAUUUCCAAAAAUUAUGUACAUAGUUUUACCAAAAUUAAGUGAUUAUUUCUUAGCAUCAAACCAUUUUUCUGUUGUUUGUACUCCUUUCUCCAGGGUUCUUUAAGUUUCCGGCCACAGAAAAAAUUGUUGUAUUAUCUUCUGCAAAUAACAUACACUUUACACUUUUGAAACCAAACAUAUAUCCUUGAUAUACAAUGUCAACAACAGUGUUCCAAGAAUCAAACCUUGAGGCACCCCUCAUGUAACCUUCCAAAGCUUUGAAUUGAGUUUUUAACACAGACAUACUGAUACCACUAUGUAGAGCCAAUUAUGGGUCAGUCCUUUGAUACCACACCUUUGUAAUUUAGAUAAUAAUAAUUUAUGGUCAAAAGGGGCAAAUCUUUUUUGUGAAUCAAGAAGUAUAUAUAUUCAUUGUGGUGUUUCUGUUUUCCCUAAAUCCACAUUGUUGUUCACAGAGUAUGUUAUGCUUAAAAAUGUCAUCUUCAGCAAUAAUUAUAAUAACUUUAUUUAUACAGCACUUUACAAAACAGACAAGUGCUACACAACAUUAGUGGGUCAAUAGAAAUGAUUAAAAAUUCAAUAAAGAUAAAACCCCAAAACCCACUCUGAAGCAAAACCCCAAAAAGUUUUUUUAAUUUUUUAAUUUUUUUAAAAUUUUUUUUUAACAAUACAAGUUAAUUUAUAAUGAUAAUAAUAAUGAACUAAAUAUAAUGAAUAUAAAUAAAAAGCCAGUGGAGGGAGGCUAAAACAGAAGUGAUAUGCUCUCUCUGUUUUGUUUUGGUGAGGAGUCUGGCUGAUGCAUUCUGGACUAGCUGUAGUUUAUUUAGGCUCUGCUGUGAAAGACAGGAAUACAGGCAAUUCAGUCAAUGUUUCUUUUAAAUCCAAAAAAUGUCAUAACCAUUCCAGUCUGUUUUUCUUCAGAUAUGUGCACAAUAUAAAUUAUUUAUUUAUCACCUUUUUUUUUUUUUUUUUAAUUAAGACUGAAUGAGUAUUUUUAAUGAUAAUUCUACUGUUGGCUCCAUCAGUAGUACCUGGAGGGAUGAUGGUGUUCGUUAAUUUUUUCCUACAUUGACAAGUUAAUUAAAAUGUUCUGAUAUUUGUUCAUUUUCACUAAUCAUUUUAUUGUUGAGUUAAAGUAAUGUGGUUGGACAGUAUUUCCUUUUUUCUUUUUUAAUGACUUUAUUCAAAACUCUACAAGUAUGUUUAAUAUCAGACCAGUUUUUUUUACUUGCAAUUAAAUAAGUGUGUGGGUUUUUUUAUUUGUUUGUUUGUUUGUUAUGUCUCUUGGUACCUGUUAGUUUGUUUCUAUAUGUCUUACAUCUAUUUUCAGCAUCUUUUGUUCAAAGUCUUAUAAAUUUCUCAUGUAACAUUUUUUAAAGCAUUUUGUUUUCUUUUUUGUUAUCCAUGGCUGAUCUGCAUAUUUAUUUUUAUCCACUUGAAUCACUAGAGGACAAUGUUUGGCAUACAAGUUUGUUAUAAUAGAAAUUAAAUAAGAUUCAUUUACAUUGUUUACAUAAAUUUCACUCCAAUCCUUAUUUAUUCAGGCCUCCCUCAGGAUUGUAAAUGGCAUUUUCUGUUCUGAAUCUCCAGGUUAUUUUUUUCUUCAAAUUCAUUUUUAUGAAAUAAUCAGAAACUACAAACACAGGUAAAUGAUCAUAAGUAUCAAUUAUGAGUAAACCUCCUGCGAUACUCCCUUCAGGAACAUUUGUAAAUAUAUAUUCAUUAAGCGUGGCAGUGUGUACCAUUAUCCUGCUUUUGUCUGUGAUUGAAGGAUACAGCCCUACAAAACAAUAGAUUGGCAAAAUUUAUGUUUGUGAGAUCUAUAUCAACAUCUUCACAGACAAAAAUAGACUUUUUGUAACUGACUUAUGGUAUAUUUCUGACAGUCUAUCCUUGAAUGUAUAAAUGUUGCUACCUUGGACUCUCCAAAUGCAGCUAAAAAUUGUAUUUCUUUAUUCCUCUGAUUUUAUUUCAGCUGUGACACAUUGACAUUUUGUAUGACACAUUUUCAACAAUUUCACCACAGUAAGAUGACUUGAUAUACGGUGUAACACCCCUGCCUCAUGUUAGGCUUGUUCGUAGAGAACACAUUAUAUAUCUCAAUUUGUACCGCAGCAGUUUGCUUCUUAGAAACUGCUGUUACAGAAAAGAUCUUGUUGUGUUUUAACACACAGUUCUACUGUCAAGUGCUUGCACUGCUGAUUCAUGUAGAGAAAAAAAGGAUUGUCUGGAUCGAUGUCAUGUUCAAGGUUAUGAAGUCUGUGAUCUGUGUCAUCUAAAGUUUUUAGACAGAGAUUGUCUGCAGAUGUGAAUGGUUGAAUGGUUUUGUCUUAUUAUCCUUCCUUGGGGGUGCGUGGCAGGUUGAAAUGGUGCUGCUAUAGAUGGCGGUAUCUUUCAAAGCGAAAAACUGCGAUACCUGUUACUUAAGAGAGUGCAUUUCUACUAGUGAUUUGUCUCUGCUACUUCAGCCACAGGCUCCAGCUGUAGCUUUGGUGUAUGAACGGUGCCCGGUGUUAAGUCCACUCGCAAUCACGUCAUCUAUUCUUGUGUACUGUUCCAGUUCAUUCACUCGCUCUUCUAACAAACUGAUUUUCUCACCCUUUUCCACAUGUAAUGUCUUUAGUUCUCACACUUUCCCCAUUAAUCCAAAUAGUUUUGUCUGUUGCUUUGACUCAUAAUAGACAAGUGCAUAUAUGAAAAAAAAACACCUAACCCCAAAAAAGUUUGCCAAAGUUUGACCACUAGAGAGGUGUCAUUUUCAAGAUGGCAUUCAUGAUAGGUAGGAAGCCUGGGGAGACACCCCAGGCAAAAUUUGGUGAAAAAUUGUUUUAAGUGUUGGGGUAGCGUUGGGGUAACAUUGGGGUUAGGGUUAUUGGGUUAGUGUUAAAAUCACUGUCCACGACCUUUAUAGGAGCAUGUUUCUGACCAUUUGGAGUAAAUUGGAACAAAAAAAAUUAGGAAAAAUGUCAAACAUUUUGUAAGUGUUAGGGUUACAUUGGUAUAACGUUAGGGUAUUGGGGUUAGGGGUUAUUGGUUUCAUUGGGGGGUUUUGUACUAAUUGAAUCCAGAUGGAAGGGUUAUGGGGUGAGCGUUAAAAUCACUGUCCACGACCUUUUUAGAAGCAUCUUCCUGACCAUUUUGAGUCAAUUGGUAAAAAAAAAUAUUAGGAAAAUUUACAAAAUUUGUCAAGUUAUAAAUUUGGAAAGUUUCAUGGUGAUAUCUGUUAGUUAAAAUUUUUACACUAUUCACCUGGGGUGUCUCCCCUGGGCUCCCUACCCAUCAUGGACGCCAUCUUGAAAAUGGCACUUUUCUAGUGGUCAAACUAUGGUAAACUUGUUAAUAACUAUGUUAUUAAGGACAUCUAAUACUAUAAAACACAGCUGAGAAACCUUUUGUUAGAACUUUUUUGGGGUCAAGUCAUAUUUGCACCUGACUAAAAGUAAUCUCCACUGACAUGAAGUUUAGAGACUGUUUAAUCUCAUCAUGUUCUCGUUAUUUCCUUGAGUCUUCUCCUGUGACAUUUUAGCAAGAAGUUGAAGAACAAUUUUCGGUAAAUCCAAAAAUCUUCUGUGGCUUCAAGCAGGCUGCUGACUCAUGGAGCAGAAAUGCUGAGUCAUGGAAGCCCACCGCUGUCUGAUGGAUAUUGGUAAAUAGAAAAGUGAAAAGUCUGCAAGAAAAAUAAAGAAUAAGAGGAAGAGGAAUAAAAUCUUGCAGUAGUAACCACCUGUCUAUCAUUUGGACCCAGACAGAUGAUGUCUGACACAUGUUGGUACAGCAUUUUAUAGAUUAGUUUAUCAUGGAGCCUAUAAAUGCAGACAUCACGCUUCUGUUAAUAUGUACAUUUUAGCAUAUUUCAUUCUCAUCUGGAUUCUUCACACAUGCAAAGACUUAAAGCAGGACAAAUGAUGCAUUAAUGGGAGAGGUCAGGAUGAUAUAGGAAGUAAUGAGGAGGACAGGGAAGGAGCCUUGAAGCCAGCAGAAGGGACCUCAUCAGCCUUGGACAAGCAAGAUUUUGGCUCAUAACUAUUUUAUCUUAAGAUCAUCAACCGUGAACACAAAUAUUGAAUAUUAAAGGAGUCAAAGGUGCAGCAGAUUUCAGCAGCAGCUGAGCAGAGGCACACUCAAUCUGUUCCCUUGCUUCUUACAGUCACACUGAUCUCUCAGCUGGCCUUUUCAUCCUUAAUCUCCCCCCUCCAUUUAACUGUGAACACUCAGACCCUCCCUCAAUAGUUUUAAAUCUUACAUUAUUUCCAUACACAUAUUGCAUGGGACUAUGAAUCAAAUAACAAACUAAAGAAACACCCAAAAGCCAAACUUGGAAAAAAGAACUCUGCACCCCUCUGCACCAUGUGCAGAUUGGAUAAAAAAAGAUCUCAAUUUUGAAAUAACCUUUUGAAGUGCCCAGGAAUUUAGUUUUUGUUUAUGUGGUUUUGAAAAUUAUCGAUAUUGUUUGAUUUGCCCUGGGUGUCUUGUCAAAAUUCAAAACUCUGGUAUGUGACAACCGGAUUAUCACCAGUGAAAACCUGUCAGCAGCCUCUUUUUUAGUCAUUCAUCAAAGCUAAGUAAUAUGGGAGCAACCACCCAAAGGUCAGGAGCUCGACAGAAAAAUUAUUGAAUUCAUUGCUCUCAAUAACCAGCCUUACAGGUUGAAGAUGUUGGCUCCCACAGGCUAAUAAUGUACCUGAAGCCUCUCUAUGCCAUGCCUAGCUGACUUUAUUUCUCUCUUGGAGCCUUUCCUGAACUGCAAAGCUUCACCCACCGUCACAUAAAGAAGCUCCUCACUGAUGCUAUUCAUAUUAGCUUCACCACAGACAUCCAGACAUCAAGUACAAGUACUGUCAGCAUGCUGAGCCUUUCUGCCUAGUGGAUUGUUAUACACGCAUACUUUUUGAUGUUAUUUUUCCAUUACUAAAGGUCCUUACACACCGGGAACGACACAAAUAUACGACGUGAAAUUAUUAAAUAUUCAGAGGCGAAUUUAGACGCACCUGACCAUACACAUGAAGUGCGAUGUGAUUUUGCGACUUUCUUGAAAAAAACGCUCCCGGUGUGAAAGGACCUUAAAAGUCUGUAUUUGAAGAUGGAAUCAGGUUAUUUGUCUUGUUUCAAAACAAAUAGGCUGUCACACUAAAAGUAAGAGGAGAAUUAUGAAACAGGAGAGACUUGAUUUUACAUAUAAGGUGUAAAAGUAACAAGCUGCGUGAUACUGGUGAAAAUCCAUGCACCAUUGUGCAUUUCUAGUGUAAUUUGAGUAUCUUGACGAGGUGCUAGAAGGGCUUAAAUCAUUAGUAUUUAUGUGAUGUAAGCGGCGAACACUUUGUACAGUUUGGGUCUAAAUAAAAGUAAGCCAUGCUAGAGAAAAUGCAGCCCCAACCGCAAUAGGUAUGUUAGUCUGAGUACAAGUGCAAUUUCUUACAACCAUGUGUUGCAUGGUGCCUGCAAUGUACAGCAUCAAUAGAAAACACGUAGUAGUUAUUGUAUGUAAAGUAUUACUAUUACUAGGAGUAUCCUGCUGUUUUCAGCUAACCUCAAACAAGUUCUGGGUGCUAAUUUUAUAAAAUAUCAUUCUCACAGGGCCUCCCCAUGAGAUCACAAAUGCAGCUGUGACUUGACUAUUUUCAACCAAAGUAAUCUCUCAGAAGAUGAAAACUGGCUCAGGAAAUAUUCCCUGUUGUUAUAACUCUGAAGGUCCAGUCACUCUGUCACUGAACAACUGCUGCUCAAUCGAUUGGGAUCUUAAAUAGCAAUUUCCAGACACCCCAAUGCUAUUGAUUUCGGUCGGCAAACAUUUUACUUUGAUCAUUAUGAUUCCAAGCUUGCAGCACGCUUCCUGGGUUUCCCUCUCAUGAGAGGCUCACUGUUGCUCUUGAAAUGGCAAUGUAGUGACAGCUGCCACAUCGACUGUGUCAGUCCACACAGGAGAAAAAAACUGAAUUGUAUUUUAGAAAAGUAAGUACACAAACUUAACAUCCACAAGAAGUAGCAUUCAAGGGACCUUUUUCUUUGUUUGAAAGAUUACUCUAAACCUUGUUUUCAAACUUUUUUUUAACGCGCUUCAAAACUUGUUGCCAGCUUGAGCCAGUUUUUCUUCCUCUUCCCUCUCCUGUAAAUGGUUCAUUAGUUUCCCAUGCACCCGUUGGUUAGCCUCAUUGUUCAGCAAACCAAUAUUAUCUGAUAAGACGAAGCACACAGAAGGAGCUCUAGAGACUAAUUAGAAGUCCUCAAACUUGAAAAUCUGUUCAAAGUCUUGUUGUUGCCAACACACAGAGGCAGUGACCCGGGGUCUCAUUUAAUGUUUCUAAGUAUCUAUUAAUGUUCCUUUGGUUAUGUUUAGAGCUAGGGGAGGCUCGGGAGCAGGAACUGAUGGAUGAGAAACAUUAGACGCCCGGCAGGCACUGAACUCUAAUAUAAUGCAGUCAUAUGGCUAUUUUUUUCUUUGGUGUACUUCAUUACAUUUGUCUUUGGUGGAAUAUGUUUCUGCUUAAAUAAUUUAUUUUUCCCUUUCUGCUAGGUUUCUCUCAAAAAAUCAAUCAGUGGCUGUCUUCCCAGAGAUAAGCAUGUCUUAUUAAUGUAAGAUCUUUAUCGUGCCAGGAGGACCACCAGCACUGCUGUUAAGUCUGCUGAUAAUUGACAUUUUCUCUUGAUGGGGGUAUUUAUCAUUCUCCUAUUGUCCAUGGGAGGCUCCACUUUGACCAUACCCAUACAAUUGUCUGAAAAGACGCUGAGAUCCUGUAUUUCAUACCCAGUAUGUCAUGCAGUAUUCAUGUUUCCUCAUGAGAGAAAAGAGUUUGUUUCUUAAGAGAGAAAGACAGGAUUUCCAUUGCAAAGCACAGCAUUGAGCAGAAUAAUACAGGCUGAGUGUGAGCUUUUGAAAAGGUGAUAUGCACAAAGUGACCUUUAAGUCUCACACUGUGAAUGACUUGGGAGAUGCCUUUUAGCCACACUUGAAGUACACACAGCAAUGCGUCCCAUAUCACUCCUCCAGAGGACACUAGAUAUUGGUUGACAUCCACUGCAGGCAACAGUGGUAAUGGCACACAAUACAUAACACUGAUAGAGCAAUGUCACUCUAACUACUGCAAUUUGUAUUUAUGGCAUAUAACUGAAAGAUGAGGGGCUCGAAUUGCAUUAUUCUUAGUAAACUUAACGGAGACUAUUUAGUUUUACUUUGGAAAAAAAUGUGUAUCAUAACCAAAGCUCUAUCUCUGCAGCUUAAUACAAGCUAUUGACGCUGACUCAAAACCACUGGGUUAGUUUUAAGCACUCAUAACUUUGAUUUAGUUAUGUUGCUAUUAACUUUUUAAGAGACAAAAAACUUUCUGUACAAAUUGGCGUCAUAAUAAGUCCACAUUGUCAGCUCUCAGAAAGGAAGGAAUGAAUAAGAGAAGCAUUUGAGAAAACAGCAUUAUAUUGUUGAUGCUAAACAAAUUCAAGACAUAUGCCAGCCAAGUCAUUAAUUUCACAUUGUUUGGCAGCCAUUGUCAAUGGCACAUGAUAUUAGAUGCAUCAAAACCAAAUGAAAAGGAGUACUGUUAGAUGUGAUACAUUACCAAAAUAAGUCCUAUCAGAAAAAUGCAUUUUGAAUGAGAUCACUGUAACUGCUUUUGUCACACUUCAUUUCAUCCUCAUUUGUCAACACCAGCAUCAGAUGUUGGGAGAUGUACAUGGCUUAAUGGAGGCGAAGUGCCAACUAGCAAAGUUUGAAUUCUGUCUGAUAGGGCUCUGUGCUUCCCACAGCUUCAGGCUCUGAAACGUGUCAUGAUACAGGGGCCACAAAACGUAUCACGAUACACACUGAUUUUAGGCGGUGACCAUGUCCCACGUAAUUUACUACAACAGCCGUCUUUUUUUAAAUUUAUUUAUUUUUAUUACUCUGAAUAACCGUAAUAGUAAACAUAGUUCAAUGGAGCCUAUAAUGUAACUCUAAAACAGGGGUGUCAAAGUCAAAUGGACGGAGGGCCAAAUAAAAAAUUUAGCUACAAGCCGAGGGCCGGACUGAUCGAAUGUUCAUUGAAAAUUUUUUAAAUGACGCAUAUAGUCUAGUGUACCUAAUUGAACCUACUGAAAACCUAACAAAUAUAUUCCAAUAUGAUCAGAUAAAUAAAGCAAUAUUUUCUUAUGGCUCUGUCAGUAAUCUUUAAUUUUCAACAGACACAAAAGACAAAUUUCCUUUAUAUAAAAAUCCCCAUAACAUGAACAUUAAAUGAAAGAAACCGGUAUUAUUCAAGGCACCAUGAGUAGCCUAUAUUUUCUAUUUUAGCAAAAGUGGGCUAAAUUUACUUCAAAGAAAAAAAUAAUAAUAGCAAUUUUCUAUCAUCCACUCAACUGACAUAUUUUUAAAAUAUAAUUGGAUUGAAAUACAAUAAAAUAAAGUGCAAAAAUCUAUUAAUCAAAAGCAACACUUUCUUCAAGGAGAAGUAACAUGCAGUGAAAACAAAUAUUAAACUUUAACUUUUAAACUUGAAAUGAAUAAAAAUUCUAAAUAUGUGAUUGCACAGUAAUGUUCACUUAUUUGAGGUUGAGGGUCCAUAUGUCCAUAUUCUUGUUUUUGUCCGCGUGUUUCGUUUCAUAAUGUCGUCUCAGAUUAUACUCUUUCAGUACCGCCACACUUUCUCCACACAGAAGACACACAGGUUUUCCAGCUACCUCCGUGAACAUAUACUCCGACUCCCACCUUGUUUGAAACCCCCGGUUCUCAGUGUCCACCUUCCGUUUUGCCAUUUUUGAUGGGUAUCUGAAAGUUAAUUUUACUGUUAUGCUGACGACCGCUGUGCUAAUAAAUAUUGAAAUGAAGCAGCCUACUGCUUAGUGCGUCACCGUUGCAUUGUGGGAAAUGUAGUAUUGGUGCGUGUAAAAGAUCUGCGGGCUACCGGCUUGCUGCGGUCUGCGGGCCGGUUCUAAUAAUAGAUCGAGAUCAUCCCAGGGGCCGUAAAAAACCUUCUCACGGGCCGGAUGUGGCCCGCGGGCCUUGACUCUGACAUAUGUGCUCUAAAAAAUACAAAGAAUUAAUCUAAAUAGUAGCAAGUGUGACGUUUUAAUUGGACCUGUAUUCAAUUCCUAAACUAGCCUUUUUCAGUGGGAUCACCUUGACCCCCUAGAUGUCGGCACUUGUUCAAACUUAGAAUAGCAACAAGAGAAAUUAAUGGAUUGAAUGGAAAAUGUUGCUCUUUAAUCAGUGCUUGUGAAUUUUUAAAGCGACACUACUCUUAAUGUGAUUUCAUAACAUCUAGAGCACACGUUUGUUUUACAAUAGAGCAUUCAUGUAGACUUUCCUUGUAACGUAUUGAAAGAGUAGGGAUGUAGGGAGAUAUAUAUUAUUUAUGAUACUUUGAUUGUAGAUGGCUGUAAUUCUCUUUUCAGAUGGAUACACACACACACACACACACACACACACACACACACACACACACACACUUUGUCCAGUGUUUUACAUCCUCAUACAACUAACAUGCUGCUGUUUCAGUAAUGAUCUGAUAAUCACACUAAGUAAGAAGCAGCCUGAAGCUGUCAUUAUUGACAGUGCUGUAAGGGUGUAAGUCUUUACAUAUAGAGCAUAAAGCAUGAGGAAGCUUUGUGAUUGUAAUCCUCUAAACCUGUUUAGAAGUUGAAGGAAAUGUUGUGAUGAAAGCUUAGUUCAUUGCUUAUUUAGACAGCAGACACUGGCCCUGUGUGGCAGCCGGUGUACCUGUUGCUUGACUCAUGCUUAACUUUCUUGUGUUAGUAAAUCUCCCAAAUUAUCCCAUAUCCCUCCAUAUUAUUUGUUUAUAUUGGUUUGAGACAUUCACUGCAUCAUGUGGUUUGGCUGCUGUUUCCACCUUUAACUUUUUUGCUCUGCACUGUAGGCUAACCACUCUCAAAACUGCCACCACAGUGUUCCUGCUGCUUUGAUUCUGUAACUUGCACGAUGCACAGCAAGUUGACAUAUUGUUGUAUAGAUUUUUUUUUACCCUGCCUUGCUGUCUGAGUGAAUACGGGUUAGUUCUUUUUUUUUAUGGCAGGUUGUUGAACACAGCAUGGUUAACUUCCUUUUGGUCACAAUUUUGGCUCAGCCAAAACCAAAGAUAUGGUGAUUAAAAACAGUCUGUAACACCUUUUUGGCUCUCUCCCUGCAAUCCAAUUUAGGAGUGUGUGAUUUUCACCCAAAUUAUUUCAUAAAGGCCUGCAUAAAUUAAUGUUCCAGCAUCACCAUUGCACUACAACUUUAUGGCACUAGGUACAAAAGAAAAAGUUGCAAAGUUCUAAAAUCAUGGCAAAAUCUGUCAAAUGCCCUCUAUUUUGAUUUUCAUAGAGAACCUGUCUUGUUUAUGCUUUAUUGAGAUGUAAAAAUGGGAUAAUUCCCUGGGGCAUUUGGUGCUUAAGAUCUCGCUUUUUUAAAUUUUCUGUUUUACGACACCUAAUUGCAGUGCAGUCUUAUUUAAUGUCCAUACUGCAUUGUCCAACAGCCAUGAGUGUUGUCAUGACACCAUUUAAGAGUUGAAAAGACUUACUUCUUUGUGAUAUACUGCAUAACGUUAUUAACUGCACUUGUAUGAUACAAAAUAUACAACGAUUCAGCAUAAGUGAGCUUGUUUGUUUCUGCCUGCCACAUCACUACUCAAGGCUGUGUAAUUCAUGCAAGCAGUAAAACUUUAUUAUAUGCUAUUAAUUGAUUAUAAUAAAAAGCUAGAGCCAGCUAUUUGCCUGCACAUAGAUCAUAUGCUCAACAUCUGGCCUUCAUUGGCCUAAUUAUUGCAAGUAAUGAGAUGCUAAUUUCAGCACUCAUACUGCAUGCAUGAACUGCAAGAUUCAUGUGAAACAGAGCUUUAUGACAAAACUAAUAAAUAAAACAUCUUACUGGUGGUAAACAUUAAGCAAGAGAGGGAAAGAAAACAAAAUGGGGAGGAACACAGGGCAAGAUGAUUAACAGUUCUUUUACAUAAUCAUGCCUGUUCCUGAAGGAUGGUUUCUUUUGCCCCAGUGUUCACUGGUUUAUGAGGAGAGUGAUGGGCCAUUUCAUUACCUCAGCAGUAAAUAAUGCGCAAAAUUAAGCAGCCUUUGAUCAAUUGUAGGGGCCAGCUAUUGCCAAAGAUUUCAUUAUUUAAAAACUAAAUGUCUUCUGAAGUCAGAAUCUGAAUCAGAAUGCCUUUUAUUGUCAUUAUACGCAGUACAAUGAGAUUAAAACCACCCAUAUCAGUGCAAGACAUUAUAAAAAGAUUGAUAAAAAAUAUAGAAAAAUAUGAAACUAGAUUAAUAUGAAGUAUAUACAAUGUAAACAUGUGGACCUGAGAUUCUUUUGACAGGAUAAAUAUGGUACCGAUUUGCAUAGGUGUAAUAUGUAGCAGUAUAAAAUAUAAAGUUCACAGUUCUGAGAUCCUAAUUAACGGAAUAAAUAUUGUAAAUAUACAGAAAUAACAUAAAUGUACUGUGCCAAUGAGUCUAUAUUGUCCUGAAAAAGUGAUGUUUCAUUACUGAUUGAAACGCAAACAAUAGUAAUUUGAUGGUAGUACCAAAGUAGUUGCAAGAUGUCUUCAAGGUAUAACCUAAAAUUCAAAUGGAUAUAUGUUCUGUCCUUCUCUUCGGCCCCACCACAUCAGCAGAGCAGAUAGGUUUCACUUAAGUCCCUGUGUAUGCUCCCACUGGCUCAGCUGCAGUAUAUUUCAGCUCUGUUCCAGCUCUGGUAUUCUUAGCCCUUCACAGCCGAUAUGAACUGCUUCUAUUUUUACCAAACACCAGAGCAUGAUGCAUCAAUCAGUGCGAGGCAGGUUGUGGGAGACAGGAAGCCAGGCACAGAAACAACAAUAAAACAUUUAGUUGAUUUUCAAAAUGAAACACUUCAAAUUGGUAUCAGGCUGUUUUUCACUUAACCAACAACAAACUGCCAUAGUAAGCAGAGAGCCAGGUCUGGAGUUUAAAGACUUUCGAGCUGCCAUAGAUGAAGUGACAAGUACUGUUUUUGGCCUAUGCUAUUGUGGUAACAAGUACACUUAAAAGAUCCUCAAAUAACUUCCGCCUUGUGUGAACUCAUGUUUAAUAGGCUUUUUUGAAUUAGCAUAUUUUCCAACAGGAGACCAGCAGCCAGCUCUGGUCACCAGCAUAGGGUAUGGAGGUAUACUUUCUUAAGAUGACUCACUGUUAUCAUAGGUAGUGGGCAUGCUGCGGCAGAGGCAUUGCUUUUCUCACACUCAAAAGAAGCAGAAGCUGAUACAGUGUCAUUGUAAAUGACUGACAGGUGCGUGUACGUCUCACUGAGCAUUGAUGGUCUGCCGCCUUGUGAAGAUGAAGGUAGUAAUAUUUAUGUCUUCUCAGUCUGGGGCUGCUGCUUUCUCGAUCACUUAACAGAGAGGCACAUUGAGCAAUUUAAACUAGUUAGUGCCAGUAGCAAAUAUUAGGAAAUUCUGAUAUGAUACCACACCUUUAAGAGUAGAAUGUAUUAGAAAAGUACCAUGCAGCUCUUCUACCUUGUUUGAUUCCGUGUCCUAUGUGGGGACUGUGCCAAAUCUGCCUAGAAAAUUAUUUAGUUCAGCGCGGCAUUGUUACAAUUGCCUCUUGUCUCUCCUGCAGUAAGACCCCAGUCUGUGUAAGAAUAUAUCUCUAGAGGCCAUCCUUAACGGCAGGAUAAAUGAGUAAAGCAGUUAAGUGUCAUUUGUCAACAUAGAUACUAAUGCUAUAGCUUUUCUGAGUUCGCUUCACUAUUGAUAAGGCACUGCUAGUCACCCAUUAUUGUGUAAUGGCUGCCAUCUAUAAUGGCUCACAGACAAGAUGUAAAAGACUGAGUGGUGAUAAAGAUAAAUGUGAUCAAACACAGAGAGACAAAACCACCUCGUAACAAUCCAGCAUAGCUUAAUGAACAGGUUCAUAAACACAGUCCUUAUAGUGUAUAGCAAUUUUCAUUUGACACAAAAGAGGUAAAGCAUAUUUGAUAAGUUUUCUUCCUGGCUUACAAAAAGUUGUAGAGCAUGAAGAGGUUAUGAAGCAAAGAAUUUGGUAUUGGCUUUUCUUUCCAUCUUAGCCAUUGAAAACUUUUUCAGCAGUUUAAGCACCAAUGGCCCUUCCAACCCAUGACCCUGUCACCAGUUUACUGGUUUCACCAUUUUGUGUCUUGAACCACUUUUUGAAGGCACUGCCUGCUACAGACUGGUAAUACCCCUUAAGAGCAGCGUUUUUAGAGUAACUCUGAACUGGUCUUCCUACUACUGUUGGGACUUGCAUCCUUAAAGAUCUUCUUUUUUUGUGGUGUAUAUACAAAAAAAAUUGUAAUAUCAGUCAAUAGCUAUUAGUUAUUGAUGACAUUUGAUAAAAUAACAAUAUCGCUGUGUUUUGUUGUCUGUGUAGUCAACAUUUUUAAAUUUUUGCACGCUCCGCUCUUUCUGACUGUAAACAAAGCCGUUCCCCACCUCCCCCAACCUGAUUGGUUGUGAGGGAGAGGCUGCUCCCCCGUGUCAUUCACGAGACCCUGUAACUUUUCUGCUGAACAGGUAAACUGCUUUAGCAAAGUAAGCCAAGUGUCUGUAACAGAAGUGUGUCUUGUCAAUCGGGACCUGCUGCAUGUCGUAGCCAAACUGUUUACCUCAGGUCCUGGAGUUUGUCACUUUCACCUAGUUGUAGAAGUCCUGCAAAAUUUGUUUGCUGGUAGUCUGUUGGCAUCUACAGUAGCACCAAUGCUGUUUACUUUCACGUUGACUAGGUCCUAUUUGUAAUUAUCUGAAGUAUUUAUCUGCAUUAUAUCUGGAUUUAAUUGAAACGAUACGAGCGAGCAGGAGCGUCUGUUUGUGGGAGGGGCUUUCUGGAGCAGAGAGGAGCUGAGGGGAAAACUGGUUGGGAGGGGUAGUGUUUACAUUCAAGAUUUCUCCCCAAAAACUGGCACUUCCUCAGAUCCUGCCUACCCCACCUUUAACCUUGCCUGUAUUUCUUUUUCUACUUCCAACACAUCCAUGUUCACUUCCUGUGAGAAAUAUCACCUGCUGACAAAUGUCACUGGAAGAGAUAAUCAAUGGUACUCACUUCGCCUGUCAGUGGUAAUGUUAUGGCCAAAGUGUACAUUUUAUACUCAAACACUUACACAAAGCAGCCGUUCUAGCCUAAAGGGUAAAAGGGACUGGUUGCAGUAAAGUUAUCAUUAUCCACUUUAUGGUUUGGACACAUUAAAAGGAAUGUAAACUGCAGAAUCGAAUGUGGGCUCCAGUGUAUGUUCAUCUGUGCUGAGUAAAAAUGAGUGGAAAGAGUCUUAAGAUAAUAUCGUAGCCGUAAUUAGUGAUGCAGCACAGAUAAAGGCUCACAUCCUUUUAGUGUUUAUUCUUUUUAUACUAUCCAUCUACCUCUGCUUCUGCAUUCUGAAUUCACUAAUCAGCAGGGAAUCAGGCUGUAUACAAACAGUCCAUUGCUGCCAACUGAUGCUUCAGCUUUAUUUGCCAAGAUUAUAGAUGUGUGCUGCUACGGCUUACUCCAUACACAUCUAAAACUUGGCAAAUAAAACCGAAACCAUCUACACGACUUGGUACUGUCAUAGAUACAAGAGAAAACAUGUUGUUUUCUCGUUUGGAUGAACCACUUUCCCUCUUUAUAAGAUACAGGGUUUACACUCGGUAAAUGUGAAAUUACUCCUGACAGGGUAAUACUUCACAAGAGCAGCUGCAAAGCAUUUAAAAAAAAUCAAAGUAGUCUUCGACUCAUGAAUUAUUUCCCUGGGUUACUGAAGUCUUUGGCACUUGAUCUCUACUCUGUGGAGAGAGGGGAUUUGAAUUGAUGUGACUAAUGUAAAACAAGGCCAACUGUCAGAUGUAAGCCAGUCACUGGAAGUGCACUUUUGCACCCUCCAUUUCCAAGGCAUAAUGAUGCAUAGCCAUCACACUUAAGCCCAGUCUAGUGCCUGCAUGUAGAAAAGGUGUCAGUUGCAGCAAAGAAAAUUAUGCAGUCCACUAGUUCCUUGUCUAGCAUGACAUCUCAGCUGCUCUGUGAUUUCCCUGAAGAAGAGAUGACAUGUUUAUGAGUUAUUCCCCUGAUGGGGCCUACACCUAGGAAUACAUGCUUGUCCUUUCUCCCUGACUUGCCACUCUAUUGUGAAUAACUGAAUAAAGAAGGAUUUUGAAAUAUUCUCUUCAUUUAAUAGCCGAUCUAAGAAACCAUUGUGUCAUAGGGAUCCUGAAAGUGUAAUUUGAAACUGAGGAACGAUAUUCACCAGCUCAUUACUGUUAAAAUCAACUUAACCCUGGUGGUUUGAGCAUUUUGAUCCUUUUUCAUGCAUAUGGAUUGUGAGAUCGAGGCGGCUUUUCGCAAAAUUUUUAUAAUGAUCCCCCCCCAAAUCACCUCAUUUUUGGAACAGGCACACAGAAUUAAUGCUAAGUGCUCAGGAAUGGCAUGCACACAUAAAGAGUUAAUUUUUAAGAGUCACUUGAAUAAGAAAACCAGACUAUGAGUGAUAAUUCUCAUCUGUGACUAGUUAUAGAGUUUUAUAGAGCUCCCAUGUUCAGCUUGAUAUUGUGCCUUCCUUUAGUGGCCACCAGUUGAAUUUUGUAUUUUGUAUUGUAAAGGCAAAACUCACCACUGGUUAUCAGCCGCCUUCAGAAUUAUUUAAAGAAUAGAUUUUAAGGAGACGUAAUUAUUUGGAAAUAUUGAGCAGUAAAGGUGAGCUAACAAUUCUAUAAACUGACAUAAAACAUUUAAGAAUGAAAGCCUUCAUAUAUUCUGCAGUCUCACAUGAAUAAGCAUGGCUUUUGAAAAGAGGAGGAAAAUAACCUGUAAUAAUUUGUCCCUCCAGUCGUGUGGAGAUACUGCUGCGGUGUUCCUCUAUUUGUCACUGUCAGCCCCCAGACUGAGGAUAUGAGAAGACGGCAGAAAGAAUGGGAGCAGUGAGGGGGGUGAGAGCAGUGGUGAGAGGAAGGGGAGUGUGAAGAAAACGCUGAAGUAUGUGAUUAAGAAUAAUGAGUAAAAAAUUGCAUAAAGCCUUCUCCCAAAUCACACAUCAACUCCACGCCUGGCAUUAUCCCUGAAGCAUCUCAUCAGUCCUGGACCAAGUCCCCAUCGUUGUGCAAUGCGCCCACCCACACACACAUACACAAACUCAGCAGUCCAUUAGCAGCUAACACAUGAGCCAACGUCUCGCUGUCUCCUUCUCCUCCUGCUUCUUUUUCUCUCUUUGUAUCUAUCUCGCUCAGUGGAUUUACAUUGUCUUGAAUAGUGAAAGCAGAGGGAGGAACAGGACCUGUCAAGUCUCCUAUCAAUUGGGUGACCCUCUGUCCCUUUGCUGCUGUUCCACCACCCAGGCAAACAUAGCACCGGCCUGCCCGUUAUCUCCAAACCACUGUUUGGAGAAGCAUCUCUAUCUGAACAGUGAGAAAACAUCCAAUGCAUAUCAAUUGGAAGACUCUGAUUUUUAUUUGUUCUGCAUUUGCCCUGUCUUGCUAUAGUACACAGAAAUGACAGCAGGGUCUACUGUAUAAACUCUCAAACCACUUGAAUCUUGUUGGACUUUGGUGGACAAAUUCAAUCUGAAAAUGUUAAACAUGUGAGUCGGUUCUCAUUUUGCCUCCUACUUUGACCUUUGUUACAUAUUUGCAACUACAAGGAGUUGAAAAAGAGCUUUUAAAUAUUCAGGAAUAGUAGCAUAUUAAGUAUGUGUUUAUUUGUUUAUUUGUUCAUUUGGAAGUAUUUUGAAAUACACCCAAAGAACAGGCUGUUGAAUGACUGAUAUGAACACAGGAAAUGAUUUAUUUAUGAAGCUGAAAAUAGUCCUUUAUAUGCUCAUGGUGUACUUAUCAGCCUACUUACAGGCUGCAUUAAUGUUAAACUUAACAUGUUCAUUCACAUUGAAAUGUUAACAUUAGCACACCCCACUGCUGUGAUUCACUUAUUUCCAUUUAUGGGAAAGUCAAAGCAUAAGUGCUUGGUAGUUGGUAUUCUUAGCAAAUGGCUUCAUAUUAUAGCAGCACUCAUAUAAAGUCCUUUCUUGAGUAACUUUUUUUUUAAGUCUGUUGGUAUUUUACUCUCUUCCAACCAGUCUCAAAGCCCAUACAGAGAUUUGUUUGGUAGUUGUCUUGUGUCUGCUUUCUUCAGUUUGGUUGAUGUCUCUUGAACUCAGCGUCUUGCGUGUUUCUUUCUCUGCUGGUUACUGCUCAUUCAUUAAUCACAAAUAUUAAUAAUAAAGCUGGUUCUCAAUUCAUAUUCAUGUAAAACAAAGGUGUAUUUCUAUUAUUGUACAACACAUUGGCACCUCAAUCACAGCAAAAUACUUUUGUAAACCAAAUGAAGUCAAAAUAAAUACCACCUCAGCAUGAUCUGCAGAAAGUAUCCACGUAAAGUGAAUCAACAAACCCAUCAAUAAACCCAUAACUCAGUUUACACUGUUACUCUUGAUCCAACAAUGUUUCCUAUUACUUUCGCAAGCAAUUUUGAGCCAAACAGUUUGAACUUAAUAUGCAACUUGGUGUCAGGGUACACAAAGCAAAAUAGUGAGAUACAUUGAAGUGAUUUUCCUAUUUCCAAAUAUCAGAUCUAAAAAUUCCUUAACAGUCAGUCAAUAUCUAGAAAAUAUAAAAGCAAUUUAUUUCAAACUGCAUGUGAUUGGCUGGUAGAUCUGCUGAGGAUAGACUCUUUGUGUUUGUCAUUGAAGCCUAAAUGUGAAAUGAUUUUUAAAUUUGCUUCCUCAUGCCAAUGUUAGGACAAUAUUUUACAUUAUUGUAAUGCAAAUAGUGUGAUGUUAAAGAAGUACAAACUUAAGCUGUGGUCAUGGCUGGUGAAACGUUACAGCGUUUUUAGGAGUACCAGUCAUCUGCUAAUCGACAACUCUUUUUCCUGAGACAGUCAGAACAACUCAAAUGUCUGCAUCCUGAGACCUAACUAAAGUUGCCAUAUAAAGGGCGAAGUGGCUAAAAAGUGUACUGAUUUUUUAAUUAAGCUGCCAUCACACACCAUCUCCAACACCAGCCAACUCAUACUAACAUGCAGGAAAUGCAAAAAUGAAUGCCCACACUCAUUGUUCAAUAAUAGUAAUGUGUUGAAAUUCAUCAUUUUAAUGCUAAUGUUUAAAAAAAAUUGUAUUGAGAGUGAUUAAAAGCAGAAUUUGUCUUUAUAGCAAUUUAUAUUCUUGGAUCAUUGCAGAAAUGUCUAUUCCUUAUCCAGUCCUCAAGUGUUUUGCUCUGUAUUUCCUCUGCCAAACCAAUCACCUAAGCAGGACAUCAGGUAUUAAAAGUGCCAAGAGGAUGGCAAAACAUCUGUCAACUUCAUCAUCUUACUCAUCCAGUGAACAGUGUCCCCUCUUCAGCCCUGUUAAAGCUCCUUCACCUUCUGCUUCCAUCAAUUUCAGUUUUUCUUUUUGGUUUUUCAGUUGAAUUUUCUCAUCUAAAAGAGAUGAUCAAAAUCUUCUCUCUGCUGCCAUCAAAGUCAAGUCAAGUCAACUCUGUGUAAAAGACUUCUGCACAUAAGUCAGAAUAUGUAAGCUAAAAUUGGUAAUUCAACAUUCAACCUCAGUAACACUGAAUUGAGUGGAUUUUAAAAGGAGGAUAAAGUUUUGUGCAGGAUGGAUUGCUGCUUAUGUGUGACUCCAAUUCAAAUGUUAAUAAAAUGCUAAGUUGUGUUUACUAAUUGACAGUUACAUCUUAUUUAUCCUAGAUAGAAUAUGUCUUUCCAUUUUUACUGAAAAAAACUAUUUUUACAAAUCCGAUAUCCACAAGUAAGUCUAGGUGCAGCAUGUAUGAACUGUGUAGCAGUUCUGUCCUUGGUCUGCAUAGAGUUAAACAUAUGCAUUUCAAUCUAAAAUUCACAGCAAUGAGUCUGAGCAAUGUGACCUUUCCUCAGUUAGGGAACAAUAUAACUCCCUUCAGCUUCCACAGAUCACACACUUUACAUACUCAUUUAGGGGAGAUAUUUCAAGUCAUCAAUGCAGACAUCUGAGACCCCACACUCAGCAGUAUGUCAGAACCAGGCCUUGUCAUCCCAGUCUUGAUGUAUCACCCAUAUUGGCGAAUUUAAAAAAUACAUAAACAAGCAACGGCCUGUGUUAAAACAUCAUGCAUGCAAUCAGAAACAGAUAAACAGAUACACUAGUCAACAUUAAUUGUACCAAAUGGUUUGUGCUUGUUAACACUCUAAAAACAGUCUGUUGGUAAGUUAAUCUCAAUUAGAAUCAAUUAGCAAGUUUUUUUUUUUUUUUUUUUUUAAUGGAUUGAUGUAUAACUCAAUUUCUAAUCGUUUAUUUCAGUGACAGAAAUUCAAUGUCACAAAUCAUGCCAGUAUCUGACAUUUUCUCAGACCUCCUUUUCUGUCUCAGCUCAGAGGCUGAAUAUUUUUUCAGCCAGCUCAUAAAACUGUUUUAAAGUUCAGUUAAUCCACCAGAAGCUGUCAAAAUAAAAUGUAAUCUCCUGCUUGUGGUUUUCAAGCAGUUUAUGGUCAAGCUUCUUCUUCCCAAAGAUGAACUAUUUAACCGCCUUAUGUCCCUUUUAUUGAAGCAAUAUUUAACUUUAUGAACAUGGAUCCAAAUUAGAAAAAGAGUAUGUACAUAAAGCUUUGAAAUUAAAUGUAGAAAAAUCCAAACACAAGUAGAAUAGUAUUACAGAUGCCUAGAAAGUUCAGACCCAAAGAAAUUGAAAUGAACAGAAACAAUGGUCCGUGUAGUAGCUACUGAAUAAAUGUAAAUUUUAUUUUUUUGUUUUUAUCAAUAGGAGUUUCUCAGCUACAGCACAGGAUCAUUAGCACCAUGCCUGACAUGACAGAACAGUGGGGCCUGAAUUGUUCUUGCACAGAGCGACUGCGUUGUAGAUUUUAUGUUUUGAUGUGCGUCUGCGUGUGUCUGUGUGUGUAUUCAAAUCUGUGUAUGCGAGGAAGCAAGGAAUAAAUGUCAGAAUCUGAGUCACUUUGAGGGUCCCACGGAGUGUCAAGGCGCUCACUGCUGUUGGUAUAAUUGACUGGAAGGAUUUCAUUUUUCUGUAACAGGCAGCAGGACAAGCUUGAAAUACCUUGAGGGGGUCAAAUUUAGCUUGAACAGCUUUUCUUCAUAUUUAUCAUGACCUAAAUAGAAAACACAAAGUCAUUUUUAUGCCUGGAUGUAUUUUUGGAAACCUCCAUGGUUGUCUGCCUGGAAAUGAUAGUUUAGAGCUAUAAUGGCCCGAAAGGUAUAAGUAUUCUAAUCAUGAGGUCUGGAAAUAUUGGGCCCAGGGGAAGUCAAAAAUAUGAGAGUGACAUUGUGCCCCGACAUGCAGAAGAAAGGAACAAAAAGAAAGUUUCCGGCAGGUACUAUCAGCCCCCUGGGGAGAAACCAUUGUGAGGUGUCCUUAUAGGCACUAUCUAUCAGAUGCUGCUUCUGGUGCUAGAGGCAGACUGUAGGGAGAGCUGAAAAAAUCCUAAACAAUUCAGGUGAAGAAUUUUCCCUCAUGUCUUCUCUCUUUGUUUUGAACUCUUUUUUUCCCUUUUGAAUGAAAUAUUGAAAAAAGAAAAUGCGGUCUUAUAAAUAAUGCUUGGUUCUUUUGAAAACUUUUAAUGAUUCAACAUUGUUUGCUGAGGUUUUUGAGAUAGCCACUAGCCUAUUAUUUGUACUUAUUUUUCAGCUGCAUUUAUAUUUUACCCAGUUGUGUGUGUGUGUGUGUGUGUGUGUGUGUGUGUGUGUGUGUGUGUGUGUGUGUGUGUGUGUGUGUGUGUGUGUGUGUGUGUGUGUGAGAGAGAGAGAGAGAGAGAGAGAGAGAGAGAGAGAGAGAGAGAGAGAGAGAGAGAGAGAGAGAGAGAGAGAGAGAGAGAGAGAGAGAGAGAGAGAGAGAGAGAGAGAGAGAGAGAGAGAGAGAGAGUACAUAUCCUUGUGGUGUAAAACACAAACAGUUUAAUCAUGCCUGCAAACCCUAAUGCAGCGUUUCAGAGCACUAAGGCCCGUCUGGGGAGCCCGGACUCCCAACUGCGUCUCACAUGAGCAGUCCAGUAAAAUUAGUUGAUGAUUGAUCCCACUCUAGUGGGAGUGGGAUGUUUUUUUUUCUUCCUUUCUCUUACUUCUAAAUAGAUAUUGUAUUCAAAUAGAAGAACAACCAUUGACUCUGUAAUCCCUGUGCAACUGUAGCUGACGAGCAGCAAAAGUCAAGUGUUGUAUUUGUCUGUGUGCCACGCUUAUCUCCUCUGGUCCCCACAGGCCUGGCUUGUCAAUGUCUGUAGCUUGGAGCUACGCUUAGCUGUCUCUGAUAUUAAAGAGCACUAUCUCUGAGGUGGCCAUUUGGGGAGACAGGUUUCUUUUCAUUCCAACAAAGACACUCCGCCAUAAUAUUGUGACUAUUUUUGCCUUGUCAUCCUGAAUGCUCUUCUCACUGAAUACAGGCCGAACAUUUGUAGUCUUUAUCUGGAGGUAUGGAUUUUGCACUCAGUCUGCCUUUUGUGUAACUUCCUUUUUAUAUUGCUCAUGGCAUUUUAGAACAUUACCUUUAAAAUCUUUCUUCAAUACUUAACAAAUUAAAACACAAUAAAUGUACAAGUAAGACCAGGGUAUAAAUUUAACAACUACGUUUUCAGCAUAAUCUCCUAAUUAUAUUUUUGCAAUAUUAUAGUGAAUACCUCUGAUAAUUCUGAAGAAAUGCUAUGGUUGUUUCAUCCUUUUGAAAUUCUCCAUAAAAAUCAGCUGCCCUGCGUGAACCAAUUAAGCAGUAAUUACAAAAGCAUCUAGUUUUAUCUCUACUUGUGUGAGUCCAGUGGUCUGUUAUGUACUUAUUAAAGUGAAUUAUCUCUGAUAAUCAGUCUAAUCGGGUUUCAGCUCAUGUUAGCAGGCUUCCUGCUGGGUGCUAAUGUCUAAUUACACUGGAGCACGUCUUGAUGGGAAGGGUGCCCCGCAGCCCCUCGGUGUUUCUGCUAUGCUGCUCUCUAUCCUUGUCUGAUCACACUGGACUGUCAAGUACACAUCACGGCCAAUCACUGAUGAUGAGGAGUGGAUCAAAGCAGCCAGAGAGAACCCGAUCAAAAAGAUGGCGAGUUUGGGGAGCAUGUUCCUGUGAGAUCAUAUUUUAACCCUGAAGUUGACCUUGACGCCCUGAAGAUGAGUCAUUCAUACACUUUGCUGCUCCUGCUCAUAUAGAGUGAGUGUGUCCAAUGUCAGGAAUAAUUCCCACCAUUUUUUGUGUGUGUGGCUGUUCCUAUGUGAGCACAUGUAUGGAAUACUGAGGGACUACAUUAGUCUGUGUGUUUGGUCAGGACUCGUGUGUGGGUGUACUCUCUCCACGGGCAAUCAAUAAGCUCUGUAGCUAUAAAGAGACAUGCAGAGAAGUUGUUAAAUAGUCACAUUAACUUUAACAGCUGCAGACGGGAAUAAAAUGCAACUCUAGACAAGAAAAGAAAACUUUAUCUACAUGCUCCUAAAAGUAAUGAGGGCUACAAAAAGGAUGCAUUUACUUUUAUAUUUAAGGCAAUCCAUCUUACCUAGACAGGCACAAGAACUAUAGUCUGCAUAUUAAAGAAUAUUAAAAAUAGAAAAAAAAUAGUAUGAAAAAAUAACUCCUUGUCCAGGACAGAGAUUUGUGUUUCACCUACUGUUGUCUUUCAGCAAAAUAAAUUGAGUGGAAAUCCGCUUUCAAGGCUGGUCAUUACAGAGGUAGGUAGAGUGAUUUCAUGGCAGCAGAUUGGAAAAUGGCCUUUUGUAGCAACUCCAUUUACAUAGAGAAAUGCUGAUGGUUCACAAUAACAAAUGUGCCGUAGUCGACAGAGAGCCGCUCUGCCCGUUGUCUUUCACUGACACUUGAUAGUAGUGCACGUACAAUUAUGCAUAAUGCACUAAUGGCGGUUUCUCAUAACUGUCAGUGAAGCUGUGGGUAAAGUGUUUCCUUUGCAGACAACUUGAUGCUAGGACUACCGCCGGCACGUUUUGAUUUUGCUGACGCCAGUACCCUUGACAACAAAAUAGCAUUGUAUCAGCUGAACGUCUGCCUUGGCUAUCCUUGCAAAGUUAUUGAAAAAAGUUUAAAAUUACUUUUUGAGACUGGAGUGUUGGAGUUUUCUGUGCUUACUGGACUGAAAAGAUUGUUUCAGUGUUACAAAAAUGAACACAGUGUCAUAUCUGGCUUUUAAGUGGUUGAAGUUAUUGAACAGUAUUUUUUUUUUUAAGGUAGAUGAGGGUCGAAAUCCUUGUUUGACUAUCUUUAAGUGUGAUGUUUCUACAACUGUAAGGAGCCAUGCACACAUCAGCACACCAUUAAAGUAUUCAUGGAGAUAUAUAUUUCAUGCUGACUGGUCCUUAAGGACUUGAGCAGGACACGUUAAUGGGGAGAAGCAACCAUUACAACAACAAGCUGAUGAAAAAUUGAUCAUGUUUUCUUGCUUAACCCUGUUAACUGUGUCAGAAGGUAAUUAGCAGCAACAACUGUUAAAAUACAAAUUAUACUGAAUUGCUCAAAACAAAACAAAAACAUGGGCUCUCUGUUCACAAUUUUCCUGCACAGCACACUUGAAACUUAGAAAAAUCAGAGGCUCAUAUUCUUUCUGGAGCAAUGCCCACAAGCUAGUUCAGGCGCGCAACCCGAGCUGCGCUGAUCUCUCAUUUUCCUGUGCUGUUCUCAAUCACCUGACAAGUACCCUCUCAAUUAGGUGGUGUAUUUAAGGUUUUGUAUUUGUUGUCCAGAAAAAUGAAUCCAAAAAUCUUCUCUGUCCUGUUUCACACUUUUAAAACAUCACUGGGGAACUUCUCACUUCUUUGCAUUACAGCUGACAUUAAAUACUAAAUAUUGUUUUCCCUGUUUUUUCCCUUUAAUUUGUUUGUAUUUGUGAUAUUUAUGAUUUUUGCACUUACUGCAAGUUGUUGGGUUGUUGGUGCAACAAGUCUAAGAUGUGAUCAACUUCAACCAUGCAACCUUCUUUGCCUCUGCCAUAAGGUGACAGCUUUGUUACCACAUGAUAGACAUAAUAGCCAAAGGAUAAUAUCAGUCAGAUUAUUUGUUCUUUGCCAAUGCAGUAAUUUUAUCCAGCACAGUCAGUUAUAUACUAGAGCUCUUGUGAAAAACCUUCAGUUUGCAUCUAAUUAAGUGCCUUUUAUGAAUGAAGUGUCGUAACCAAUUGUGAAUCUUGAAAUUUGUAAGCUGUACGUGUUAACACAGAAUCUCACCCAACUUUCUGAUAUCAGUCGAAUGUGUCAUUCAUUCAGAAGGUUUCAGAAAACCAUCAAGAAAAUAACUCAGUGUGAUUGGAGGGAAACUUCAUUUAAGAGCAGAGAAUAGACUUAAAGGCCAAAUAUAAAGAAUAUACUUUAUACUUUAUUAAUUUUAAAUAAUUUUCCUAAGCACUUCAAAUACACUGCAUUUAUUUGGUAAACAUUUCUGAAUUGUUCAUAUCCCAAAAUAUAAUGCAGAAGAAAGAGAUAAAUGACAAUGUCAGUAUUUUUUUAUCAUGCAGCCUUAAUAUUUAUUUUAAACAGAUAUGUAAAAAAACAGAUAAAAAAACAUCCUCAUAGCAGCUUUAAAAUGACAGUCAGAGAUACAAUGACACAGUAAAGGGCAUGUGAAUGAUAAAUAGCAAGUGUACAUUAGUACGAUAUAAAAUGUGAUAUGAUGUAAAAGAUUAAGUAUACCAUUGGGUGCACUGUGAAGCGCAAAUACCAUUAGCUGCAAUGUAAGGUACUGCAAAUUAAAUUACAAAGGUUAAAUAGUAUUUGACAGUGUAUAUAUAUAUAUAUAAUGCAGCAAGAUAUUAAAUAGUAAAAGUAUUCAAAAGUAUGCUAUAAAUGCCUACACUAUUUUUAAAAUAAUGUAAGUAGCACAAGACUUAAAUAUAAAAUCAUACAAUUUUUUAAUCAUGCCUAUAUUUUUUUUAUUCAUUUAUUUUUUAUUUCGUAAUCCAUUUUUUUUGGUGCCCUAAAAAAGUAAAGUUUUUUUUCUUUUUUUUUCAAACUUGUUUCUCAUUUCUGAUGUACAGUAAGUCCAACUAACAUUACUGAAGCUUUUGUUGUAUCAAACAUAAUCAAAAAGAAAAUUUCAAAAAUCCUCUUUGUCUUGUUGGAACCAAUCCAUGUGGCGACCCCAGUAUUUUAAUCACGGCCAGAGGAAUGUUGUCGCCUGUGUGUCAUGAAGUCAGCCGUCGAGCAAAGAGCACUCUCAGCCUCAAAGUCACUGAAUUAGAAAUCCACACACUGCCGUCCUUAGAAGAAAAUGUUAUUUAUUUAUUCUGGGCCUCCCUUCGAGUCCAUCUCCAAAAUCACACAGCCCAACUCUGGGGGUGCGAUGUCUCUCAAUAGUUUCCACUCCACUGUUCACAGUUCAAAUGAGUUUCUCUGAAGAUUUAUUCUUCACAGCUAAUCACUUGUAACUUGGACUGAAUUUGUACAGUAAGUCACUCUCACUUGCAAUUUACAGAAAAGAGAACAAAAAAAACACGACUGAAUCAUUGCCUUGUGUGAGGUGAUCGCUUCGAAGUGAUUGGAUUUCUCAGACAUCUCCCCCCAAAUGUAUAAGCCCCUCACUGCUUUUUAAUUUAAAAUUAACUUCAGGUUUUCUGUCUGUAACAAAAACAGGAGCAGUAGUGUGUGCUCCCUUUGCGGGCAGGGUGUCUCUGUCUCUCCCCUUCCUUCUAAUAUGUUUAGCUUGUUCAGUGCCAUCAGUUACAUGUCUGCCAAGCAUCACACGUCGUCAACUUGCUCCCAAUGACGUCCCACUGUUCUGACCAUUGAUUGGCAGGUCAAGCAGCGAGCGCGAGCAGGAAAUCAAUAGCAGAGGACCUCUAGACAGUACAGGGGUAGUCUUCAAGGAACUGGCCUGCUGGACACUGCCAAUCACCAAGCACAAAAUGUAAGGCCAGCCAGCCAUGAACAAAAGCUAUCUGCAGGCUGAAACACAGAAGAAGAAGAAACAAAGAAGUUUCUCUAUUACAGGAACAAGGACAAAGGACUGCUAAGGUUUUAGAAAUAUAUUAGCAUCACAUUUGCUCAUUUAUAUGCUAAAACAUAAGUGGGACCUUGGACCUUUGGGAUUCAGCAUUGCCAAAUGUAGGCUUUUUAUCUUAACAUGCAGUUGCACCAGGUCUGACAGUCUAAGCAUGACAGAGCAAGCUUAUUAGCAUCUAGUCAGCCAUUUCGACCAAGUGGGAGACACAGGAGUCACAAGCGGAGUGUACACAGCUAUAUUCACCCUCCAGCCUCCUUAAAAGAUGGCCUGAGGGACCCUUAAGGCUUAGUGGAGUUAUGCUUUGUCCUCCUUGGUGAUGCUUUCCAUUUUUUUCUCAGACACGCUUUUGGAUACUGUUGGCGAAUCACCAAAACAAACACUCAACUGACACCACUGACAAUAAUUCUGGAGCAGAUUCCAAAAUAAAACCUGAAAAGGAAAUGGCAGCGCUGUGAAUUUAGCACUGACACUCUCAUCUGCCUCCCUGACAGAAACAGUGUCGGAGAAUCGGCUCUCGGACCCAAAGGAUCUUUUUUUUCUUCUUCUUCUUUUCACAGACAGCAUGCAGUUCUCUUGGACAGACAUAUUUUAAUAACAGUGCACUGCCAGAGCCAAGAACACUUUGUUCUCGUUCUUCCUCUUGUCCUCAAGCAGCUGAGUGUUGGUUGUGUUCUACGACCCGUGCAGUUUUAUCCUCUCUGCCUACCUCAAAGCCAGUGACCUUUGACCCCGGUCAUUUAUUUCUCUCGUCAAAACAGUUUGAGAUGAUUCAUUGUGCACAAGCUCAAGGUUGUGAAGCUGAUAUAAUAGUGGAAGCAGGCCCAAGUGUGAAUUCAGUUUUUGUCGAAUGUAGAGCACAUGUUGUUUAAAUAUUCACUACAGCCAUUAAUUUACACUAAUUUAAGAUUAAUGGUUAAUGCCCCACAGACUGUAACGUCAAGCUUUUCUUUGAAACUACUGCUAUAUCUAAGCAUUUAUACAUGUAGGGGCUUUUUCAUGGACUUACUGUAUGUUUGAAGGAAAACACAAUUAAAAGUAAUUUCCCUGAAAACGAGGUAUAAUUUUGAAAUUGGCAAAUAUCUCAGAAUUUUGUUUGUUAGGUUGAUUCACUUGUUCAGAAUAAAAAUAGAAAUACUGUGACCUUGCUUGCCGUCCCUGGUAGUUGGCAACACAUUUGCAUGUUUUUUUUUUUUCAACUGUCACCUUGGGUUCCUGCCAUACACCUGCCUUUCUCCAUGCCACUGACACACACACAAACACAAACACACACAAUGCAUUUCAAUGGUAGCUACUGGAAUUCAAAAUGCAUCUGAACUUGCCUUUGCAAAAGAAAAACCACAGCAGAAUAAAAAAUACAAAAGGUUGUAGAAUACAUUUGGCAUAAACAUUACACCCAUGUACAUAACCUUUCCCUCAAACACCUUCAGCAAUGUAUCGACGAUCAAGUACAAAUCAUAACCCUCACCUCACCUCUGUGCACACAGAAGAAUGGUGCUGCACUCACGUUGAUUCUAGUGUCCCUGACAAUGGCUUCUUGUCAUCCUCUGCCCAUCUUUUUACGAUCUCUUGUUUCUAGAGUUAAUUCCUAAUGCUGUGUGGAUGGAUGUUGCACCGAGCUCUUGCCUUCACUCCACAUUUCAAAUGUGGAUGUUUGUGAAAUGGACUGGAAUGAAAUGGAAAAAGAGCCUGUGUCUUAUUUCCCCUUCUCACCAGCUCCCUUCUCUCACUUCAGUUUCAUUUUCUCCCCGGUUCACUCUCUAGCUGGCGAUUAAUGAUAAAAUGUCCAGCAUUUGAAACGGUGUCUUCCUUUGCCUUCAGUGACUGCUCAAGACAGGGUGAUAAUAACAGCAGCUGAAAUGGGUAAAUUAUACCAAGGACUGUGACAAAGUGGUCUCACUUAGCUGUUAAAGCCGGUACUCAGGCCACUCACAAGUCACAUAGUUAAGAGGCUUUGAGGCUCAAUCUGUCCCUUGACUAUUUCGGAUACUUUGAGUUUUUGCUUUCUUUCUUUGGUAUUCUCUGGCAUAUAUAUAUAACCUGGAGGAGUUCAGUAAAAAUUUUGCAUCCUCUAAGGGGCAACACACCUGGGCAGCAUGUGACAUGUGUCAAAACAUCUGCAUGUUCUGUUAUUUUCCUGGCUUCAUGACGUGUCACACCAAGUUGAUGCAUGUCACACACGUCAGGAUUUGACACUCUUAUUUCCCAACACCACCAUGCAUCAGCUCUCCACAAAAGUAGUCAUUUUAUCACACACAGCUCCCUAGAAACUCGCAUCUACUUAUUAUACAGCUGCUAUUAUUCUGUCUGUAUGCCGUGUCCACUGUUUGCUACAGGCAUCUAAUGACACAACAGUGCGUGACACAGCCUGAGUGUAUGGCCCUUAUGAAUUGUCAAACUGUGACAUCGCUGGUUGCUGCACAAAGUCCCGCCGAUGCAGACAUGCCUAUUACAGUACAGUUACAAGCUUGACAUACAGCAUGCUUAUUCACCUCAUAAGCUUUCCAUACCUCUGAAAAGAUUCCUGCUAUACUGAAAAGAGCCUUGAGGACUUUUGUAGUUACAUGUAAGGUUGACCUGUAGCUUUCGAUUACAACAGGGGAAGCAGAAAAAUAAGAAAAAAAAUAUCUUUGUGCAUGUUUGUGUCUUAAUUUAGAGAUGUUUUGGUGCUCUUUAGGCAUAAGAUAAGAUAUUCCUUUAUUAGUCCCACAGGGGGAAAUUCCAAAUUUACAGCAAUGAUGAAUACAAAAGAGAAAUUAAAAGAUGAAGAAAUGUAGGAGUUAAAUAUAAGAUAUAUGUACAUGUUUAAAUAUCACAGUUGGAAAAUUUUAGAUAUGACUAUAUACAUGGAAUAUGCAUCCUGUCCCUUAUGGAGCUCCUUAGUGCAGUAAAAUGAAUUAGAGAAAAAAGACGCAAAAGAAAUAGAAAAAAGAGGAUAAAACUCCUUAGAGUUCGCAGAGUUGCUGUAAAAGGCUGUCGUUUGUCCAGCGCCGGAAGUCGCCAGGCGUCCUUAUAUUCCUAUUCUGUGUGAAGCUGCAUGCAAUUUUAGAAUCAUUCUCAGUAUCAUCUAUUAUCAUGGAUUUAGCUUUUUGAAUAAUAUCAGUGAGUAAGAAAAGCUCUACAUUCAAGAACAAUUCCAGGAAUCAUUGUAGUUAGCCAAAUCUCAUGAGGGUACAGUGUCACAUUAAAACAGCAUCUUUAUUCCUCUGUUAUGAAUAAUGGCUAUGAGCUCCAGCGUGUAUGUGUGUUUUCUGUUUCUUUAUUUCUCUGGCCACUGCUAUUUGAAACAAUUAAGGCAUUUGUCAUGAAUUCCUGUGGGGUGAUUUGUUUGUAAUGUGUGGGAGUAUCUGUAACACUGCCUGAAAUAAUACUUAGAGCAUUAAACCAGAAAUGCUUAUAAACAGGCUUAUUGAUUCCAAAUGCUGAUUCUGUCCUCAUGUUUUUGUUUAGGAAAUAAUUUGAUUGUUUCCACUGCUCAUAUAAAUAAAAAUGUAGUUAUAAAAGACUGUGACAUGCUGUAACAAUUAUGUUCGGAGAAUUAAUCAUAACCAUGUUGGUUACAGAUUUCACACUUUGGAAAAACAUUACACAGCAAUGAUUUGCUUCAUUUAUCUCAGAUUGGUGUUCUUAUUCUGUGAGUGAAAGUGGCAGCUGUGAAAUCAAACCAUCUCAUAUACAAUGACACAAUGUUAAAGAACUUACCUUUAUCUUUGUAAAUCCAACAUCUUCAGCAAUGGGUCCAUUUGGGGGUUUUAAAGCAGUAUUUUAGUGUAAAAGAUGAUAUUGUUAAGGUUUGCAGAGAGGGGCACUCAGUUAUUUAAAACUCAGCAAUCACAGACGACGGUUAAAGAUCUCAGUUGAAUCUUAAUUGCGGUAAUAAUCACCAGCCUUACCCUGUGCUUCUUUAUCUAAUGCAACAAAAACCAAAAUCUUUUCACACAUCUUAAAUCACCGAACAGUUUUUUCCAGAUGACAGACAAAAGAAACAGUGUCUGCCCACAGAUCAGGGUCAGGAGAUCACCAGACAAAAAGAAAAAAAAGAGAAAGAAAACAGUCAAUCUUUAUCUCCUUUUUAAAGUGGAAGCCAAAAAACAUCAGCUCCCAAACUCCUUGCUGACAAGCCAGGGACUCCUCAGACAAGCAGUGUGCUGACAGGACAAUGUUUUGGUGCUCCGGCCUGGAGAUUUCCCUCUUCUUUGGCUUCAUUUCAGCCUGGGAGCCACAUGUCAUGGGUCAAACAGAAGAAAAUACUUAGCCGCUUGUUAUUCCUCUCUGCUGGCACUCGGAAAGGGAUCUGGUGAGAGACAGAUGAGCCUGUCUCUCUGAGCAGAAAGACAGACAGUUGAUGAAACACCCGGCCUUUUGUUAUUCUUUUUUUUUAUGAUAUCCGUGUGUGUAAAUCGCUACAGGGACACUUCUAAGAAUUAUUAAAUGAUUGAGUUUGAAGUAGCAGCUUGGAGACAAACAUUUCCAGGAAUAAGACAGAAUGAAGAACUAACAUUUCUCUUGCUGACUGUGCCAGCCUGAAAGGCUUUGAGCACAUUACCAAUAAAUGUACCAAAGUGUCAGAGCAGUUACACAACAUUCAAAUCAUGAAAUAUCAAGUAUUACAUUUUUUAUUGUUUUUUAACAACAAGAUAUAAAAUGAUGAGCUUUGACACUGAAACCCAAAUUCAACUGCAAAACUGGGUUUCGUAACUUCACUUGAUUCUUCAGCGAGUUGUUGUAAAAACAGGGGAAGUAUUGCGUGAUGUUAAUCUGUGAUUAUUUAAUGUGUUAAGAUGUGUCACAACAACUGUAGUGUUGGUGCACUAUUAAAGAGCAACUUGAUUCAGAAUGUUGGCAAAUAGUUUCUGCACCGUAAUUGGCCAUAUUUAUUAAUAAGUAAGUCUAAAAGCAUUGAUUUUGACAGUGGAGGGGGAGCAUCUCGCUGUGCAGUAGCAGGACCUCAUGCUGCUCCCUGCGAGCAGGACUCUCGCUGUGUAGCAGUGAUUGCAACAUAUCCCUCUGAUUACUGUCAGUGAAUGUUAUGAGGUGUUUUCUGAUUGGGCUGGCUCCGGCUCCAGGGUUCACUCUAAGGGCUUCAUGGGAAUAUGCAAAGUGCUCUGCAAAGUAAACCUCCAUCUUAAAUACAAUGCCGACGCAGCCACUUCUGCUUAGAUUUUGUGGGCAUAAUUUGACACAGAUGCUGGGUCCGUCACAAAAGGCAGAGGAAAACACAUUAGCAAGAAAGAGGCCAGCGUGUCCUGCCAGCCGGAGACAAAGAUGUUUGAGGAUUGUGGUGAGACCAACAAAGGAUACCUCUUGAUUUUUCUCAGUAUUAUUGCCUUGUUUUCUUCUCACUGGUGUGAGUCUUACCAGUAUAGUUGCUCCAUCAAGGUAUAGUUCCAGAAAACCCCAUUCAUUAGUUGUUUUGUCUUGGUUUUGAUCAACUUGUCCAGCUCUGGGAGUUUCCUCCGCUACCAAAACAGUCACAUCUAAGAGGGCAAAUUCCAGCUCUCUUUAUUUUUCUGCCCAUUUCCGAGGGUUCAAAUACCACCAUACACUGUUACACUUGUAGUUUUCAUCUCACGGUAUCUUCAAAAACAAGGCAAAGUCAAGGAGUGGGGAUAUACAGUAUCAUCUUAGCCUCCUUAUGAUGUUGUUCCACCUCCACAGGCAAUUGUCAGAGGAUUACAUACAUGCUGGUAUACAUAGAGCCCUCGGAUGAUAUUUUCAUUCCUUUGUACUGUGUGUGUUUCUGUAAGUGUGUUUCCAAUUAUUUAAAAUGUAGUCAGUAUUCCCUUUUCUUAAGCCAGGGACAUUCACACAUUAAAGAGAGUAGGUCGCCACAUGUUGGUGUUAUCAGUUACUGGUAAACAACUUGAGUUUAACCUGUAUAAUGUUAUUAAAUGGGUAACUGUAGUGCAGACAAAUUCAAAUACACGUCUCCACCAUCAUCUCAUCUAGCUAUUUUUUUUUUCUUUUCACUUCCUCAGCCGAAGCUGGUCAUUCAAUCUGAAAGCAAUUUAGCCCAUUAGCCUGAUGUUUAGGAGGCCAGUUAAACCAUGCGCAUCUACUUUGCAGCCUUCGUACUGAACUGUAGGGCAAUUUGUUUGUUGAUAAUACAGGCAGUGUUUCUCUGAGUUGGAAACGAAGCAUUUCUGACAAUAAUGCAAACAACAACAGGAUGUAUGGACGGAUUGUGCAAGAGCUCGUUGAGCAGCAGGAAACAUUUACAGAGAUCUCUGCAAGGUUAAUUGGCUGGGGUUACAUUGAAUGUUGUAAGCUCUGUAAUUAGUUCAGUACUUAUUCUGUUCUGCUAUUGUUUAAGUUACCAAUAACUACGGCGGUGUUUACAGUUACUCCAACACAAGCUUUGCAAUGCCUGUUCUUAUUGUUUGCACAGUCUUCUCUUAAAGCUCUUGUGUUGGCCUACACAAGUAAACAAGGCCAUCCCAUAAAGAGAGAUUAUUUCUAUCAUUUUCAAUGUCUGUAUCGAGUGGUGUGGGUUGGUGUCGGCUUACGUGGUAAAUUGCAUACCUCAGAAAUAGCGGUCUUCCUUUUACAUUCCCCAAGGCAAAGAUUUUAAAUGAGUCAUACAUAAAUGUGUUAAAUGAAGCAGGGUUUCUUUCUGUCUUUCUUUCUUUUUCUUUUCUUUUCUUUUUUUUUUUAACAAGAUAUCAUUAAAAAACGCACAGGGAAAAAUAAGGAAAGAACUGAGAGCUAUAACUUUGUCCACAGGGGGCGCCAAAAUCAACCCAAACUGACAGCAAGUGUUUUAGAAAUGGACAGUUCAGUAAGUGUGACUGUCAUGUGUUGACACUUAAGGGCAAAAAAAUACCUAAUUUGAGUAAAAGCUGCAUAUGUGUUUCAUUCUGAGAUAUAUUCUAUGAUUUUCUUUAUUCUUGCAAAAUUCAUAUAUAUUUUUCAAGGGGGAGAUAUAUUUAAGGCAUGAAUGGCAAUAAAAUGAGAAACAUCUGCAUCAACAUUAGACAUUUCCAAUACAAUCGUAUUCUUUUUUUUUCUUCGAGUGCUUGAAAGAGUCAGUGUUCAAAACAAGAAAAGGAUUAAAUUAACUUUUGAAUCUUUAUCAAGUGACUGUCACAGAUGCUGGAAGUCUUUUUAUUUCAUUAGUGAAACUUAUCAAAAAUAUUUUUACCAACCGCUGCCUACCUCACCACCAGUGAACAUUUUAAUGACUUCAUGCUAGCUUAUGGAAACUCUUGCUAAUUAUUGCACUUUUGAUUUGAGACUUCUCUCACUCAGGGGUUAUUAAACUGAAGUGUUUUCUGCCACUUUAUCCACUUAACAGGGGCACUGAACUAGUGUAUAUGGAUGAGAUGUUCAUCUCUAUUAAAUGAGCGUUGUGAUGAAGUAGAAAAAAGAAGUUCUUCAAAAAGACAACAUUUUUUUGUCAUUAUUGCAUAUGAAUGAAUGAAUGUACAUUUAGAGGAUAAAGAUCCUUUACAUUCUUAGCUGAGAUUCCUCUGGCUCAAUUGACCCACAGUACAACAUGAAAACCAUUUAUCCCUGCUAUCCGAUUGCGUUCUAUGUACUCUGUUCUCCAUGUGAGGGGUGUUUCAUUGCUUUAGACACACUCCCAGCUUUCAGGUAGAGAGUCAUCAAUCACUGGCCUUCUUCUGACAUUAACUUUUUUGUCAAUGCCACUGUCUCCAGUUUGUCUGCAGACUGAAAGAUUUGAGAGGCACUUUUUAUUUGCACGCUUUUAACUCCGCCCAGCUGGGGUAAUGGAGCUGGUUGUGUGCAAGCAAUUAAUGCAACCACAAUGCCAAAAGUGGUGAUUUGUCAUACCCUGCUGAUACCUAAUCAUUAUAUGGAAUGUAACGCUGCUAAAUGUGCCCAGACUCAAUUGAUGUUAUGAUUCUGUCUGUCCUCAGGUUUCUAGGGUUUUUCCUAGCGCUCCCAUUCCCACGUGUGCCAACAAACACAAGAUGCAGGCAAUAAAUGCACAACAUGCAGGCCUGUUUCCAGUAAUAUGCAUCUCGAUUUUUCUCGUUAACUGUUUUGUGUUUUGAUCCGUGGUCAUGUUUUUGUAAAGCAAUAUGAAAGCCCACACUUGUCCUUGUAAAUUCAUGGGUGUAUAAUGAAACAGUAUGCAAAAUGCACCUAUUGCAAGUUGUGUUGUUCCUGACAUUGAUUUGUUUUGACUUUUUAAGCAACACUGCUGCAAAUUUAUCCUACCUCUUAUUUUAACUCCCUGGACACUCUACCUCCUGUCUGUUCUUGCCCUUAAUAUGAAGGCAUUUCAAUUGCAGUGAAGCCCCUAGGCUGACAGCCAUGAGAUUAGUAUGAAUGUAUUACCCCCUUGGGUGCCAUAGCCUGUAAUAAGUUCCCCAUUAAUCGUAUCCUUUGGGGAAAAUUUGUUUAGGCCUUAAUUACAUAUCAUUAAAAUUGGUCUUGAUUCUCUCAGAUUCAAGCUCAGAAUUAGACUGCACAUUUUCUGCCUCCUUCGCCUUCGGCCAUUCUGCAAAAUUAUGUUACUUUGCCUCUGCACCCGUGCGAUUUCUCAUGGCCUCGAUGAUUCCUCUUAUGUAUUCCAGUUCACUAAAAAACUCGCUUGCUCUCCCUGGUAUGUUUAUUAAUAAUUUCAUACCUUUUGUUUAUGUCUGUGUUUUGCGCAAACUUGUCUAUUUUUCAUUCUUCUUUUGCCUCACUUUACAAAGGUCUUUGAAAUAUGCUUAUACUUUAUUUAUUUACUCAGAGCAGAUAAAAAAGACCCUCCGAACAGCAUAAGCUGAAUCGUUUGAAAUGCAACACCCUCUUUCACUGUAGGUAAAGCUUGUAGAGCCCAGUAAGUCCAUAUUGCAACAAACAAAUCUUUAAUGGAGGCUUAAAUUUCUUUCUGCUUUCUUCAGAGGGACUUUAUAUUUACACUCAUGAAGCUUGAAGCGAAGUCAUGGUUGUCUUUAAAUCCCUCUCCAUCAUUUCGAAAAACACUUUAAACUUCACUGCAGCAUUAUAUUUUUGCGUGUGCAGACAAUGGACUUGUAACCGUAAAAAUGGCCUGGAUCACAUCUAUUCCUACCAUGUUUUCAGUACAGUAAAUACUCAUAGUAUUUAAUGCCAAAAUGUUAAAUCUCUAGACAAUAAUGAUCAAAUAAUAUUUGCAGACCUCAAAGUUAGUCACUUGACCUGGUUAAAAACCCUCUGGCUCUUCAUGCACAGGGUAUUUAGUCUCUGCAGAGCCAAAGAACAUUGCAGUCAACUGCGAAUAAAAAGCUGUCAUAUCGCCCGCUAUCUCUUGGCAUUGGGAGCUGAUUCAUGGUCUGUCUACAUGAAAGUCCUUCAGUUUCAGAGUCGUCUUUGCCACCUCACAAUAAGAUGAUUUGGCACUGACACUGCCGCAUUUGGAAAGCAAGCAUUUCUUGGAUUAUAAGUCCCUGAAAGUAAUCACGAAGAAACUUAGCAUCUAAAUAUGGUGAUUCAGUGUUUUGCUGAUGAAUCAUAACUCAUGUAAAUCCAUUAAACUUAAACCAUGCACCCCAAGCUGCCAUGCUCAUUCACAAGCCCCACAUCCAUUUGUUGGUUAGUUUUUUCUCUUUGUGUGUCUAAUUAAGAUCAGAUUUGAAUCAAAGGGAAAAUCUGAAUUUUCGGUACUUGCUUCCAGUUAAUCAAGCCAGUUUAGCCCUUGUUUUUAUCGCAGCAUUUUCACUCCACAGAAUGUGUGUGAGUGUGUGUAUGUGUGUGUGUUCAUAUACAUAAAUAUUAUUCAAACUGUUACAUUUAUCUUUAAAGUUUGAGCUCUAGCUACACUGUAAAAUGUAAUCAAAGCUUUUGACACAUAUCAAAUUUCUAUUCUGCUAUUGCAUCAAAUCUACAAAGGCACAGCACCAUUGCUUUAAACGCUUACUCUUAGUUUACACAUUAUAAUCUGCAGUGGAUUUGGUGGUCCCCUGAUAUACAAAUAAAAUUAAGCGACUGACUUAAUGAAAUUGCUAUAAAAUCUCAAAUGAACAGAACAGGAUAAUAUUCAUAAGAAUAUUGGAUUUUUAACAGAUCUCGUUUGAAAGCUGCAUGUUAAGUUCAUAUUUGGCAUUUUUUGGUUAUUAUUAUAGCAGUUUUUAAACUUUUAUUCUAGCCUGGGGAAUACCUAUAGAGAGUAUGUUUCAAAGCUACAUGUAUGAAGUUUAAAUGAUCAAAUGAGGCCUGAAAGAGAAGGCGGUCAAGGGCUAAGUAACACCAUCUACUUAAAUGAAGCCAAUGAAAAUACCUGCCGCAGAACAUGUUUACAUUUCCUGAUAGCAUUUAGCAUGAGAGGGGUGCUCAGACAGGAAGACUGUUCACAUAAAGAGCUGUGUGCAGAGCUGUCAGCGGUAACCUUUUCACAGCUUCAUUCCCCCACACAGACCACCUGUAGAGCACUCGACGUUUUCUUGGCAAUGCAUUGUGCUGGAAAAAAAAAAAAAAACACAGUCUGAGCAGAGCUGUACUGUUUUUUAUUUUUUUAUUUCUUUUUUUCCCCCUUCUGUUUUGAUACCCUGUCCCCAGCAUCAAAAGAUAGGAUUUCAAGCUAAGAACAAUGUUUCACAAAGCUCACCAUAAUAAAAGAAAGAGGCAAAAAUAGUCUUUUAAAAAAUGUGACCAUUACAGGAAGAGGGGUAUUUAUAUUGGCCUGCUGUAUGUCAGUUAGGAACCUGGGAAUGGCAACAGUUCAUUGGAGCAGUUUGACUCGAUAUGCCGAUGAUUUAUCAGACCACUGGGACCAUUUGGGCUUGUAAAACAUGAGGUGAAGCCAAGACCAUUAAGCUAUGUAAUCAGCCAUGGUGAGCCUGAUACCACUCUCACUACCCCAAUACAUUUACGGUCUAAGGGCUAAAGCACAUACUUCUUGGUUGUUACUGCUGCUUUUUGGAUGUUUUUUUCCUUCUCUUUGUUUGGGCAAUUAUUUCUUCUUUUCGGGAGCUUAGUGUAUGCCUCAUUUGUGCAAAUUGAGCAUGUGUGGGAACCGAAAAGUUCCUCAGAAAGUGUACUUAGUUUCAUGCCUUUCCUCUGAUUGGAUUUAAUGGUGAUUUUUUUAGUAUAGUGAGGCAACAUGAGAUACUUUGUUGUGAAUCCAAGAAGCAGUAAUUUUACUACCUGAUAGUUUACACACCUAAAACAUCUUCCUUAAUAAUAAUAACAGUUAAAUAGGCCUUUUAAAUGACUAGUUUAAGCUUCCCUUUGAGUGGAAACAGGUUCCCUGGUUUUUAGAUGUUUUUAUUAUUCACAUGGACUGGUUCAACAGCAUGUGAGACUGUUCCCCAAACUACUCUCCAAGCAUUUUAAUGACUAAUUUUACCGCUCAGGGAGACUGCUGUGUUUAUGAGCAACUCUGAUUUUUUUUUUAGGUUCAGCGCAGUGACAUGACGGGUAAACUUUUUAAAUAGAUAUCAGGGCAAUAGUAAUUUGUCACAGGCGUCCUGCCAUACAAGAUUAAUUUCCAUAUGUCAGAGUAUUUCCCUAAAGACUAUUCUUCUUUGUGAGCCUGCUGUAGGUCAGACAAGGAAAAUCUAAAAAUGUAAAGCAAGAAAAGUAUGAUGACUGCAUGAGACACUCAGAUUAUGUCUGUCCUACUGCCCUGAUGAGAACUCCCUUAACACUCUCCAAAGAAACACACAAAAAGUCCCACUGUUUUGGUCUUUUAGUUCAGUAAAUCUACAACAUCAAAGUAUCAUGAUACAAACAUUUGAUUCUUUUACUUGGAUUUAUAAAGUUUAAGGAGUUGAAGACCUUGGCAUCUAUUAAGUUUGAUGGUUUUACUGUUAUUCAUAGCAUUACUUUCUGAAAACCAAUGCAGAGAAAACACUUCAGGACUGUUCAAUAGAAAAAAACUGAAGUACCCUGCUGUUGAAGGUAAAAAAUAUUCAAGAGCAGUUUACAACAAUAUUCUCUCCAAGUUUUAAAAUUCAAGUCAAGCAUGUUGUAACCUUUAAGUAACGUAACACACACAAUAAAAGUAGUUCCUAGUUUCUAGGUGUUUUCAUGUUGGUUAAAUAAAACACAGCAAUUGUGUCUUUGUCCGUCUGUCCUUAGUCAUUGUGUGAGAUGGUGGUGCUGGUUUUCACCCAUGCACUUUUGAAAAUCCUCCCAAAUUUCCUGGUGGGCUGCAUGUACGGAAAGAGCAGAUUUUCCUAUUAUCAAGAAUUUGACAUUUUUACACAUAUCUGCAAUGAAGGUAUGGGGGACGAAAAGCUCACUCUUUGGCUUGUAGACAUAUCAGCGAACUGUUGAGCUGCCAUCAGACAUUUAAAAUAUAAAUCUUAGCUCUGGGCCUGAAGAGGAGAGCUUAAAUAUCAACAGCACACUGUAAUAAUUCAGAUUAAGGAGUAGAGGAUGUAGCAAAAAUAUCUUCCCACCGUUUUUGUGCAGCUGAAUUACGAUCUUGAUUUUUAUCACCAUUCUUUAUCAUGUUCAUUAUUGAAAUUAUUUUGCCAAGUUCUGACUAAAAUUGACUACUACCCAAUUAAAGAAAAAUUUGCUCAAAGAAAAAAGAAAGACUGUUUAUACUUUUUUGGAUAGAAUUUAUGUGUGUGUGUGCUGCUUGUGCCAUGUAGAACUGACAUUGAACAAGGAUGUUGACAUAGAUCAGACUUCUAGUCAUCUGAUCACUAUAUGUUGUUUCCAAGGUUGCAUUCAGUUUGUAAUCAGAUGACUAAAGAUGAAUUUCACUUUACAGUUAGAUUGAAGAGUGACAUUCUUUAAAGUGAAAACACAGUUGAACAAAGAGAUGAAGAAAUCAUCAACUAAUCGAGCCUUAACUGAACGUUUAAACAUACAUCAUUGUACUCAUGCAGGCUGAUUCUGCUGUAAAAAUGUCAUCACCUUACUUACUGUUAACCAUUCAUGUGCAACGCAGAUGUGAGGUGCAGUGUGUAUAAAAACAGCAGAGGCAGUGUAGCGGCUGAGCCAGUAUGACAGAGUGAUCAGCAGUGAGGACAACAAACAAGGGAUCCCAGCGAUGUUUCAGUCGCUGUUGCUGUCAGUCUUGAUCGAAGCAUUAAAACAAGAGUAACCUCAGAGAGUGCCACAAUGUCUAGGUGUGUAAUCUAGCACAUCUGGCAUGAUGAGAAAACAUCACACAUUGUUUAAUAAUUGGCUUUAGCGUAAGUGAGGUCGCCCAUAAAGCAGAGUUUUGAAGCCUAUUGGCGGCAGUUGCCAUGUUUGCAUUGCUGACUCAACCUAUCUUGCAUAUAGGAACGAUUUGUCCACCUGUUAGUCGCAUCAGCUGUGCCUCUGAUUCACCAAUCUUGUAACCUUAAUAACUUGGAAACCAAUGGGUCACUAAAUACUAAUUCUCUUUACAGUGGGUCUGUGAGAUCCUUGAGUUAUUCAAACCAAGGUUUAUCAUACACAUUUUAUCUCAAAACACUGUGAACUCAGGAUCCCUUUUGAAUUAUACUAUUGUCUUUCCAAGACAGCUGAGUAAUGCAGUUCAUUCAUGGUGCAGUGUGGACGGGCCGGUUGUUGCCUGUAGUCUGCAUCCAAGGACUUGGCCUGUGCAUUAUGUACAGUGUUACCAUGCAUCCAUUUGUGGGCAUACAAUGGAUGUCAAGAGAAUGUGCUGAUACGAUGAUCCCUCUGGGUUGCAGAGUCCUCUUUAAUCUAACACACCCCUAUUCUGAGUCUGUAGAUAUGACAAGUAAAAGGCUAACAAUUUAUAUCAACUUGGUAAAGCACAUGUCAGAUCUAAGUUCAUUCCUCUAAACUGCCGACAGGACACCUCCUUUUUCCUUCAGACUGAUUCAAGUAGGAUUCCUCGCCCAAAGGCCAUAUUCAUUUCUGAGAAAGACUAACCUUUGACAAGUAACAAAAAUGGCUAACAGACAUCCAGUAAGAAGACAAGGUGCAGCCUCUGGGUGAACUUUAAAGCAUUCUCUCUGUGACAAAUAACCAGAUAAACCUCGCUAACCAAGGCCUGUUUAAAGACCCACAUUUGUUGGCUUUAAGUUUUAGCAGCCUCAGGAAUGAGAUUUAUUAAAUAAUUAGAUUAAAGGUAUGAUAGAAAGUAAACGUGUGGAUAACUGUGUAUUUUCAAGGUAUGCAUGAGAGUUGUAAAUUUAUACUCGGAUGGAUUUUCUCUGACCCUUUCCCUUUGCUGUUUGCACUUUUAAUACACUAAUGCCCAUGCAUUAAAAGGCUCACGGAUAUAAGAAUGACUCAGCGACUACAAAUCGACUUGAUGUCUCCUUGCCUUUAUCCUCUUAGAGAGAGCUUUCAGGGGGAGGAGGGGGCUGAAAAUGACUAUUCCAUGCCCGUCCAUAAAAGAGGUGUUUUCUUUUGAUGAUGAGGAUAAGAAGAGUACAGGUAGAAGCUGUUAGGGAAAUAUAUAUAUGUCAAGACAUCCGUAUGGGAAGAGCAUUCACUCGACCACCUAUUCACAUGAAUACUGCAGAUUUUAUGAACCCCAAGGUACAACACUUAUGGAGAGGAGAAGAUUUAAGGUCAUGUUCUUCACAUCUGUACAAUACAUCACUGUUAAAGUCAAUACUGUACUGAGCUGUGUAAAUAGUGCGGGGGCGGGAAUGUGAACUUUGCAGUUGUUUGAAAAGGCCAGACAUCGCUUUUUUUUUUGACUCUGAACAUUGACGUAAAUCUUAGUCAAUCUGCACCUUUGUCAAAAAGCUUAUUGUUUCUGUCAUUUUCCCAUAAAAUAAGAAAAACAACCAGAGUGAAUCUCUGAUGUUAAGAUUAGCUGGUUUUUAAUUUUUAAUUAUAGUAGAAUCCCCGAUAUUUAGGGUGCCAGUUUUACCUUGUGGUUCAGUCAUGCACCCCAUGUACAGACGAGUACUAAAGCAAGUUGACCUAAUUAUUUUACAACCUUUGGCUUCUUUCCUGUCCCGUUUGUCACUUCACAUUCUCUAGUCUGGUUUCAUGAUCUUAAAACUGUCUUUUCUUCUCUGAAUAAAGGCCUAAAAGGAGCCUAUAAAAUCUUUUAACUUUAUAAAGAUAACUCUAGAUUGUUUUUCCUGUGUUAGACUGCAGGAAAGCCAAUAUAAGGACUCGAGGUUAUCAGACAUGACCUCUUGUAAAUUGUCAGAGGCACAUAUUUGAUAUUCUAAGGCAUCGAAAGUAACUCGCAAAAAAUUUAAUUCCUCAUGUAUCCCAAAACUGUUGCCCUGAGAUCGAGGAUUUGUAAACCUCUCGAAAAAUGAAAGCAGUUUAGAAACAAAUACUGUAUAAUAGUCAGAAUAGACCAGCUGCUAUAUGCCUGCAUCAAUCUGGUACACCCCCAAGUUGUAGGUUCAUCCAAUGAGACUCUUUCCAGCCUUCCCCUCUGGUUUUUCCAUUUCUCUGUGGGAGGUUGGAGAGCAAAGGAAGGAAGCCUUUCGUGGUUCACUUGAACUUGAGUGCAAUCCAAGACCUUAUCAGCGUGCAGCUGCCUCAGACAACUGAAGUACAUGUGUUUGAGAACGUGCUACAAGCCAGUUCAUGUUGGUCAUCAGUGCCCUAUAACCAUUAAACUCAUGCUUGUUGAGUAAUGAUGUCGAAGUAGGACGAAAAUUAAUUUCAUCUUUAUGCACUACCAUAACUUUUGUAUCUGAGAAAUAGCCUGUGCACUUAAAUUCGCACUGAAAAAACAGGAAUUAAUUCACUUUUCUUAUUUUAUUUGGAAAUAACUCACAAAAAUUUGAGGGUUUUUAGUUUUUGUUAAAUAAAGAAAUUCAUAUAAGCUUGUUCUACUGAGUUAUAGUGAUAUUAAGACAUGGCAGAUGCACAUUGUGCAGCACUGACCCUGUGGAAGAGACUUUUCUCUAUCCGCGAGGCUUUGAACAGUGGCCAGAUAGCCUGCUGUGACCGAGUGCAGCAGGAGACUUUGCUGCUGUGGAAGUCAAUGGCCUCUGCUGGGAGAAGAAACAAGAGAGCUGCCGAGACAGGAAUCAGGAUCCACCUACCCUCUCCAAGAUGUGUCAGUAAAGGUGCCAGACUGGAAAUGUGUAAGCCCUGGCUUUAAUGCCACAUGACAACAAAGUGCAAAGAUUUAUGGGUCUGUGUGCAAACGGAUGUGUCCCAAGAGAAAAAAGAUUACUUGGGACAUGAUACGAGGCAAAUGUAUUUAUAAAUGUUUAGCUUUUUGGAUCUGUCAGUAGUGGGUCCUGAAAUCAAGAAAUUAGUUAUUUUUGGAGCAUAAUUUCCCUCCUCAGUGAAACGCUUGUCACAGUUGAAUAUUUUGCAAGUCCAGGGAGUGUGAAUUCGAUCUUUAUAUCCUGUCAGUGCAUAUUAGUAUUCACAAUCUGUGGCUUAAAGUUCAGGGUCACUGGAAACUAGAAGCAUUCCCAAAUAUGUGUUUUAGGAAUUUGCACCUGAUACAUUAAAUAACUUUCUCAUGGUUAACAUUUAAAAAUAUGUCAGUAGUGCAGUCUGAUGUUAUUUGGUCUGUUAUUCAUGGAGAGAACAUCUUGAUAAUAAGGUGUGUUACCUUCAUAUGCAAAGGUAGCAUGAAGGCCAAGUCAAUACAAACAGCAUCGCAUAGAAACUGUUUUGGUUGGUGUUGCUAGGCAACACUGGCAGCCAAACAAUAGCACACAGCCAUAUAUUUGGAGCCAGGGGUGCUGAACGCCACAGCACAACAUGAAGUCUGUAUUUAGCUGUAUUAGCUUAUCCUUUUUACUGGAGUGAGGUUGAACAGUGAAGCACGAGCCAAAAUCACAAUGAAAACAUCUUCACCGCUUAAUCAAACAAACAUGCUUCAUGGCCCUACUAUGUAGUUUUUCUAUCUUGACUCCUAUGUUUGUGCUUUUACAUAACAAUAGGGCUGCAGCUAUCGAUUAUUUUAGUAAUCGAGUACUCUAUCGAUUAAUCUGUCGAUUAAUCGAGUAAUCGGAUAAGAAAUGUUUUGCUCUCACUGUAAUACUUUGCAUUGAAUCACGUUUGCCUCAUUAAAAACCAUCAGUAACACACAAAACUGAAAUAGGCCAGGUCUUUCAAAUGAAUAUUUUUACUGCAUAAAUCAGGAACCAAAAGUUUUACAUUUUACCAUGUAGUUCACAUGAAACUACUGAAGGCAAGGUCUGCAGAUGGUCUUUUAAUUGCUAUGGUAAUGAUCUUUGCAGUUUUCACUAAACCAGUCACAACUAUUUCCAGGCUUUGGAUCUAAUUUUACUUGUUUAAUUAAUAGGCUGAAAUAAUAUAAUUCUUGGAUACUAACAUAAUUUGACAAGCAAAUGUACAUUUAUUCAAUAUAUAAAAGUGUUACAUUUUUAUUUACAUGUUGUUGUGUGUUGGUCAUUUUGCAGCCCUCUGCUGCUCAUCACACGCCUAGCAGGUGGUGUAUAGCAUUAUCACCAUGGAUACACGGAUGUUUGUGUGAUUUUUUUCAUCCACUGCCGCCCGGUUUGUGUCGUGUAGAUGUUGAUUAUGAAAACACUUCGCAAUAAUUUGGAAACGUGAAGGGGGAGCUGCUGCUGCCCGGUGUUUACGGUAAAUAGACGCAAACACCGACCAAGUGGACGCUUCGGUCUCCGAAAACGCCGAGACAAAUUUACAAACAGCCACUAUUUCAAACAACUGGGCUCAUAAUCGUGAUGUAAACACUUACUUUCUCGCUAGAAAAAAUAUUAUUAUUGAAUGAAUUUAUAUAAUUUGUCCGGUAUGCAGUCGUUCUUUGUAGCUUGUGGUAGGACUAUUUAAAUUUUCCCGGCGCUGCGUCCGGCCGGCACGAAAUGCAUUCUGGGGUAUUUAGUAUGUAUGUGUGUAAACGCUCGGGCAGCCGCGGCAUACUCAAAUCAUCUUUGAGUAGUCAGUAGGCAGUAGCUACUGCUUGAGUAGGUAAGUAGAUAGCAGGCAGUAUGCCAUUUCGGACACAGCUUCUGUCUGUCCUCGUUUCCCUCCAUGAUUGAACCAAACGCGCGGCAGCGGAAGGAGCGGAAAGAGCACGCUUCUGCGCAACAGAAAUAACCGUCCGUGUCAAACACCGUGCGCUGCACAUGGUUCCGGAUUUAAACGAUUCCUCGAGGCAUAUAAUUUGCCUCGAGGAAUUUUAUUAAUCGAGUUACUCGAGUUACUCGAGUAAUCGUUUCAGCCCUACAUAACAAUGAAAACUUUGUUUUUGUUGUCAUGUAAAUUCUGGGUUAGCGUUUCUGCAGUUUGUUCCAUACAAAGUCAUGCUGUUGCUUGGUGGACUUUGCAUGACAAGAGGACGCAUAUGUCUCAGGUUAUUUAUUUUUUUAAUUCAAGUAGAUGGCACACUGAACUCCAACAGAUACAAGGAAGCACAACAUAUAAAGGGACUCUUGUACCUUGAAUAUAUAAUGCAAGAUCAAAGUAAAGAAAGUGUGAUUUUGUUUUUUGAACUUAAGAAAACUGAUGAUUGAAAACCAAUGAUAGAUUUAUCUGCUAGUACAAUAACACCCUUUUGAUUUAGUUAAAUUAGAAUAAGUGAAAGCUGAGGUUUCUGCUGUUUAAUGCUGUCAUUUAGGGCUGGGCGAUAAACCGAAGAUUUACAGAUACUGAAAUUUAUGAAAACGACCAACGUCAUUUUGCCCAAGUCAAUAUGUUGGGUGUCAAAAUAAAAAAUUAUUGAUAAAGGUUGGUUUUGGAUGUGUGUAGGUAGGCUAUGGUCUCAUUUAAGAUGUUGUCCUACGUCGGAGAUGUUACUCCACCCCAUCCCAUCCAGUCCGUAACAAAGAGGGAAAGACGGGUGAGGAGAUGGAGGACGGUUCAAAAGUUGUAGUGGCUGGAGUGGUGGCUGAAGUAGACGAAGUUAAUGUGGGAGGGGGGAACAGCUUGUCGAGUAGUUAUCAUCCCUUUAUCGCAAUCGAGGUGAACUGCUCAAUAUAUCCUGAUAUUGGUUUGUGGCCAUAUUGCUCAGCCCUACUGCCAUUGCUUGGUUCACAAAAACAAGAAAAUAUACUCUUUUUAAACUCAACAAUCUUACUGAUAAUCACAAAAGAUACAAGAAUUACAAAUUUAAUUCAAACUAGGAAGUGAGUUUACAGUGAUCUUUUAAAGGUGUCAACUCAGGGAUGAAUGGAUGAUGAGUGAAGAGUUUUCCAUUAAAAAAAUAUAAAGACAGAUAUUUCGAGACAAUGGAAGAACAGCAUGGUACCAGGAGACUGGAGCGCAAAAAAGAGUGUGUUGUAGCCUGGUCUUAAAAUAUACCAGCCAUGUGCUCUCAGUUUGCCCUAAAGAAACCAUGAAACCCACCCACUACCAAUCUCCAAAAGAGACCAACACAGAAACUGAAAGGGGGGAUGCAGUGAAGAAAGGGCUGCAAAAGAGGGAAUGCUAUCACAAACAGAAAACCUUGUUUUCAUAUGUGAGGUUUUAUGUUGGCUGUGAUUUUCAAAGCUAAGCCAUGGCAGUAGAAACAGACAUUUUUCAAAAGGUAUUGUAAGAUUUGAUGCUCUGAUUCUGGUGCCUUCCUGUUUAGAAGGAGAACUUGUGGGCCUUUCUAGUGAGAUACAGUUUUACUAUCUUGACAAGACAAAAGUCACACUCACUGUAUUAUGGUCAUCAGGAUCUCUGUGCACAUUCUCGCCGUCUCUGUGAAUGCAAAUGUGAUAAUGAGUGAAAUCACACAGAUGGACACUCAUUGUUAAAUGCUUAGUCAGACAAACGAAGGCUUCAACCCCGACUUUACACAUGACACCAGUAGUAAUUUCUUCAGGGGUUACUGCAAAAGUAAAAUAAGGGUCUCUCGGAAGUCAGAGCAAAAGAAAGGUCCAUUGUUCUGGACAAAGUUGCAAUGACCACCAGAUCCCCUCUCUGUAGGGGGAAUGACUGACGCCCUCAAUGGCUCACUAACUAAAAGAAUAUUAGUCUUGGACAAUGCUUAAUGCACGGGUGGAUUUCAUAUUGUGAUACAUUAACCACUCUGCAAACCUUUGAUUUAGCUCCUUUGUCAGAUGUGUUUGCAGUAUUCAGUGGAAAUGACUUCAGUUCAUCCUCUGUUUGCUGUUCUGGUAGUUAAUGAUGUAGUAGCAGAGGGAAUAAUGCUGGGUCCACACACUGCUUUAUUCAUCUUUUUACCUCAGUCUAACUCACUUUCAAAGGCAAGAUGUGCAAAACAUGGUAGCUGAUGAAAGGAGAGAAAAAAGAAUAGCUAGCAGGUUUUAUUUAUGGAUACACCAAGGCUCUUUUUUUUUCUCUUUUGACCAGCCCCAGCUAUGGGCAUUGUGGCCACCAGUGAAUUAUUCUACACUCUCUAAAAUGAUGAUAUACACCAGGCUUUGUUGUGGGGGGUCGGGGGUUCUGUGAUGGUGUAAGCUUCCCUCUGCAGUUGUUUGGUCUGACCUCUCCUCCCCAUCAGUGACAUACCAUUAACUACUACACAUGCUCCUCUGUACACUAACAUCCCUCGUCAGCGCAGGCAAUAUAUUUUGUUUGUCUUUUUCAAAGGUGGCACUACCUGCACCGUUCUGCAAGCUGCUCGUCAGGCUCCCCUGCUUACCAUACAGUAUGGUAAUGGGACUUACAGAUGUCCUUUAAAGGAUGAGAAGGAAGGAGUUUAUUUUGUAGUCAUGUCACAUUACUGUUCCUUCACAACUGAUGUUAGCUGCUGACAGUUGCAAUUAAGUGUAAAAUAACAUGCUGUUCCUUUGCCGUCAAAGUAAAGGGCUCGGGCAGAAUGCCUUCACCCCAGAAUGGCCGGAGGGAUAACUCUUGUGCACAGUCCCAUUUAAUAGAGAUGGUGGAGUGUGCCAUUGUGCUGGCAAAGAGGAAAAAAAAGAGUUGCUAGUUUCACUUUUAUUUCACUUUUUUUUCUUCUGUUUUGACACUUAUGCAGUCUCUCUCACUCCCUCUCUCUCAUUCUUCUCUGCACAAUGUCUCUCUGUGUCAGUAGAGGGCUGGAAACUCAUCUGACACUCAAGCUGAGAUUUAAUGUAAAAGUGUAAUAAGAGCUUUGAAGAGAGUCAGCUCUCUUCUAAAACGCCGUCCCCUCAGAAUUCACUGUUUUUUGGAGAGUAUUGUUAUGAGGUUGUUGAGGCAAGGCUGCGUCUCUCCAGUGAGAGUGGCGUCCAACAUAUUGGCCUGUCGUCCUCAGUGAUGAUAGGGCUCAUAUUUUACAGGAGUUGCGCUCUGAGCAAAACUGAAAGGUGUUUGUGCACAAUGGGAGAGCAAGGGGGGCAUGGAGUCAUGGUGAUGGCCCCUUUAUUCUCAGCUGUCAAUUUAAACGUUGAUAUAAGUGUUUGGGUUCCCAUGGCAUCAAGAAUAAAUUGACUUUUUAGUAUCCAAGAGGGGGGCACAUGUUUUUCUUAUACCUGAAGUUACAAAUCUAAAUCCCCUUUUUGAUCAAACAUCCGCCUCACAAAGGUGUCUUUACUCUGUUUUGCAUAACCAGCUGCAAACUAUAGCCUACGUUACCAUACUAAUUUUCCAGCUAUUGCAGAUGAAUGUGGGUCAUUUUGACCAAGUUAUGGAAGUUUGUGGUUAGGAUUUAGGAUUAAGGAUUUUUCUUUCUUUUCAAAUCUUUUUAAAUACAAUAUGCAUCAGGGUUAAGGAACAUUUACAUGUAAAGGCAUAGGAUUAGCCAGGUGGCUAAUUUCCAUCCUCAGUCCCAUUCACAGGUUGGUGUCAAUAUAUAAAAACAAAAACAAACAUCAAUAAUAGGAGUGAAACACACAGAGCAUAUCACAUAUGACACAUGAACUGCUGCUUCUUGAAAUGUGUAAAAGUUAGACAAGUUUUUUGAGGAAUAACUGGAAUAUUAAACAACUUACUGUUGUGAAGAUAUUGCAAGAAAACAACCUGACCAAAUCAUGUUUGAUUAUUGACAUCACUGCGCUCACAGUUACAUACCAUUUAAAAAAUCCUUUGGCGCAAAUAUCCUUGCCUAGACUUUUGUGCCCACAUAUAACAUGCAUGCAUCAAAGUGCAAAUUAAUGGAUUUAGCUAUCUUAAUUAUUUUCUUUUUGCAUUCCGCUAUCAUUUCAAGCUUACAAAACAGAAGGGUCAAGGUCAGAAACAAAGUGCAUUUUUGUAUCAAGACAAGGAAGAAAAUGUGUGUCUGGAUUUUUCGUGUAGAGAGGGAGUCACAGUUGUGAAAGCACAGAACUCUUCAGAAUUCUGUUUCUCUUAAGUAUUUAAGUAUACCUUAUCCUGGGGUAUCAAGAAAUUUGUGUUUGUCAUAUCUGCGUUGAUAAAUCUUGAAAAUCCUGCCAUGAGUGAAAUCUCUUUAAGUACUCUUCAGGGUUUGUUCCAAGGCUGUUGUAUUUAAUGAUAUUUUUCACAGAUAAUCCUGUUUAUAACUGAAAGUUGUUUGUCAGUCAUCUCUACGCAUAAAUUUGUAAUCACAAUGGAUGGCAUUGAGCAGAUAUACACUGUGAUUUUCUUUGAGUUUGUUGUAAAUCCCUAUAAGAAUGUGGUUGUGUGUUGUGCAUGAUCAAUUGUGCGCCCACAACAAGCCAAGUGAGAAGGGAUAGCUGAGCGGCGCCAAGCUGCGUCAGCCCUAAUCUGUCUCUUGACAGUCCAACCUUAUUUCGCAGCAGAAUACCCUUAUUGAUCUCCCAGCCUGUUACACAAAUAAAUAAAUAAGUCAACUACACUGCACCUGAGUUCACAACCUGCCCUUGACGAUACUAUGAGCAUGUGUGUGUAGAGGUGGAGGGGUUGCAGUUGUGCAGCAGGGGAGCAGAGAGUCAGGAAGGGUUCUGCAUUGUUGAUCCAGUAUGACAUUGAUAGACAGCAGCUGAAGGAAAGCUGAUAGCCAUGUUUGGCUUGCUGUUUUUUAAAGGACGGACGUGACUGCUGAUCCAAAGUUGACCGAGCAUGAAUUCAGCAGGUGAUCGCCCCAAGUGGUUGUGCCGAAUAGAGGUGAGGAAGGAAACUUUUCACAUAUGACUUGCUUGACUUUCCAUCUUUUCCACCAUUAUUAUUCUCCCCUUGAACUUCUUGUUUCUGGCAGAGUUAUUUUUACAUGUUUCAGUUUCUCUUUGUUGAACACAGCCAUACAUGUUGCUUAUUCUUUCUGCACCAACUCUUGGGCAAAUGCCAAGCUCCCAUUAUAAAAACUGUUUCUUUUUACUCACAAAUAGAGUCAAAAUAUAGAGUAGAUGUAACUGUAUUCUCACACCAAUAGUUCACCUAACUGGACAAAAUAAAAUAUCUGCUUUGAUGGGCUCUGUUAAUUUAUUUAGUUGUUUGUAUUUUCUUAACUUAUCACUUCAAACAAAUUAAAAGAAAUAAAUAAAGUAAAUUAAAUACAUUAAAACAUCCUCUGUACUUUUGUGUCCGUAGGUGCAAAAAUGUUUGGGAAAUACAAUCAAGUGUCUCUGACAGAAACUGUCUCAAGUUUCUCUUUCUGCCCAGUGCUAGAAACUUUACCCUGGGACCCCAAGGGUCUCAGAGAGUACUUAGCGUUGUGUCAAAUCCUAACAAAAAUAAUAUCACAAGCUGUCAGCUAUCUUGCUACAAAAGGUCUCUGGUUAGCCUCACUUUUCACAGUGUCACUUGACACUCUUACAUGGGGCCUACAGCAGCUGCUGUUUUUCCAAGCAAAACAACAUAAGCCAGCUUAAAAAAAAACAAGUAAAAGCCCCUGACAAAUUAAUCUUAAACGGGUACUUAAGUACAAAAAAAUUGCACUGUUUUGAGACUGCUUUUUCCAUGGCUUCUUCUAUUCCCAGUUACGUCUACAGACACUGAAGCUUCAUGGGUAGGCAUAAGAAAAUAAACAGUGGUAAGAGGUUUCCAGUGCAAGGGUUAAUGUAAGAAGGUUACUGAAUAGAACCACUCCAAGUUGAUCCAGGUCCUUCAAUGUGUUGUAUUAGGGUCACCUGACCAUGUCAAGGUUCAAUUUAGCAAAAUGACCCACUUGGGUGAACUUUAUAGUAUCUUGUUUCACACCCAGCUAAUGAUACAAGCAAGUUCAUCAUUAAUUUGAGGAUGAUUUUAAAAUUGAGUCAGUUUGCACGUUGGCCUAUAUUACUGUUAUGAAUAUAAAUUAAUUAGUAUUUCCAAUUACAGUAGAGCCUUUAUCUCAGGCUGCUUUACUGUUAUAUAUAUAUAUAUAACAUUAAACAGGUUCGGACUUAAUUCUAUGGCAGACUGUCUGCUGAGAAUUAUAGAAGACUUUAAAAUGUCCUAUCAAAACAUUAAGCAAGAGCAUGUGAUAAAUAUUUUAGAAAAAUGGACAGAUGGCAACUAUUUCCAAAAGGAAUCCAUUCAUGUGUACAUUCCCCACUAUAAUUUACUUUAUUCAUUAGUCUGUUUCUGUCAAUUUCAGCCAUGAAAAACUAAACUCUAUAUUUGAGCUGCUUUAGAAGAUUGAUGGAAAGUAAAGAAACAGUAUAAAAUAAGAGACAGGCCAUCAUGCUUUGCUAAGUGAGUUGUAUUCCCUCAAACUGGCUGAGCCCUGAGUUGUUAAAGACUAAUUAAUUCAAGAACAAACGUCCCCAAAGGCUGCAAUUAAUGAUAAACUUAUUAGACAUGAUGGUGCCCAUGAGGUCUGGCUCUCAUCGUGGCGUCCACGCUCCUGGUGGUGUUACUUACGCAGCUGUCAUAGAAAUAUAUUAAGAAAAGGAACAAAAUCUAUACGUGUUGGUGUGUCUGUUCGGACACAUGUAUAAGUCUGUUCGAUUUAUAAAGGCAGUCCCAGCCCUCAAAUACCCCUUAACUCUGGCCUAUCACUUGACAUUUGGCACGAUGCUUAGAAGUCCUCAUUGACAUCAUGGCCGUCUGUGGUAAAAGAAUAUAAAUGUUACAUAUCGACAAGUGUUGUGUGUGCGCUUUCUAAUGAGUCUGUCAAAACUGAAGUCUCACGAGACAUCCUUCACGCUGCCUGACGGAGACUGUCAAUGCUGAAAAAUGAGGGCUGAUUUCCUGACCUCCUUUCUUGCUUAACUCUUUCAGACUCAAACAGCUGCACCCGGGCCAUUUACAAAUUAGUGUAAAUGUCCCCCUGAGCACAGUCACCAAAACUUUCCACACUAAACAAGGAAGUGUGUGAGUGUAUGUGGAGGAAAGAGGGAAAGAAAGGACUGCCAAAGAAAAAUAAGAUAUGACUCUCACUUCACGCCGAGUUGCCUGACACCUCACCAGUUUCACUUCAGUUUUACAUCCCCUCACAUACCCUUCACCGCUCUGGCCAGCUGUGCUCUAAUGACACCUGACAACACCAGAGAUGCAGAGUCAGUGACAACAGAUGUGUACAAUUUUUGUGCAGUACGUAGCACUGAUGCUAAUGUUACAUCUGAGACUUACAUACUUUUAACAAGCAAUUACAGCUUUAUUUCAUUUCCUUAUGUAUCCCCAUAUCCCCAUAAUUGUGUAGCAAUUUAUUGAAAGGAUUGCUAUACUACAUUUAAAUAAGAACGUUUUACAAGAAAAUGUAGGUCAAAAUGAAGACACUUUGAGUACGAAUAAAGGAGAUGGUCUUAUGCUGUGUUCCAGUUGUACUCAGAAGUCAGAGUUUCCGAGCUCUGAGUCGGAAAUUAAUCUGGAACGCCCCCCUGAAGUUGGAUCUCCGACUCAGGAAAUUCGGAAGAUCCUCACCUACCCCGACUUGACAACAAUGUCAUUAUCGAAGGUGGCAGCACAGUGCAUCAACAGUAAAGUGUAACUGUUAAAGCUCUUGUAAUGUCUUAUUCAUUAGCACUUCUGUUUUGUUUUUUUGUGUAAUUAAACAAGUGGUAUAUGUUGUACUGCCCAACGUCUAACUGUGAACACGGUGCUAUGGUGUUUGGUAGAGUCAAAUACUGUGUUAUGCGUUAUUUACAACCGGUAUCGCUAACAACAACAACUAACUACAGCUGAGAAUGGCUAACAACAACUUAGAAUCCAUCGUGUUUUUUUGACUUGUUAACUGGAACGCCGUCAACUCUGGUGUAGUGUCAUUCCCAGCUCCAACAUCCAACUUCUGAGGUAACUGGAACGCAGCAUUAAUUGGUAAACGUCCACAUUUGCAGGUAAUAAUGUAAGGUAUGCCUUAAUAGUCAGCCGCUUGACCAAACUCCCAAAAAUAUGUUUUUUUUAAAAAAGGCCCCUUUCCUAAAUUCUUUUGUAGAUUCAUAGCUUCCCAGAGUCUCUUAUUAAUCUCCUCAGUCCAAUAAGUAUUGUAACUUUCCAACACGAGGAAAAACACAGUCAUGCCCAAUUUAAGGUGAGGUGCAGAGAGAUAUCAGAAGUAAGGCUGAGAUUGAACUCAUACUCUGCUUUUCAUUCAUCUACUAGAUUCUUUCAUCACUUUUGGUCUGUACAACUGAGUGCAAUACAAUGAAUUCCUUUGGGGACAAUCUGCCCAAGAGUGUGUGCCCAAAUCUCCAUCUGUAUUAAACAUUGCAUCAAGAUUACAAAGAAUUGCAAAAUAAUAUGGAUUUCUUUUCAGAGGUCAGGAGAGCUAUAAGUAACACUGCUGAGCUUUGAUCGUACAAAUAUCUCAGCGUGGACAACUGCAGCCUUGCACACAGAAAGCUGAUGUGCAUGUGCCUAUGGUCUUCUGUGUGUUUGUAUUUCACACAUGCAUGUGCAACCAUGAGAUGCAGAUUUUUUUAGCUAGGGACAGCCUCUUCUCUGUUUUUUCUGUUGUUUUUAAUUAAAAAAAAGGUGGAGGUUACAAAAAUUAGGACACAGUGUGUGAAAUGUAGCACAUGCACAAAAUAUUCUCCUGUAAUAGACUGUGUGGAAUAGCGUAAGUCGACACGGACAUAUGUGGACAACAAGGAGCAUCUCUCCUGGCUGUUUGAUUUGAAUGCAUACCAUGUCAGGUGAGCACAUUUGUAAAUACUUCCCUUUAUUAUUACCUUGAAACGCAACAUUUUCCUGUCAGUGGUUGUACUUGGACUGACAGUGGUAUUUCACAACUAAUACUUACCAAUUGCUAAACACUAAAUGUUGAAAUAAGCAGUGCUCUUGCCUUUAUAGAAGGCAGGUUGAACCAUCACUUGAAAACAGAUAUCAAGUCUGUACUGAUAAUUACAUGCUUUUAGUCCCCACUGUGUCCAGUCCGUGUGUGCCCAUCUUUGCGUGAGACAUCCUCCAGCCACUCUCUGAGCCUCUCAGUAGUUCAAGAAAAAUAAUCUCUCUGAAAGUGCAAAAAGUUUAAUCCAACUUCCAGUUUAUUGAAACGCCUCUGUAUGACAUCCACCUUCACUUCCCAGCCCCUUGCUUCCUGCCUUGGAAAUUGAGUGUGCAUGGGAGAGUCCAUGUCUCACUGUGAAACCCAGCUAAAUUAGGAGUCAGACUGGUUGUGGGCGAGGGGGAUGUGGUUGUGGUGGGUUGUGCUGCUGCCGCCAAAGGGUGUGUCAGGGCAAUUUAUUAGCUUGCUAUGCAUGCAUGUGUGCGAGUGUGUGCAGGCGUGUGCGCUCUCAGCCCUUGGCAGCAUAGCAAACUCAAUGGCUGAAGCACAGCUGUACCACUAUUCUAAUAUGGAGUCAUUAUAGCUAUUCACGGGGUGCCUCCAGUUAAUUCACAAAUUUGACCAUAACAGCCAACUUUUCGGGAUGAGUAUCUUGUGGUCAAUACUAUUUUUCUGAUACAGUGACCUGAAGCAAUUGUGUAAUUUUAGUACUUUGCCUGGUUCAAGUGUACCACUUAGACUUUGCAUUGCAUGCAGUAGCUAACAGGUGUUCAACAUAAAAACAUAGAUUGGUCCCUGUGGGAGGGAGACUUUGAGCACAUGCUGAAGUGCUGUGGUGCUGCCAGUGAUGUAGUUUCUCUGUGUUUGUGUAUGUAUGCGACUACUUGGGUAUGUGUAAUUACAUGUUAAUGACCCCUCCCUCGUAUUCAGCUGUGUGAGAGCACAGUCGCAGUAAUCUAAUCGAUGCUUAAACAGGAGAAACUUAGUAAUAAGGUUUAUUUAAGACACCUGCUUUGCUCCAAACCCCCCUUUAGCUUUCUUCAGAGGCAAAAACAGAUGCUGGGGGACACUUAGCCUGCAAAAUGCCAACUGCAAGAGAUGUUCAUUUAGGUUGCAGAGCACAAAAACAAACCAAAACCACAAAAGUACAAACAACAUCGCUAUCAGAGUCUGUGAGCACCUGCAGGUCUUGCUCAUGCUGGAACAUUUUAAUUGACCAAGGAAAAAAAAGGAAAAAAAAAAAAAAAAGCUGCGGAGACAGUGUAGAGCUUGUACAGGCACCCCCACCUUGUCUGAACCAACGGUUGCUUCCAAAGCCCCAUCAGCAAUCCUUUGCUGUAAUGAGGGAGUUUUGGGGUAAAAUUGGGAGAUGGUGUCAGUUUAUCGUCUCCGAGUCGAGGGUCCUGCUGUCCAAAAUGUGGAAUAGUGGGAGAGAGGUGCUGUCAAAACAUGAUAGGCACAGACAUCAGCACAAAGUUAGAGAGAGAGGGGAUCCAAGUCACUAUGGAAAGACACACAGUUUCUUUAAACACCCCACAAAUGAAGUCUCUGUAGACUAUUAUGAGGCAUAAAGCGACACUUUUGACACACUUCCGAAUCAGUAGCUUUAGCAACACAAGCAAUUUUGAUUGCUUAGGCUACACCGACGGAAGAACCAAAGCCCCUUGUUUGUCAUUUACUUUGAAAGUAAUCAUGGCUAACCCAGGCACAGCGGAGGUAAUAAAUAUUUAUACCCCUUUUUUUUUUUUUUUGGAAAUGUAAACCAUAUAAAUUUUUACCCACCUUUACUUUUAGAGCAACUUGCCCUUGUUGAUAACAGUAUCAUUUAAAUGUAUUUUCUCUCCAUUUUCGUUGUUUUCCCUCUCCCAUUAUCUCUCUCCCAUUCCUCCCCCCUAACACAAUGUUAACAAGCUCCUUUCUGCCCUAUCUGGUACGGGUGAGACAGCUCCACAAAAUGACAAGGUGAGAGGGUGCUGUGUGUGUUUUUCUGUAAUCUAUAUCUAUCCUCCAGCAUCUAUGCGUGGAUGUGUUUCUUGCACUGUGGGUCGUAUGUGACCACCGGCCUGCUGUCAGGGCUCAUGUUGCCCCCAACGGUAACAAUAAUCAUGGGAUUUGAUUGCCAGCUCCCUCAGCCUGUGUAAUUGAUGAGUCCAAUAUUUACUCUGUUACCUGUGUGUUGUAAACAUUCAUUACAGGGUUCCUUCCCAGAUAGGUGUGCAGCACAGGAGAAUGGGACGUAUCCAGCCUGCAGGGACCAGCUGUCAGUUUGACUAAUGACAGAAAUGAAUAAAACCUCAUAAUUACUUUAGAAAAAACGACAGUCUCCACCUUAUCUCAGGCCAAUAUGCAUUUUAAAAAUUUUUGGCGGGUUUAUUAAAUUCUGCCCCCACCUCCACCUCCACCCCCAUAUCCCCCCAUUCCCACCCCCUCCACGGUAAUACAUUACAGACAGAGGCAAGUUCUCAAAUUUCAAAUUUAAUUUUCUACUCGCCAUACACACAAGCUCCAUAAUCAGAUUGGGACAUUAUUGUGUUUCUAUUGACAUUAGCAUUGUUAUUAUUUUGUACUGUGUAAAUAUCAGUAACCAGAGCACGCCUGGUUGCUUUGCCAGGAAGGGAUUAUUUUGUAUAUUUAUUUUGUUCUAACGCUCCCCAAAAAAAUAUCCUUUCAAGAUUACAUCUGAUGCAUUACAUUAUCAAGAGAUACUGUCUCUGUAUGCUAUGAUGUGGUAUCAUUUUGAUGUAGAGCUGCACAAAUUAAAUUGGAUACCUGACGUUUUCAUGUCUGCUUUAUUGUGACACCCUAUACAGGUGACUCUGCAACCGGGGACCUACAGAGCCACAAAAUGAGGUAGCAGUGAGACACAUCGCAUUUGCUAUUAUACAGAAGGCCACCGCAGGUCAGUCCAUGCUUUUAGAGCGCCUUCUUGUGUGCGUUUUUGCGGGUGUGUGUGUGCAUAAUUGGAUAAGUCUCCAAUAAUGCGUAUGUGUUUUUAAGUUGGUGCACUGUGAACUGCAUGCACUAAGUCUCAGGAACAGGCAGCGGUGCAGUGAAGUGCAAAGCUCUCAGCCAAAUCAGGUAUUCAAGAUAGAGGGAUGGAGAGAUAGAUUAAUGGCAGCAGGGGUGGAGGGUGAGUAGAGGGAAGGGGUGGGGGGGGGACUGAUAUGAGGAGAGACAGUGCAGUGAUAUACAGUAGGCCCUACUUAGACAAGUCGACUCCUCUAUGCCAUUAGGGCCUAACAGGGGGCAGACUGUGGGGGAGCCAUGGUGGGAGUAAAAAAGAGAGAGCUGCUUUCAAAUAAACAGGAACAUCGGCCUCAGAGUGUGCAUGUGCAUGUUUUUACACGACCCUUGCUCACUCGCACCAUCCCUAUUUCUGUGCUGCUUUUCCAAACACACAUGAUACACUGAAUAUCAUACGAAACUCGACUCAACUUGAUUCCAUUUGAGUAGCUAUUCUCUAAUGUCUUUUUUGCCGGGUGGAAUCCCACAUAGAAGCGUGUAAUACGCCAUAUUUGUGUCCUAUGGAGGCAGACAGCUGAUCGUGUCCAUUCGUCAUGCUGUCAAGUUAAUUACUAGAUUGAAAAGGAGAAUGAGAUUACCCCCUCCCCUUUCCAACGGACACUCACACCUCCACACUGCCAACACACACACAGAUACACACACACUCACACUGAAGUGUCAGAAGGAAAUUUUCACUGUGCCAUAAUCAUAACUUACCAGAGAAGAGUGAGCUGCAGAGGAGGUAAGGGGAAGAAAUUGCACAAGGUCAGGCUGCUUAUUUUCUUCAACUGUAUUUGUGUGUGAGUGUGAGUGUGAGUGUGUGUGGGUGUGUGUGUGUGUUGAAAUAAGUGAUGCAGCAGGUUACAUUUACAUAUUUUACCUCAUAAGAGCACUUCUUUUGGUUCCUUUGAAGGUAUUUUAAAGACUGUUCUUUAGUUUCAUUCCUGCUCUCCUGCCCACUGAGAAAGCAGCUCUUUGUCACAGGUGAAAAGUUACUCUUCUGCUCUUGAACUGUGUGCUCUGUGAAGAAGUUUGCGUCUGUACUUGUGCUAUCAAAGGGGACACUUUGAAAAAGCAGACAGAUCAUUAGUGCAUAAUGAGCUGAAGGACUUUGGGCAGUGAGUAGGAUAUCCUCAAUAAGCGAUAGCUUAAGAAGAUAAUAGAAGCGGCUGAAAAUCAGAUUGUCUCAGCUGCAGACAACCUUUUUUCUCCCCAGGUGAGUCCUCUUUCUCUGUGUAUGUUUGAAGUAAAGCACAGCUCAAACAAACUGGCUAAAAGAUUUUAUAACGCCCUGUGGCACCCUGACAGUUACAUCUCUGAGUCUUGAUAGUUUUCAUAUUCUGCAGAUUUCCUCCAUUAUGAGGAUGCAUGCUGGAGAUCAGAGCUAUAUGUUCACCAGGCUGCAGACAUGUGAGAACAGCUCCUACAAAGCGUCUCAGCCCUGACAAUAAUUCCAAGAUGAAAAGCCCCAUUUUUUUUUUUUGUCAGCCACUGACAAACACAAGUAUCAUAGGAAAGAGAGAGAGAGACUUUGAUGUGCUUUAGUGGUACUGAAUGAAUUACAACAGAGGACAGAAGCAGGCUUGUUGCAAACUUGGAAGACAACCCAAGACCCUUGGGAGCCAAGACAAAGAGUACGGUGUUAUCAAACAAGCGAUAAAAGGGAGGUGAUUCACUCUUGUGCAUGUGUGGAACGUACUUAUUCAUUACAACCUUGAUUAUACGCCAACUUUCCUCCCUUUCUGUCUCAUCCUGACAGCGAGCAGUUUUAUCUGAGCGCCUGGUGUAAUUUGUUUACCUGUUCUGAGCAGAGUCUCAAAUGCAACUAUUUUUUCAAUAUCCUCUGUGAUCAUGUAACUAUACAGCUCUAUUAAUAACUCUGCCCCGGCAGGGUGUUAAAAAAGUCAUGGACUGCUUAGUUGAGACGUGAUGAGGCUCUGUGACGGCACCCAGCUGGCUAAAGUUCUGCAAGGGUGGCCUCAGUGACAUCACAGCAAGUGGCGCAUGACAAACUGCCAGCACGCCAGUCGCGACCCACAAAAUAAUCUCCGACAGACGAGGACAAGGGCCAUCUUGGCUCGCACUCCCACCCGAUGCCCUUUUUACCCCAUCCUCUGCCAUCACAAGAGGCAGGCUGGGCUUUCAGAAAGGUGUCAAAUGCACAGCAUGUAUCGCCAAAAUGGAAAGUUGCUUCCUGUCAGGUAAUGACAAGUAAGUGGCAGGGCAGGAAAAAAAUUACACACAUCAACCCGGAUAUUUUCUCACCACUACUUUCUCGUGCUGUCAAUUAGUCUCAAUCAAUCCUGUCGUUUCUGUUUAGAGUUGUUAUAAAAACUCCAGUCUGUCUUCCUAUCCAUCAAUGCAUAAUAAAUACGCUCCUCAAUAUAUGUUAUCUCAACACUUCUGUCAAUUGCUGGCAGCAGCCCUCCUAAUUGUGCUGCCACACUGGACAAAAUGAGCACUGCUUCAUUUGAACACAACUGGGGGGAAUAUGAAACAAGUAUAAUCCUGGGCUUGUUUUGGUUUGGCAGGAAGUGUUGCUCCCUCUUGCCUCUCCAAAACUCAACCCUUUCAGUGUCUUCUGAUUGAAGAUAUGAGACAGAACUGGAAAAAAAAGUGACAGUGAAAGUCAUCUCCUCAAAUGAGGGGACGUGAUUGGCUUCUAACGACUCUCCUCUCGGCUGUGUUUGACUAAAGUGCGAGGUGCAGCGGCUCUUAUCAGAAAAGUAAGUCAGCCACGAUGUAUUAUUAACAGGUGAAGGCGGGCAGGGUUUGCUUGGCUAAAAAGGACUUAAGUGAUGUGGGAGCGACACUGUCAAUCUCAGCCUUCCUCUGAGAGUCAAUUAGGUGAUAAACAGGACUACAUGUCUUUGGCAGAAGGGAGACGGCUGAUAGGCUGUCCCAUGGAUGUCCUGGGGCAAGGUAAACUGACAGUGCAGCUUUGCCGUCAGGGAUGGAUGCCGAGAGUACACUGCGCAGCUGGUCCUGCCACAUAAGAGAGGAACUAUGUGUGUUUUUUAAAUGUUCGCAAGCAUGAGUGCGUGCGUGAGCGCUGCAUUAUGAGCUGGCUUUCUGGCGUUUCUCAGCUGAGCGAGCUUGAAGACACUGAAUGUGGUAAUGAUGCUCUUCAGAGAAGUAACAGUCUGGACAGUAACAGUGUUGAAGGCCGUAAUGGAGAUGAUGAUAGUGAUGGUGAUAACUAGAAUGGUCCUAGCUGUGAAUAUAAUUAGUGAGUGCUUUAUUUAAACACAGUUGUUCAUACCACCAUAAAUGUAAUUGGAUGUGUGCUGCUAAUAGUGUGCUGACAUACAGUGGGCAGACUUGAGUUUGUGAUGUUAUGUUCAUUCUACUGUUCUGUGAAUGUUUAUGAACCGUAGCAGAUAUUGCUGUGCUUUCUUUAACAUCAAUAAAAAAAAGAAGAGGGUAAAAAUGAGGAUAAAUAAAUAUAAUUACUUCCAGGAUACAACAUUUCAAGAGGGAGCGAGAAAGAAAAAAAACCUUUAUUGUUUAUAUUAAGUUUGCAUUGCUGUGUUACAAAGUAGGCCCGUGGAAAGCUUGAUUACACACUAAUUAAGUAUUUAGAAUCUCAGGUCAUCCAUAACAACCCGUUUCAUAAGAAUAGAUUAAAUGUACAGAGUUAGUGCGCUGCACAUUAUCUGUAUUGCAUUAGGAGUUUUUCUAGUUUAUAACAUUGUUUUUCACCAAUGUUUAUGAAGCCAGCGUAGUAAAAACACAAUGUUGCUCAGCAGAGGGAAUUAUUAAGUGCUUAUUUUUAAUGUGGAUAUUCAGGUCAUACACCAACAGCAGCUUUUUUACAUAUUUAAUUAAGUGUGUCUAUAUAAUUAGAUAAUAUCCUGAUAUUGUUCCCCAUAUUUUUUUUUACUCAUGUUCAAUACCGAGCUGUAACCAAAAAGGCUCAACAGAUGAAUUUUAAUGAGUGGUUAGCCAUUAUUACCCUCAUUAUUUUCCAAUUAGUAAACUGUACUGUGCAUCAGCUCAACACAGGAACAUCCACGACUGUACCGUAACAUAAAUACAUCCCAAGGCUUAUCUGUGAACAACAAAAAAGCAAUAUCAGGCUAUAAAAGAGCCUGUGAAGGACACAUGACUGCAAGUGUGUUGCGAGACAAACAGUGUAGGAGAAUUGAGAUACAAUGCAUUGCAGAGAGUAGUAGCGUUGGUUUUUGACACUAAAAGCAAUCAGAGGCUGCAAAUAUGACAAGAAAUUAACUCCGUUAAUACUGAAGAGUGAUGAAUGGUGCAAAUGUCAUUUAUAAAAAUUAAAAAAAAUUACCCUGCAUGCUUUUAUUCUUAAAAUGAUCUCUGCAUAAACUGUAAUGCAACUCCCCAAGUCUAUCAGAUAGACAUCUUCAGGUACUGGGUUGUGUAUUUCUAUUUAUUCAGUUCAAGGGAGAAAUCAGCAACUUCUUUAUCCUCAAGAAGGAGGUUGUACAUUAUGAUGAGUAGAUGUGCUGUUUCCUAUGUACAGUAGGAGCGCCACCCAUCCUCGCCUUAUGCUACUGCAACCCCCCAUUCCAAUAAACACGCCUUCCAUGGCAGCCAUUUUCAGUUGAACCACAUCUGCGUGGCGUUUGACCUAUUUUCUGCAAGCUUGCCUUGAACGUGCAAAAGGAAAAAAACUACAAACGGUGUCACUGUAUUUCAGCCAACUCAGUUAUUUUGGGGGCGAAAAGAGCCGUCUUCGGGUGCAUAUCUAGCGUGAAAUGCAAGUGGCGGAGGAGUGACAUUGUCAGCUCGUUUUCUCCACCUUGUCUGUUGGUCGCCCAGCAUAAGAGCUGGUUGGCUAGACAGGCGGGGGCUGUGGGGUCAUUGUGUGUGUAUGGAGAGAUGCGCUGGGUGAAUAACCUUCCCCGGUAACAGCUGUCAAAUCCAGCAGAGCAGAGCAGAGGACAGAGAAGCAGGCCUGACUAGACCGAGCUCAGACACAGGACUGAUAGCCAAGGAUGGCAUAGGGGGUGGGCGUGGGCUGGACUGUCUGCCAGCAUCAAGUGUUGGGCUCAAGAGCUUUUGAUGGGUGGCCACACCGAGUCUCUUUACGGGGGUCUCGGCACCCAGGCAGCUUAUUGUUAAACACACUGCUCAUCUCUUUUAUUCCCCCCAAUGCAGAUUCCAUGCACAGCAGUGCAGAGCACACAGGCCCAACAGUUUCCCGGGACGCCGCCUUUGUCGAAGUGUCAGUCGCCAACGCAGCAUCUCAGCAUGGUUCACCGCUGGGCAUGACAGGGGAUGCAGACCACAUGAAGAGGGAUUAGCACCGCACCUAUUGUCUGGAGGCACAGUGCUGUUGGAUUUGGCUGCAUGGCUAUUCAAUGACUGUAUUUCUAUUCUCUGGCACUUGACAGGGACGCUCAGUGGCCCCACUUUUGUUCCGCUGCAGUAUCAGAAUGUGUUCAUGUCAUGCCCCCAGCCGGGCCCCUUAUUAUCCCAGUUGACACGACGAGGAAAGGUGCGAUGGUAGAUUCUGUUAGUGCUGUCUGCUGCCUGACCUGCAGGUUAGGUUGUUUUUUAACGGGUUAGGAAGAAGCUUGCUCCUCAUGUAUAAUUUACUGUUGAUUCUGUUAACGCUGAAAGGAGAACAUGUUGACCGAGACUUAACCUAUGAGGGUUUGGUCAGAUUUGAUGUUAUGAAUACAGAAUUAAGGGAUCUUCGGGGGUUUGUUGGGUUUUUUUUUCCUUCAUUCAUUCUCUUUUAUCAUUCAAACCAUAUCUUGUCCAUUUUGUUCAACUUUGACCUCUUAAAAUCAAUCCGAAAAUCUUAAACCGACACGUCUCUGCUGUUGGUUGGAUUUUAUAUAAAGGUGAGUUUAGUUUAUAUUUUAUAAUAGAACGUGGAAGCCUCAUUUUAGACGUACAUUCAUAUUGUCUUUAUUAUCAUUAUUAUUAUUUUAAUUUUUAAAUAUUUGGUCAAGAUAUCAUUUUUAAUUUUUGAUAAAUUUCUUUUGGAUCAAUAAAACAAUAACUAUAAUUUUUAUUCCAUCUGGCUGGGAAUAAUUUGGUUAUAGAUCUUAAGUGAAGCUCACUCUGUUCAGUUUUCAGAGGCCAAAAAUCCUCUGCCAUGCUGCACGGCAUUUUUUCAGCGUGCAGUUUGGGUGGUAAAGCACUGUGGAAAAUAGUGAUGGAUGGCUCCAUGGGCUCUUAUACAAUAGAAAGGUAGUGAAAGUUUUUUUCUUUUUUUUUUUUUCUUUUUUUUUUUAGAUCAAGGCAGCAGCUCCAGAAGAUUCAGAUUUACAAUGAAUGUGUUUUUCCUCGCUGUGUGCACUGAGAAAGCAUUUUUAUGCUUUCUUUCACCUCAGAGUUUUUUUUUUUUCCUUUUUGCGCUGUCAUACUAAAUCUUGGGACUUACUUCUUUCGGCUUGAUCUUUUCAUCUUCAAAGAUUAUACAAGUAGAGGUUGUCAUAAAUUUCCCUCAGCUCUUAUCUCAAUAUUUCAGAAAAAAACAAUGAGCUGUUUAGAAAAUCCCUCCUACAAAGUCACAGAAAAACACUUCCACAUGCAAACAAAUUAUGUGAUCACUCAGCAGUGGUGCCAGCAUUACUAAAGCAUGCUGCAAUGUUGAUGAAACAGUAAACAAACAUCUACUGUGACUUCAUUUGGACUUAAGGCUGAAUUGCAGACAUAUGCUUCUCUGUCCUGGUCUGAAUUUGAGUUUCCCUCUCAGCGCUGUUUACUGAAAGAUUUUCCUCCUACCUCUGCAGGAGAUGUUGAAAUAAAGAGAUGAGAAAAUCCCACAAAGCUUACCUUAUUGGUCCUUUGCCAAAGAGCAAUCCCCAGACAAAGGAAGCCCCAUACCUCAGAGGUACCACCAGCACUGAAAUUGAUAUUACUAUUACCUGCUAUUACAAACACAGUUGUCUUACAACUGUUUCUCAUUUUUUGAGGAUUAAGACAAAGUACUUAUACAAGAGCAUUGAACGCAAUCUUUAUUUUCAUUUUUCCUGCCUCGUGGUAAAGUCGUUGAUGUCACUGGAAGGUGAGCAACUGGGCCAUGGAUAGUUUAGAGGUUGUGGACGUUUCACUGUCUUGCUCAGACAGCCAUUAUGAGGAGGUUCUGCUUCCCCCAUCAGCUGGGAGUAAUGGCCACCAUAAAGGCCUUGAUUGCAGCUGCUGCAGAGCACUACUCCACAUAGCAGAGCCACUUUUGGACUUCUUCAAUCAUCUGUCUAGCUCAUGUACAACCUUCCAUCUCAGACCACUUUUUAUGUGCAUUACAUUGGUACCUGCUACUACUCAAACAAAAUAAAACUAUAAUAUAAAGUUCUGGAAAUGAAAAAAGAAAUGUUCUCACAUGACGCAAAAAAAGUAACUUGAAAAAGUAAAAUUUUUAUGCUACUAUUUGGCAAACAAACGAAGUGCAGAGUAAAAAAAACAGAAAUUCUCCUUCCAAAUCAUGCAAAGUGAGGCUUAAAUAAACAGGCUUAAAUAUGUGCACUGUGAAUGUGACCUAGGCCGAAUGUCUUUUUAAAGCCCUUGGCCUUGGACAGCAGGCAUGAUCCUCCCACUGAAACUGUGUCACUCCAUCACAGCUUGUGCUUUCAAAGAGAUUUUCAGGGUAACAAAUGAGAGUUUUAUGAUUGACUUUGAGAUAUUUUUUAGCUUUCUGCUUAUUGUUUAUGGUUUUAUACAAAUGACAAUAUCUUUCUGCAGAACCUUACUCACACACAUGUCGCUGGAUAAUGUUACUUCAUCAAAAGACUGAUAAAAUGUGAAAAAAAGCAUAGUAUAUCUUCAACAUAAAUAUUUAUAUAUAAAGUUAGGCUUAAAAAAAAUCCAGCUUACUCUGCGUCUCUAACAGGGUAAUAUAAGUGUGAUGAAGGGGGGCAAGGCGGGGGAAAUUUUUUAGCACCAUUUGAGGAGCAGCAACAGAGUGUGUGUGUUGACCAGUCAUGGCAGAAAUCUGGAGGAGGUGUUCCACAUUGUGUCAGUUGCUUCCAAUUCACUGGAUCACCACAUUCAUGUACAAUCAGCCCCGUAAUUAAGGGAAACCAACCCAGAAAUUAUCAAUCAGUUAAUUACGGGGAUGCUGCAAAACAAACCCAGCUCCUGAUUGAAACCCACUGGCUGCCCUUACAAGACGCUUCCCUCAUCCAAAUGCAACCAGGAACUGACCAACAAAAACACUCAUGCUCAUGUGCUAUGCAGUGUUGCAAAACUGUGUGCAGCAGUGGUUUUAUAACUUUUUUAGCUUCAUGUUCUCUAUUUUUACAGUAUCUGUAAAAUACAACAUAAUUUAAAGCAGCUCAGAUUUCCUUCUCCAUAUUUCCCUUUCAAACUCCUAAAUUAUUUUUAGGUUAAUUCACCUUUAAUUUACAGUGCUGUGCUUGCGGUCUGGCGGCUCUCCAGGUUUAAAGCACUUUUAAGCUGCCAUGCAGCCAGUUGCACAAUAAAUAUUUCACAUAACAUGUAACAGCAACAUGUAACCAGCUAUUAACUCCCCAAUGACUGGGAAACAGAGAGGUAAUUCAAUUGUGGAACGCCGUGUUUAGUGGUUUCCUUGUGCUUGAAAAUUGUACGGAAGGAAAAUGCUUGUGCUGUAGAAAAGCACCGUAAAAUCUGUACGCUUGGUUGGCAGACAUUGGUAUUUCAUUUCACUCAAGUGGUCGGUGGAGGAAGAGACGGCACAAAAAGAAAACGCACUGGUUACAUAAAUUGACAGAUACAAAUUGCAAAGAGCUAUGAACUUCUGACACAAAAAAAUCAUUCUUUUAUUCUAUUUAUGCAUUAAAAACUACACAUGUACAUUAAAUUUAGAUGCAGUGCAGCGAGUAUUAUCCCCGAGCAUUCGACACAAAGCUUUGUAAACUUUCUCCCUGCUGAAAACUCUGCACACCACACACGCACACGUUUAAUGUGAUUCACUCAACUUCUUUGUUCCCACAUAAGACCAAGAAGGACCUAUAAAUUGCCCGACUCAGGACCUCUAUUUCCCAUCAAUAAAUUCCCUCUGCCUCCUCUAGGCAUCAAAGCAUCAAAAUGCAUAACAAUCCCUUGAUAGUGUCAGUAACCUACAGCUCAUCUUUAAAGUAAACACUGGUCAGAUGGAAUUAAAGGGGAGGUUCUGUGUUUUUCUUGGCAGGAAAUAAGACACAGAAACAAAAACGCAGCGAUCAUGCAUCUGCUGUACUGUACAUGAAGUCAUUAAGAGAGGGGCUUGAGUAGUGUUGCGCCACAAUCCAAGUCUAUCUGGCCUUCACAUGAAUAGUAUAACAGCAUUUUUACUAAGUACUAACAGGAGAAGUUUUCCUCACAUUGGCUCUUGUUUGCUUUGAUUACGUCUUUUUUUCCCCCUGUUUUUUGUUCAGUUUCUCUUCCAUCAUGUCUUGUAAUUGGUUUCCUCGUGGCGUCUCUGCACAUGAUGCAAAUUGCACAGCGCCACAGAUCUGAGCAUGUUCUGACUUGUUUGAAGUGACCCCGUAGCCAGUGACUCCAAGAUGUUUUUUUUUUUGUUUUUUUAUUCUGAGAGCUGCAUCCAAAACAGGGAUGCUGAACGAACAAGGUCCUCUGCUGGUGGCAUGCGAGGGGGAAGAUUGGAAAGAGACUUGAGAGGCCAAAUCACCGAAUCUGGGCCCAGGGUUUUUUGGCAGGCAGCAGAGUGUGAAAUUUACAGAAUUUCUUAUGUUGCUCGUGCAGCUGCCUCUGAGCCUGUAUCACAGUAUUGUCAGACAGUAGCUCUGAGAGGAGACCAGAGGGCUGGAUGGAAGGAGUGCAAGAAUCCAGACUUGAUGUUUGGCCAGCUUUUGUACAAAUACUACAGUGCAGAUGAAAUAGCAGAAUUGGUGUAUGAUAUUCAUUUUUCCCUGAAUGAUAGUGCUUCAGUGGCAACAUUUGGCCGCUUAAAUUGUUCUUCCUCUUUUUAGCCUUUUACUUACUUCUGAAAUCCCCCCGGUGUAUCUAGUCAACAAAGCAGCAGUUCAAAACAUCCUCAAAAGCUGUGAUGUCUGAAAUAUUUGGUGGAACAUGAAUCAAAGAGAGUCACAACAGGAAAAUAAAGAAAAUUCCUCACUUUUCUCCCCUUUUGCUCCUCUUUAGCCUGUUUUCAUUUUCUUUCUUCUUGCCAUAACCAAGAGCCUCUUGAAUGUGCAUAGCAAAGAGGUGGAAGUACUGCAGCAUGCCUAAUUUGCAGGAGGCCCCAUGUUUUCGUUACAAAUUGCAGUCACAUAUCAUUUAGUUUCCCUGUAUUACUGCAAAGAAAGACAAUCAGAAAACCUCAAAGAGGGCCACCGUACACUGAUCUCAUCCCUGGCUCCGGCCUCGCUCCCAGUUCGUCUCACUAACUGUCUCUCUGCCUCAGCCAGCAUGUCUGGAACAGAUGCCUUCUUAUUUUGACGGCCUGCUGCUUGCCUCAGUCAGUUGGGCAGCAGGUCACAAAUGCUCACAUACCCAUGAGGACACAUAGACACACACACGCACCCGCACAAACCCCUACACAGCGAUGGCUGUGAAGCAUGUGUGUUUAACUUACUGGUUGUUUAAGUAAGCUGAGAAGAAUCCCCUCAGGUGAUUAGUUCAUUUGCAAGUCCCCGGCUGUGGAGGCGAGUACAGGCCCACUGCCCUGCUCUCUACUUCUCUCUGUUUAGCCCUCACACUCUCUCUGUCUUAUGCCUUCACAACCAGCCUGAGCUGCCCUAUCCUUUCUGCUUUAUUCCCCCCUCUGUUCUGCUGUUUGUUUGUAUUUCUGUGGACUCUUACAGAGGAGAGAGAGAGAGAGAGAGAAAAGAGGAAAAAAGCUAAGGGAGAGAAAUGUUAAGCCAGCUAGAGUAAUAGUGCCGGCCUUUGUCCUGCACUCAUUAUUUUCGCUUUGAUUACAAUCUGGCUCAGCUCGAGUUACCCUAAUUCGUCCGACUGAGGCUUUGGCUGAAAUUGUGCUGUGCUGAGUGAUGGUUGAAUUGAAGCAUCUGGGGAGUUCAGCACAGGAUUGGGUGUGUAAAGGGGGAAAAAAUCAUAAUAAAAAGAUAAAUGCAAAACAAAGGCAAAAUCUGUGGUAAUAAUGUGACAAAUGUGCAGCAUCAUAAUAAAGCCAAUCUCCGAGUAAAUUUUAGACUCAUCCAGCAUGGAGGAGAUGUAAACGAUGAGACCAAGCGUGUAAUUCCUCCAGGGACAGUUUCAUGCCAACGGGAUGUCUUGUUUAUGCCAGAACGAGAAUGUUGAGAAAUGGUCUUGUUUUUUUUUUCUUGUCUUUUUUUUUUUUUUCAUGUGCAGCGCUGAGUGGAUGGGAUAGCAAGCAAGCAUGCUGGGAUUCUCUGGCCAGUGACGGUAGUACCAUGGGAGGGGAAUGAGAGCGGAGGAAGGCGCCUCAGGGCCAACCACUACUAGACACUGAGCACUACAGAGACCUGGUCCCCAUGUAGCGCUAAUCACAACCCCCUGCUCUUUCCAUCUGUUCUCCAUCAGCGGGCCUUACAGUACCACUCCACCGCUUUACCUCCAUCCAGUCUCCAUCCUCAAACCUUCUGGCUAUUGCUCUCGUAGUCUCUUAACCUCCUUUAGCUAGAGUCUUUGUUAAGUUUUCAUUUUUCCGUUGCUUCCCUGAACUUCUGAGGAUGAUGGAUUUGUCACAACAAGUCGAGGGGCAGAGGCUUUUAACCUCUACGCCCAGAUUAUUAGCCUUUGUUUCUGAAUAUUUUGCUCCUACAGCCAAACCAAAGCAAACGUAGAAAACUUGACAUGUUAAUCCUGAUUACUUUCUUCAUGCACUCUAUCAUUGCCACACUUCUAUUUCCCCUCCCACACAAUAUUUCCCAAUUAAGGUCCCCUUUGCCUUCUGGUCACAGCACGUAAUCUGGUAGAAAUGGCUCAAAGUGUCGUCAGACAGAUGUGACUAUUCCAACUACGACGCCUUUGUCACUUCAAUUACUAGCCCUGCUCACAGUUGUACUAUAGCUGUGCUGGUUUCUGCUGCCCCUAAUGAUCAGAUUAGAGUUACUAAUUAAAAAAAAAAAGAAAGAAAAAAACAAUAUUACGAGCUGCCCUAACGCUUCUCUGGGUGGUGAUGAGUGAGGGCAAAGUUAUUAUUCUUUUGAACUCCUGCCGUGUGGGGGAAAGACGGCAGACAUUCAAAGCAGCAUGACGUUUGGUGUUUGUUAUUUCUUUUUUACUUUUUUUAAUUCCUGGGCUGGAGAUUUAUAGCUUGAUAAGUGCUUCCAACUUUCUAUUUUUUUCGAAUGGGGAUAAUUUAAAUGCACCUCACAGGCUGAGAGCCUCUCUCUCUCUCUCUCUUUCUCUCUCUCUCUCUUCCUUCUAUUCCCCUGUUUCUCUCUGUCUGACUUCGUUGCUGUGGUCUUUUCUAUUCUCAUAUAUUUCCUUUUAUUGUAUUUGUUUUAAAUCUGCUCUUUCUCCUGUAGCACAGAUCAUCAGUCUUUUAUACUAUUUGGGUUUGUGUUUCCCUUAUAUCUUGAUGCAAAUCAACCUGUAAUCUUGAAGAAAGAUGUGAUACGACCGCUGCGUUUCUUUCUCUAAUUGAUUUAAGCUGUUUAAGUCAUCUCCAUGAGCUCAUGUUUUUCGCUCCUGAAUCAAAAAUGUCUUACACAGCAUUAUAGCAUCAGUGCACAAGUGUUGUGUGUAGAGAGGACUGUAAAUAAAACAUGCUUGAGGCCGAGAAAAUGACCCACAUACACAGACAUGCUUCCUGCUGUGCAUUUUAUCCAUUUCACCCACUUGCCUUCGAUUUGAACAGCUCAGCCAGAACUUUUGGCCUUUCCUUUCUUUUACUAAGAACAGGCAAAAACAAAAUGAAUCUUUUCCUUGUAUUUGGGUCAAAUAUAUACAACAGAAUAUUGUUUGUUGAAGAUUUUAUAAACUCGCCCCUGACAGUCAGGAGCUUCUUGUGGUUGUGCCCACCAAACUCUUCCUCAUUCAGCCAUUACAUCAUUUGUUUCUAUACUCUGUCAAGCAUGACUGCUCGACAGCUCAUCCGUAUAAUUAAAAAAACCUUUAAGCAAUUUGCUGGCGAGUGUCUAAUAUUUUUAGCCCUGUCAUUAUUCCCAAUGCAUAGAUUGGCAUGUCAUGGAGGGAACGCAGUCCUGACAGCAUCUCACUCCCCGUUGUUCAUUUGGGGAAAAUUUGGGUAUAGGUAGCCAGGUUGGUGAUGGAGCUUUUGCCCAAUUUAUUCCUUCAAGUGUCAGUUAUACAGACAAAUAUGUGUAGCAUCAGUGUGGGGCGAGAUUUUGAGCCGUUACAGCCUGUCAACAUAGUGAGAGCGCGGUCAUUAAUCACCAUACAUUUGAUCAGAAUGCAGCAAACCUCUACUGUUUCCUGUGAUGGAAGGACAAUGGAAGGCUGUGUUAGAUCUUGUUCCACUAAUUAGGUUAGUCCAGCUAAUGGCCAUUUAGAUGGAGGAUAACAGGGAGGCAUUUUACUCCACAAAUGUGGGGAUGGAAGCUGAAGCUCUCGUGUAUUAAAAUAUACUCAAGAUAAAGAAGAAAGCUUACAGUUUUAGGUGACGCUUGCUUUGAACUUCUUAAAAGGUUAAAAGGUACCGGUAAAAUAUUUUUCUCUGCAACUGUGCACUCAACCGGGACAAAAAAAGAAACACUCAGCAGGUGUUUUCUUCUCUUUAUUGUCAAAGUCCACAUGUGAUAAGCCUGAAUUUGAAUGUUGAGUUGAAUGUGGAGUGGAAACAGCGAAUGUGCUACAAGUGGUCCAUAAUUUAAGUAAAAAAGCUUUUCUGCCUUGCUGUACACCUCAUAGUUUCAGCACAUAGAGCUCUUUUCAGAGAAAUGUUACCUACAUUCCUUUGAAAGGAACAACAGCCCACUGUACAGGGCGUGGGAAUAGAGAAGGGAAUUAAAAUUACAAUACCUGCAUGCCCAGCUGCCCAACUCAAAUUGCUCGGCUGUUAUAUGCUUCUCUAUGCAAUAUCCUGCCAUUGAGCUCUGUGCAAGGCGCGCUAAUAAUGAAGCUGUCUCCUGCGUAAGGAUUUCCGUGGUCAUGAAAAUUGGAAUAGAGGGAAUAUAUUUGUGACUGUACCGGCCCAAAUGGGCUAAGGGGCUUGCUAUUCCCCCAUCCAAAGGCACUGUUUUUGUGUCGCAUCCACUGAAAAUGGCUUCCCAGUUGCCUUGGCUUGAUAUUACCAAAAGCACUGGAAAAGUAGAAUUACUCAAGUGAUAUUGCAGAAAAUCUUCAAGGAAAAUAAAAUUUAAAAACAAAGAUGGUCCUUUGGAGUAACUCUGGGUGCAGUUCCUGUUUGGCUGCCAUUACAGACCUUUUAUGUCCUUCUAAAUGUGAAUAAAAUGUCUUUUGUCCUUACCAUGAGUGAGCAGCCACUGACAUGAGGAAUAGGCCCACUGCUUUAUACAGUCUUACAUGACAGGCUUUGUGACUUAGUCAAAAUGGAUUGCUACUUCAGCUCUGUCUGUGUUUGCGGGGCUCUCACAGGAAGAAAAUGAUUGACCCUGAAACAUAUUCAGUAUUUUCAUUUAGUUGAAGCCCUGGCAGUAGCAUUGUGUUUUAGUGGGCGGCAGAGACUCUUUGGUAGCAUUUGGCAUCUUCACUGCGAGAUAUGUUUUGGAAAAGUGAAUUAAAGAAGAGAAUUAAAGCUCCCUAAUUAAAGCCGAUAGUUGUAUUUCAUGGCAUCCUAUGGUGUGUUUAAUAACUUCUGUUCAUCUGUAUUUCCCAGGUAUAACAUUUAAGCGGUGAAGAUUUCCCUGCGAUCUUCCACAGACUGAAUUUAGGGGAAUCAUAGUGGUUAAAAAUUAUAAAUAUUACGGAUUCUGUGGAGGUGAAUAGAAAAAAUUAUGAUGGGAGGAAAACUGUCAGAGUUGGAUUUUUAUAUUCAUACUCAUUCACAGUGUACGCAUGAAUGUUUCCCAAUAUAUAAUCAUAUAGAAAUGUUUAGUUUUCUGAAAUGACAAGAAUUUUCCCCCAACUUUCACGACGUAGAGAAGGUCUGGGUUUGAUUUGCUGUGGUUUUUAGAUAUUUGCUGCUUGGGAUUCUGCCGUCACACUAUUGAAAUGCUAUUAUAUUUGAAAGCCUCAUCAGCAAUAUGUCUGUCUGGAAACAAUAGCCUGGUUACUUCAUGCAAUCCACAGACCCUGCUGGCCCCAGUUUUCAUUAGGGACUGUUUUCUAGUGGCUCUCUCAGCGCAUGACAUCUGAAAAAUUGUUGGCAAAUGAAACUGAAAAUAUCUGCAAGUCUGGAUGACUCUUGGGAAAGUGGAGCAAUAUGUUGUUUUCUUAUUUGUUUUUUGGUAGUUGUUUUUGUUGGGAAGCAAAUCUCAUAAAAUAUAAAAGCGUCUAUAAAAAGAAGUCUAAGAAUUUGGGAGGUUUCAUAUCAGAUGAGUUCUGAACACUCAAAAAAAGUAAACUACACACAAUUACACCAGUAUGUUUGGAUAUGUCUUUAGGUGUCUGGGGUCCUCAAACCCCAGAUCCCCCUUUUUUUAGAGGUGACCUGUGCACCAUGAGUGUCCUGUGGGCCUCAGUCACUCCCACACAGACACACACACAGCCUGAUGUGCAGCUCCAAAACACUCUGUAUAUUGCUGUAUCCACUGCCUAUAAGCAUGUACACAAACACACAUAUUCUCACAGCGUGGGCACAUCUGGUUUCCAGGACGGCUCUCAUGAAUGCAGACCUUUCAGCUGCCAGAACAGGGAGGCUAGUGGUGUUAAUGACUGGGGCAUACGAGGCUCCCAGGAUGAAAACGGUGAGAGGAUGCAAAACAGAGGCAGCCAUCACAUCUAAGAGGUAACACAAUCCAUCCAACAGGAGCAACCUGUGUGUGUGUGUGUGUUCAUGUGAAUAAAUGGCCGAAAGGGUUUCGGCCAGCUAAAGGUCCUUGGGGUCAGAGGAGGCUGCCCCAGCACCCCGGCACGUAUGUGCCAGGUCUGGCUUCCUCCCAAAAAUGCAGAGAGGUCAGAGCAAUUUCCCAGAGUCAGGAGUAGGUCAGGGUCCCACUUCCCUUACGUAUCAGUCAGCGAAGGAUGAGGAGGCGAGAGCAAGGCCUGGUCUUUGUAGAAUUACCUCCCCUAAUCCCGUAAGGGCUGCAGGGAAAGUAUGCUGUUGUUUUGUAGGGCAUGAGGUUACGUGAGGGGAAAUGUGGAAACCACAGACAAUGAAUUCUUUCAAGUCUGCAACUUAAAAUGCAAUUACUCCAUCCAGAAUAGGGCGGGGAAUAUGCUCACAGGUGUCAUUAUCUCUCUGGUUUUUGGCCCAGUCCCUUCAUGCUUUUUGUAGAAGUUGUUCUUUAGUGUCAGUGUGGCAUGUCACCUCACUUGGCAGCAGAAAUUGAACUUUCUCAGGAACUGAAGAGAAUACAUUAAGAGAGGAAGAGAAAACCAAAUAAGAGCUCAGUGGUGGUUUUAAGUAGUGAGCUUGCAGUUGAAGGGAUUAUUUUACAGAUUUGCUCAUUUUGCAGCAAGGUUUCUUCUUGACCCAGUUUACAACUUUCUCUCCCUCUCUCUCUCUCUCUGCUCCCUCUCUGUACAGUCAGCUUUGAUUUCCCACAGAAAGGUAGCAGUCCAAAUAUACCACAUUUUCAUUGCAGUUAGGUUACUUAGCAGGCUGCAUUAAAGCCCUCCUUGUGAAAAUAACACCUGUGAACACAAUGGUAAUGGAUAGUGCAGCUCGCUCCAACUACUCAUUAGCAAUAUCAAACCUGAUAGGAAUCUAAAUCCCUCUGUCUCUUGGUAAAUGUGACUCUGACUGUGGGUCAACAAACCUAAAAUGUUGCAUAAGAGCAAAGGGAGACAGCCUGAAUCCGCUUAUUAAAAUGGGAAAGUAAUUGGUGGUCCUACAGUGAUAAGUGUAAUGAAUUUAAAAACCUAUUGGAGACGGUUUUUAAUACCUCUGGAAGAAGGGAAACUCAGUUUGAGCGUCGACAUGUCCCACUUUUUUGCCCUUUUUUGAAAACUCUACUUAUAUGCUGCAGCUGUAUUAAGGGAUGUGGAAAAUCAUCCUACUCUUUCAUAUUUAUUUUUGUUUAUUUAUAAUUUUGCUAAACAUCGUUUCAUGUCUGCAACCUCAUGAUUCUGCCAAGCUAACAUCCAGCUCAUGUCAUUAGGAAUUAAUGAGUAUUUAGUGCCACAUAUAAAAAGCAUGUAUCCAGGGAUAGUUAUGUGUUCUGCCGCCUUGGGAGCCUUCUUCCUCGCUAAGAUCGAAACCCAUCAGCGCUCUGAUUUUUCCAGCUGCCGGAAUAAGUCUUUCACUGCCUACUCUUUUAGAAACCUUAUCCAAGUGACGACAGGAAAAAAGGAACAAGAGAGAAAAAUGUAAAUGCUUUUAGAUAAUUCCAAUACUAGAUUAAAUUGUGAAAAAAAAAAAAAAGCCAACAAAAAUUGGAAAAAUAAUUCCACUGCUGCUUUUGGUGUUGUGCUAACACAUUUCACUUGAUGCAUGAUUAGCUCCACAUCUGAAAUCACGACCCGGCAAGUCUGAUGCUACAACAAACAGGCAACCUGCGAGCGCCACUCGAGCUGUUGAUAACAAAAGCCAUCACCCUGUGCACCGCUAAGCAGUUACCACAUGAUUUUAUGAGAGCCACGCUCAUUUACGAGUGCAAUCAGUUGCAACCCAAUGCCCCAUAGGAUGUCAGUGUUAGCGCCCCUCUUUGUCCUAUGAUGAUGGACUGUCGGUUCAAUGGCGUUAUUGUAGCUGUAGUGGCCAUCCAGGGAGUAAUACAUUGAUAACAAUAUCAGCUCAUAAAGACGGGCUGUUGGAGAAAAGGUCACUCUUUUCUUCUGCCUACUAUAUCUCUCUCUCUCUCCUUCCCUCCCUCCCUCCCCACGUCUUAUGAUGUCUCUACGGAUUCUCCGUCACUCCCGCCCUCUCUCCUCUCUUCUUUCUCUGUAUGUGUCUCUCUAUCUUGCUCACUCGGGGUGACGACGGCUGCCCCUCGGUGUGUAAAGAAGCUGGAAUGUCAUGUUUUAACUGGAGUUAGAGGUAUGUUGACAGGCCAGACAGAGGGAACAGAUGGCAGUGUGACAUGCCCAAGGUCAUCUGGCAUGCUACUGUCGGGAGCGCUGGAUUUGAAACCCAACACUUUUCUUUUUUUUUUUCUUCUUCUUUUUUUUUUUUGCCUGCUUCCUUUUUUCUUUCCCUUGGAUUUCUCCUCUCCUGCUCCCUUCUCCCUCUAUUUACCUUUCGUUUUUCUUUCACCUCUAUCUCUGGCCGCUUUGUCCCCUACUUUUUUCCCUGCUUCUUAUUUUCCUUCUCCUCUUUCCUCUGCUUGCCCUGUCUCUAACUCCUUUUCUCUUUUUAUCAGCCCUUCCCACCUCAAUGUAGGUCACAAAGCCUCCUGUACAGGCUGCUGCCUAUCUCUGCUUAAACACACUGCCCCCUAAACUCUCCUGACUUCUCCAUUCACACACACACACACACACUUCUUCCACAUCCGAGUUUUGUCCAACUUCCUUUCCUCUUUCUCUCCUCUUCCUGUCUUUCUCGGUUGGAGUCACAUCAGCCCCAGAGCCAAAUAAAAAUCUGCCAAACUACUUUUGUCUCCUAAAGUCUUGCCCCAAACAGCGCUGUCAGCAGAGAUGUAGAAAGAAUCCAAAUGAGCUUUAAUUACCUGUGCAGCCAUGCCCAGAAGGUCGUGCACCGGAAAUCCCAACCACACCGGUACAGUAAGCAUGCCCUGUCACAACACAUGGCUUCUUUGUCUUCCAGCUAAUUUCCAACAGAAGCAUAAAGUAGACAGAGAAGGAAAAAACACACACAUAGAGGAAGAGAGAGGGAGGGAGGGAGGGUGGGUAGCAAAGGGAGAGAAGUGCUGUCUCUCCUCGCUGCCUUACCCUCUUCGUUGAAUGUUUUUGAGAGCGUGUGGAAAAAAAACCCCAAGAAGAAAAAUGUCCUCACUUUACCCGAACUCUUGUCAGAAGUGGACGUUUCAGCUCAGCAGGCAGAGCCGUUUGUCCCUAAACAACAUUCCCUUUUUUUUUUUGGGCGUGAUAAAGAAAACAUGGUGAUACAAAAAGGAAAGUUGGGAGCUUAAAAACCUUUUCAUUCAUGUGAUUAACAUUUUGGGAGCACCCAGCUUCAUACAGUACAGCAUGUUUUUUUGAUUUGCAUGUUUAUCAAGCAUGUCAGACAGUGCAUGUCCACCCCGCACAGAACGCUGUAGCCUCUCGUUAUAAUUUUAAUGUUCCCUUGUGGGACUCCUACGGUGCUUUAGCUCCAUUCGUAGCUUUCACUGGCUGCUCCCAGCGACACAAAGAGUGGCCUGAACAAAUCCUAACAAGCUGAGAAGGACACCAUGACAACAGCAGCCGCUUGAGGUGACAUUUCCUCCAACAAAUAAACACACAAAUUUGUUUUUUAAGGGACUUGGUUCAACUAGAUCUGCCUUCCCCCCUCUGAUCAGUGACUCAAAACACACUGUGUUGUGUUUAUUAGCAUGUGUGUGCACUUGGUAUUUGUAGAUGUUGUGUUUGUUGUUGCUGUAGCUCAGGCCCUGUGAUUAUGCCUGUCGUUUUUUGGCAGAGGGUUGUCUGAAUAUUAACAACAUAACAAUGCUAGGGCUGAUUAGCCUUGAACGCAGCAUAGACGGCAGAUCUCUAUCUGGGUUGAUACAGCAGUAAAAUCACGCUGGGAGUGGGAGAGAGAGAGAGAAAGCACACACAGAAAGAGGAAGAAGGGAGGAAGGGAGGAAAAACUGUUUCAAAUCUUCUCAUCUACAAAGGUUAUUUUCUGAAUAGUAAGUCUUUCAGCAUAAAACCGCAUGUUUUUCCUUGAAUAGAAAUAUGCGCAGCCACAAACAGAGAGCAUAUGGAUGUAUUUAUGGCACUGCUUUGUUCUUGCAGUGUUGAAUGUGUAAUGCUGAGUCUUUAAAAAAGCCUCUUUUCAUCUCUUGUUUUUUACUACGUUGCCCUGCUUUUUUACAAAGGCGUUAAACUUAGAGUAAAUAGAAUUACAAGGUAAAUUACUAGUAGACGCUGAUAUCAAUUGUUGCAAUUACACUUCAUAAACCUACUCGUUGCUUGGCACUCGCAGCUUUUUGCAGUCAUGGGAAUACAGGACAUUUUCUGUUUAGAGGAAAAAAAGAAGUUAAGAGCAAGUAUAAAAAGUCACGUCCAACAAAAGUUGAUGGCAGUCAAAGUCAGGGUCCAGAUUGACAUCUCGGUGAGCAAUUUGAUUUUGUGGACAACUCCAAAGUUGUUGCUUCGGCCAUUAAUCACCCGCCUCUGGAGAGGGGAGCCCAGUGGAGCACAGGGCCCUCUCUGUGCUUCUACUACCGACUGAAAGCCAAACCCAGCGUUCUUGAACAAUAGAUGCCCCAACGUGACACCAUUUUGUUACAGUGUGUGUGUGUCUGUGUGUGUGUGUGAGGGGGCAGGACGGAUUCUUGAAAGUACAGUGACACCUAAAGGCCUGAUCCUAUAGGCCGUCUCUGUCUCUCUACUUCUCUCUCUCUCUCACCAGCUCUUGACUCAAGGACAUGGUGAAAUCUGGCCCGAAAAAAAAAAACUGAUGAGUUUUCACUUUUACUGCACUUGAUAGUUCCAAGCGCUUUUACAGGGCAUCAAAUUCCUCUCCUAAUGACAUGCCUGGGGCUGCCUGCAGGAAAAGUGGCAUUUUCAUCUUGCAGCCUGAGCAUCUGAUUGGACAUUGGGUUUAGGAGCUGAAAAAAUGGAUGCUGUGCGAUUUUAAAAUGUUUUCUGCUAUUGGGACUGUGGUGUGGGUCCUGUUUUUGUGCCCUUAAACCAGUUAUUUUUCUUUUUCUUUCCUUACUUUGUUGUCUUUUUGGGGGGUUGUACACUGCAAAGGACGACCUUGUGUUGAAAAAGGAAUUACAAAAGUUUUUUUUUUCCUUUUUUUGUGCCUUCGAACCUACUAUUUUAAAAUGUCUCUAAUUUUCAUGGUAAUAUUUGGAUUUUUGGUCUAAUAUGGACGUGAAGUCCUAUCUUGUAUGAGUAUCUUGUCACUUUUUUUUUUUUCAUUUCUUUUUUUUUAUUUUAUUUUUUUUAUUUAUUUAUUUUUUGUCAUUUUUUCCCCCACAAACCAUCCAGUUUUUUCCCCCUGUGGUUGAUUUUUGUUGUAUUUGACAGUUUGCUAUUGGUAUUCAGCUUCUUUUCCAAAAUGAAUAUCAGAUUUUUUUUUCCUCAUUGAAAAUUCAACUUUUUUUUCUAUAUUUAUUUUUCUGGAUUUUUUUUUCUUUCUCUCCUCCAACUAUCCGUUCUGCCCAAAGUGGAGGUUAGUUUCUGCCUUUAUUAAUAUUUAUACAGUUUUUUUCUCACAACCAAGACAGUAAGGGUUUAAAGAUUCAAACUGUUAAUUAUAUAUUUAAAGGUUGUAUGUUAAAUUUACUUAUGUUUACAUUCACGGUUCCUGAAAACAACGAAUCAUCUGCGAUUUCGUUUCCCAUCACACCACUGUGUUAGACUCGUUUACAGUACAGAUCCUCUCUGUCUCUGGCUGUUUUUCUGUUUCUCACACGCACGCACUCACACACACACAUUCCCCAGCUGAAAAGCACCACUGUAGUGGUGAGAUCCUCACUGGGCAGCUCUUUGAUCUCCCUUGUCUCUUGUGUCCGCUUUCACGGCCAGCGCUGCAUGCAAAGCCAGUUUUUAAUAUGGCAACGCACCCUGGGUCCCAGAGUAACAAUAAACUUUACCUUCAACUGUCAGCAGGUCUUAAUCACUGGGAUUACUGCAGCACUAAAUGUUGGAUUCCUGUUCAUUUUCCUGCCGUUGAAAAAGGUAAACAGACCCAAAGAGAUAAAUAUCCUUUGGAGUUCGCAAUCACAUUUUCAUCACUUGCAAAUAUGGCACGGAAGUCAAAAAUGGGGAAAGAAUAAGCCUCAGUUUGCAUGAAUGUAGAGGUUCACAAUGGAAUUCUUUUUAGCUGGUGGGCUUUCAACCACAAAUGUACAAUCAGUCGUUCUCAUAGAGCCUUCAGCGGGGCUUUUAUUGGCUGACCUGUGAACAGCAGAGCUGGAGCUCAACAGGCUCACUAAUGGAGCUUUAGAGGCCUGCACACGCUGCAAAUGGCUGCAAGAUAUAGUGAGCAUGGGAUUGCUUCUGCGGUCUAUACCGAUGGAUGGAGUUAUCCAUUCAGGGUAGUUUCUCUGUAGGAGCAAUAAGAUGGCUAUGUAAGGAAUAUAUAUAUAUACUUAUUGUUAUUAUUACUAUUUUUAUUAUCACUCUGUAAAGGCAACAGUGUUCAGACAGUAUUCAUAGCCAUGAGUAGUAAAUAACAUGUUUAAAUGUUAAUAAAUAAAUGCUGUUUUAAAGAAAACUUAAGUGUUUUUCAUUAUAAAGUAUUAAGAUAAUAUAUGGAGACCAGUGUUAUAAUUUGCUGUCGUGUUGCAUUUUAAAUAUAUCCACUUAUUCUUCGGCUCUUCAUAUUUUUAUUUAUAAAAACCGGUAGGUCUUGUGCUUUAUGUGCCAACAGCUCUUCUAGUGUCAAAAUUGUAUCUCAUUGUCUCAACAUUUCCUCUAACAGGCAAAAUAUUUGAAAUAAGUACCAAUUCACACAACCUAAAAAUGGCGUCUAGUGGAGUGAAGUGUGCCGUUUCAGAAAGUGAGUCCGUGCUCGGCUGGAUCCAAAUAUUUUACCAUAGCUUAGCUGCUCCACUAAAAUGUGCACUCCAUUGCCCCUUCAUCUUGCUUUGAAAACACCACUGGAUUACGGGCCAUUGUCUCAGGAGUCAGGCGCCUUGACUCCCUGGCGACACGGGUCUGGUGCUUGUGUCAUGUGGUGAGGAGAGAGAGAGAGAGAGAGAGAGGCUUAAACAAUUCAAGAGUACAGACUCUUCUGCAGGCUCUGAAAGAUUGGGCCUGCAAACAAGUGUUCAUGCAUUUUCAACAGUGAUAUCACUCACAGGGAAUGCAAUUCAGGUUGCUUCAGAUGAAUACAUUAAGUAACGAGGAGCAGCCAUUUAUUUAGAUUGUGCUGUAUAGUCAAAGUUUAGGCUAAGCAUGCCUGCACUUUGGUUAGACCAGAAAAAAAUAGCUUUGUGGGUUUUUUUGUUUUAGUUUUAUUCUUAUUCAGACAAUUGCAAUCCAUGGAAGUGACCCCACUUCGUAUUUUUAGCACUUUAAAACAGAUUUGAAUGUAUGAAUAAACUCAUGCAAUCACAAAUAUUCCGGAUCCCUACAUGAAUAUUUUCGGAGAGAAUUUGUGUUUUCCUCAGACAGCAGGGAUUUCUCACACAUUUGUCUUUGGUUUUCCAUCGCAGCCCAGCAGUUAAGCGAGUGUUAUCCGGCAGACAUGUUCCCAUCACCCCUUUUCCCUUUUACUUAAUUGACUCGCAAUGAUUCCAGCUAUCAGAGUGUAAGCACCACGGAUAUAUGAUGGCCGUCUUUAUUGAAAUGAUUUCCAUGGAUGUUUGUCUCACUCCUGGCUCCAUGUCAGACUUUUAGGAGGAGAGACAGAGAAGGGGUAAAGACAGAAGGGGGAUGUGGGGAAAGGAGAAUAUGAAAUUGAUUAGUUAGCUGGAUGGAAAAUAAAGACUUCAUCAAGAUCACUUUGUGCAGUCUUCCCAAUCAGCUGUGAAACAAUACAGCCUUCUUAAUGAGGACAGAGAAGGUGACUGUGUGUGUGUGUGUGUGUGUGUGUGUGUGUGUGUGUGUGUGUGUGUGUGUGUGUGUGUGUGUGUGUGUGUGUGUGUGUGUGUGUGUGUGUGUGUUUACUUCUGUUGUUUCACUCAAAUGAAAGUGAAAGUGAUCAGAAAGAGAGAACAAACUGAAGUGUGUGUUGUCCCAGAUCCUUUACAUCUGCUUCAUUUUUUUUAUUUUUUAAAUUAAAAUCUGCAUUGCUGUUUUUUCUUUCUUCCCUCUGGCAAAGAACAAAAUGAAUUCCUUUUUAAAUUCUCAAUUGAGUGCUGUUGGAUUUAAUUUCUCAAGUCUCAUCAAACAUUAGAAGUUUAAUUAUGACCAACAUCUGAGGUGCCCCUUUUUUUUAACUCUGUAAAAAAAAACACAACUGUUUGGACUGCAGCAAAUUGAAUUAUAAGUAACUGUAUCAAAAAGUCUGGCAACAAUAAUUAUCCCUACAAAGACAGAACAUCAUACUUUUAUACAAAAUUCUGUCAAUUUUAAUCCCAUUCAAAUGUUUUAAAAAUGAUAUUAUAUUGAAUAUUUAUUGACAUUCAAAAUGUGUUUCUUCGAGCAAUUACAAUCCCAUCAAGAAAUUCUUUUAAAGUAUUUAUUUAAUUCGGGGGGGUUAAGAAAACUCUAAAAAUGACAUAAAAAAAAGUCAAUACCUGUAGUUAGUUGGAUUCACUAAACUUAGAAAAUUGAUGCAAUAUUUCUUUUAAAUCCAAGGAUAGAAUUUAAUCUUAAAUGAAGUAUUUUUUUUAAUUGAACAAAGUUUGUAUUUGAAAAUAUAAAAAAAACAAAAAAAAAAACAGAUAUGUCUAUAUUUUUUCGACCAAACAGUCCUCGUAAGAUUUCUUUAUCUCCUUUUUUAUACACAAAAUUGAAACUGGCUCUUACAACUUCAUUGACGUGGCCGCUUGUGAGCUUUUGCUGCAUUUGAUUUGAUAUAUGUUACUUAAUACAGUGGUACUGUGUUUGACUUUGAUAAUCUGUUUUUAAGUAUCACAGUGUUUAUAAAGCUAUUGGAAUGUUGAUUAAAUCAGAUUUUCACAUUAAAAACAGUUUAAUCGAUGCCGCUAAGAGAAAACAAACCAUCUGUAUAUCAGUCUGUUGGUGAUUCAUGGUCUUCAUCAGAGUCACGACGCUCCCAUCAUGAAUUCACAUCAUGUAUUCAGCUAUAUAAUCUCUACCACAGGAUCAUUAGCACCAGACCUGCACUAUAUACCUGAAAACACUGAAAUUAAUCUAAUGAUGCUGCAGUCGAGGCACGAAAAAGAUACAAAACAUUAGACACUAAAGUAAUAAUAAUUUUCGGGGCAAAAUAAAAUGUCCCUGUGGUGACGAUGCUAAUAAAUUAAAAUAAAUUUACAGAGCAAUCAUAGCCAAACAAAAGAAUAUAAUAUUCUCAAUUUUCUAAAUUUGCCUCUCUUUUAGAGCCUCUUUAGCUCAUCAUCAGGGUGCCAAUAACUCUGCCAGGCACUGUAUUUAUAACACUUCAAUACACAAGACCACCAUUUAAAGGCUAAUUGUGAAGUUCUUAUUAUCAACACCACGGACAGUUGUGAGAUUCAUUAAACUCAAGUCUCCAACUGAGAGAGGGGAGAUAUGCACCAAACUGGGGCAUGAUGCAACAGCCAAUCCCAAUACAGCCCAGUCAAAUGAGCAACCAAUCAGGAGCCUGCUCCAGGUCAUGCUGACGAAUCCCUACGAACUUUUUUUUUGUGUGUUGGUUCCCCCUCUCCUGACUUAUCUCUAUGCUGAUCGAGUAUUCUGACUCAAUGUGAGAAUGGCUGUAUUGCCAUAGUGUUGCUGUAACACUCUCCCCUCCCCUACUUAUUUUGGUACGACAGAGAAACUGCGGCCGACUCCUGGAAGAAACCCUGUGGCGACUGCUAUUUAUAGGGAAGGGACCAGAGUCAUAUUUGCAUCUGGAGCUUAUGAGACAGAGAGAGAGAGGGGGAGAGAGAGAAGCGUGACGGAAACAGUUAAUUUAAAAAAUAUAAUAUAUCCUGUUACCCAAGUCAUUUCUUUUCAGGACAAAUACAGACAGAAAGAGGAGAAGUAGGCAGGAGUGUUAGACUUUGUCCAGAUUCUCUUUUCUUGCCCGUAAGGGAAAAAAACCCACCUUGAAAUAAGACAGGCUGACCUAAAUUGAAUUAAAUCGAUUUGGAUUCUCCUGAGCCUGCUUUUUCCACAGUGUACACAGUAUUAUCCUCGAUUUCCUGUGACAGCGUCAUGAGCAGUAUGCAUUACUCAGCUCCUCAUAAAAAAAUACUCCGGAGCUACCGCAUCGAUUCUCCUACUUCAAUAAUUGAGCCACCAAUGCAGAGCAAUGACGUCCCCAUUGUUCCCGUUUGUUCCGUUGAAAGUGCAUCUCCCUCAAGGCCUGCCAAUGGUGGGGAAAAUCUGAGGCCUGUUUGCUCAGAGUGAGUGACGUUUGCCAUUAGAUCAGCAAAAUAUGAAUAGCUUCUGAUUCAGAGGACAAUCCCCAGAUCUACUCAUGCAAACCACAAAGCCUAUGUGCUGAUUAAAACCUGGAUAGUCCAAGGAUUCAGGUUUGAAUUCUUAUUCAACAAAGUGAAAAAAAAUAAAAGAAAAAUAAAGCUGCUCUGAUGGCUUUCACACAUUUCAGCCUAUGUUCGUUCACCCUGUUUGAAGUUGCAUCCAGAGCUCGUACGUGAUCUGCGUGAGGCUGAAAAUGUGAAGCGGUCUCCACGAGAAGGGGCGCAAAAUACACACCGCUGGCUACGUCACUGUGAGCAUCACAGAGGAGUGUAUUAGAUCACUGCACCUCGCUGGCAUGCACAAAAAACCUGGAUUGUCCAAGGAGGGUUACUUCUUAGAGAGUGGACAUCCACAUUACGACCACUGCAGCCAAAAUAUCCAAGCAACGAUCGCAGGAGCAGACUUUGAGCAUGUUAGGGUUCAUCGACACAUUAAGACAGCAUAACCGAGGAGUGAAAGGAGUUGUGUUUCAAGGCUGUCAAAUGAGACCAUUUACACCACUGUUGUCACAUUUUUUUUCUUCUUUUUGUAUAGGAGGGGGUAAAGAUAUAAAUAUGUUAAUGCAUGUUUACCCCUAUUCACCACAAGGGCACGGGUGCAUUGAGUGUGGUGCAGCCCAUAGUUGUGUGGUGGUAGAGGGGGGCUGAAUGGAGAAGGAGUUAAGAGAGGAGAGGCAGAGGGAGAAGUGGGGAUAAAAAAGAUGGAGGGAGUGAGAAAGGGGGAUGGGGAGGGGGGAGGCGUAUACAUUAUUAACUACGACUUCAUCACAUGUUCCCAGUUUCUUGGGGACUUAUUAUUCUGAGGCGCUUUAAUGAAUAACAAGAACAGAGGGCAGAGGGAGAGAAAGCAAAAGGGAGUGAUUGAUGAAGCAAGUGCAGACACCGCCACCAGCUGGCUGACUCCAGUACUUCUCCACAAACAGGACUAACAAGGAGGUAUACAGUUUAUGAAAAUAGUCACACAGGGCAACAACUUUUAAAGUGUCACUGGCAUUAACAUUUGACAAGGUCUCAGCCUGCCCCGCCGCAUAUAGAUUGGGAUUUGCUUUGUCAAGGAUACUUGUCAAGCAGAUGCAUGACAACCAGAUUUCAUGAGCUCUGCGCUACAGAGAGGUUAGACGUCGAGGCCGGCACUUUGCAAAGCAUCCUGGUGAAUGUUUGUGUGUGAGUAAGAAAGAAAGAAAGUGUAUUUGAGUUGAAAAAUAGUCUUUGAGCUUGUGUAUGUCUGUGUUUGCAGGUGUGUGUCUGCCUGUGUUUGUGCGAUUGCAAAAGAAAAUUGAAGGGUAAGAUUUGCUGUAUCCAAGGUGACCGCUCUAUUUUUUUAUUUCUUUGUCAGUGUUGGUGGGGGCGUACCAGAUCACAGGCGUCCUACUUUCCACGAGUUUAUCCUCUCACAUAAGAGAAAUGGACUUUAUUGUGUAAUUCCCUGACAUAUUACUCAAUGUCUGCCGGUCUGUACAAACACAUCAAAAGAGAGAGAAAGAAAAAAAAAGAGUGACAAAAAGAGACUCUAUUCUUAAAUGUCCAUUAGUUCUUGUAACCUUUGGCCAAAUCAAUAGGUUGAGCUUUAAACUUGUCUCAUAGAGUCAGCAAUGUAAUUUUGUGAACGCUCCCUGUGUUUGAAUUGUAUUAACACCGUGCACAUUUUGUGAGCCUCUCCUCACUGUCGGGCCCCAGGAAGAAGAAAAGAGAAGGAGCUAGUGCCGGAGAAAGCGUGAGGACCUUCGGUAAAGGAAAAAAGGAGGAUGUGAUAUCAGAGGUUGUCAGGUCUGUUUACAGAGUGGCAUGAUUCAGCACUGUGCGCUCACUGCUGCUGGCUUUCAUUUGGACUCAGGAGAAAAAGCACAGCAUGUGUUAGAAGAGCAGCGAAGGACUGAGAGGAGAACAGAUUUGAUGUGUUUACCUUAAGUCUUCAUCUGCAUCCGUGUCCAGAUUGCUGUCUGCUCUUGGUUACCUCUGCUCCUUUUAACUCUUUCCAAACAUUUGAACAAGUUGAUGCAUUUAACACAUAAAUACAGUCUCUGUUUUUUUUCCACACCAGUUUUUAAAAUGAUUUUUCAUUGAAAUCUAAUAACUAGUAAGUCGCUCCAAGUUCAAGUUUCAAUUGAUGUCAUGAUUUAGUUAUUCAUUGCUUCCAACAAGCCUUUACCCUUGACUUGAUCAUUUUUCAAUAUUAAUUCACAGCUCCUAAUGAUUAAAUACACAAUGCACUAUAAUUCUUUACAAGUAGGUUACUUUGGCAUACAAUGAUCAAAAAGUCUGUUCUCACUCCAAGUUAUGAUAAAACAGCUAAAAUAUAUUAAAAAGGACAUUUUUAAACUCAUUUCAUGAGAGCAAAGCAUAAGAGCAUUUUUUUAACCUCACAAUUAUUGUGGCCUUAAAAAAAUCACAAUAACCUUAUGAUCCCAAAAUUUGUGGUAACUCAAAUUAAGAGACGUGAGAGGGAAGCAGGGUGGAGCAACACAUUACUUCACAAACAUAACUUUUUUGCCUCUAUUAGUCGGAAAUGCAGGAAGACGCGCACAAAUGAUCGUGGCUGUGAGUUAAACUAGCAACCGCUGCAACGGGGACAGUGACCACCACACAAAAUAUGAACACACCAGCUCAUAGGCCAACCACAAGUCCACUUCAUAAACUUCGCUGAUAAACCUGUCUCCUUUACAUAUCAUUAUCUACUUCUAAUGAUGUUCAGUUACGUCAUUUACAUCACUAGCCCUGUAACAGUUCCAUCUAAUUUAACAAAAACUCACAGUGAAUGUUUGUGACUGUUCACGCUACAGAAAUCCAAAACACACAAGUUCACACAAGUAUCGCGGUUUUUUUUUUUUUACAAUUUUUGAAUCGAUUUUAAUGUUCAAGAACUGAUAUUUUCUUUCAAAUUUAAGAAUAAAUAUAAAAAACUGACUUACAUGUGAUGUUUAUUUUUUGGGUAAAUAUGGUUCCUGGAAUAGCCAGUAGACAAUCACAAUCAUUCAACUGUUUCACUGGUGUUAAAAAUGCAGAUUAAGAAUCGAGAAAAUUGACAAUAUCGUAGAAUCCGAGUUUAAAUGGAAUCGACAUCCAAAAAAUCGUUGAAAAAAUUGAAUCAGGAGAAAAGCAUAUCGUCCCAGCCCUACUGGAAAUGAUUAUGGAGUAUGCCAUAUGUGCUUUCAUUUAUCAUCUCUCACGAUCAAAGAGGUGGGUCACCCACAAUGAGGCUCGGCUGGUGCAUUUGUAUUAUGCCUAUUAUUCCCUAGUUUCACCAUCUAAGUUGGAGAGAUUUUCUACUUCACUUUAAAUGAGAUUUAUUUUUAUUUUAUUUUGGACUUACAGUCAGACCAAACAAACAAUCCAAAUAUAUCAAAUAUAUCAGCUUCACAUGGUCUGAGCCUUUUAUCAAACAUUUAAGAGACUGCAUCAUUUAUCUCUUAGAAGUAAGAGCAGAAUAAUUGUUAAAUAAAAUACAAGUUUCAGACACACAGAGAGAAAAAAGUUAUAAAUGUUAAAGCCAAGCUGUGUAUCAAAACAUCUCAAAUUGGCAUUGGGACCUGUUGCCCUCGGUGACACCACAGGAAGUGAAAACAGCAGGAAUGUUUGCAUUGAAGAAAGACAGGGGCGCAUUAAUAAGGUUUCAGUGUGUUCUCAGUCAGCGCCUCGGCUUUGAUGCCCCUCCAUAUCAGAAGCAACAUGGAUGGCAAAAGUUAGUGAAAGAUGACAUCUUGUCAAAGCUUGAAUACCAGCCGCUCAGUAAUGGCUUUAAAACUUGGACAGUCAGUCUCCCACAAAUGACCACAGUCUGGCCUGGUCCUUGUCAGCUUUAUUUUGUAACUCUAACCCCAGCUGCAGCUGUUUUUCGCAGCCCUUUGAUUCCCUUUUUUUCUUUUCAACAAUCGGGCCAACUGGUACUGUGUUGCACAAAAGGCGGCUACUUGUCCCCUCUGAUGUGUGACAGCUUAACUGUUUCUCCGCUCGGCAAAGACAGAGUGCGGCAAACAAGCAGCAAAGUCCCAGGGAUUCAGCUGGUGACUACCGACAGCCAGACUUCAUUGAAGUGGCUUACCCUGUUUAUUACACGGGGUCAGAGGUCACACAGGGCCUAAUAACCUCAGGCAGGGCAUGCAGACAUGCCUGGCCAGAAAGAAAGAGCUCUGGUGGAAAAAGGCGGCUGUCGUACUUGUUUCCUGAGAAGAAGAAAGACAGAGAGAGCUGGUAGCAUUUGACUUUAAGAGUUUUGGGAAUUGGGACGGUGUGCACCUGUAACCUGUCACUCAAAGCCUGUCAUCACCCAUCUCAGCCAUUCAUCAUGUUGGUAAAAUCAUUAAUCUCAUACCUUCCCAGGAGCAACUGGUUGCAGACGGUAUCCAUCCCUGUCUUGUUCUGCGAAGCGAUACCUUCAUCUGUUCAUCUUUGGUUCUGAGGCAGCUUAAACACACUGACAUUAGAGUCUCCAGUCAGUGUGGGAAAAAAAAACAAAAAACAACUCUUCUUUUUUUGUCCCUAGGUCGUAACGAGCUUUUGCAAUAAGCAGAGACAUAUAAAUAUAUCAGAGGGUUCUUCAGGUGAUGAAAACCACAAUGAGUUCACUAACACCCUCAAGACUAAAUCAUCUAUCAUGUUGUCCUACAAGACUGGACAAAGAGAUCACACGCCCAAACCAGAAAGCAAUGGGUUUGUUCGCCUGCUGCAGCAGAGGUAAUCUCCACAGACUUGGCUUUAUUGCCUCUCUCAGCCCUGUAAUGAUGUUAGGACUCUGGGCUGCUUUGGUUUGUCGGGCUCCGGCUCCCCAGCCAGCCUCCACUUGGCUUUGGGGAAGAAGCUGAUAUUGGCCAGACUGCAUGAGAACCCCCCACCCCCCAAACAGGUUAAUGCUCAGUUUAUACUGCAGAUACACAUAAUGAAAAUAUGCAUGUCCACACACACGCGCACACACACUUGGGCGUGCAGAUGAAUACUUUUAAGAUAGGCUACAAAAAGGUUUACCCUCAUUUAACAUUUGGUUUUCUCCAACAGUUUCUCAUGUUGACUCACAUAAAUAUUUCUAAUGGCUGCACCGAUACACUACAUCAAAUACUUAAAAAAAAAGUCUGGUGUAUCAUUAAUUCCCCAAAUCAGCCUGGUAAAUUUUGUACUUUGAAAACUUUGAUAACUGCUGAAAUCAUACUUCAUGUGUCUGAGCAAUGUUUGGCUGCACAGCAUGAGUUUGUACUGACUGUCCCGCUGAUACACUGCAGCUUGUUAAAAGAUUUUCAAUAUAAGUUAAGAUUAAAGGAGAAGAAAACACAACUCACCACUGACUUUUUUCUUGCUACUUUGGCCAUCAUUACCAGAGGUUAUGACAAAAAUAGAUUUAGAUGUAAAACUGCUUGGAUCUGUGAAGAUGACUACCUGACUACUUAAUUUAUGAGGAUAAAAGUGACAAGCAUCUACGUUAUAGAAAAUGCCAAUCCUUACUCUUGUAAAUACAGACGGAGUGAACGUUUCUCUUUGUGUGUCUUUGCUUUCUAUUUCUAUUAUUUUCAGUUAUUUUUCACUUUGCUAUCGAUUUCUUUUAUCAAGUGCUUUUGCCAUUAUCACAUUGUUGCACAAUAACUUUUCACAGUAUCUUAAUUUUUCAAAAUUAAUAAUAAUAAUGCAUCGGAUUUCAUAUAGUGCUUUAUCAGAGACCCUCAAAGCCCUUUACAUUGGAUACAUCAUUCAUUCACUCACACCUCAGUGGUGAUAAUCUACCUCUGUAGUCACAGCUGCCCAGGGGCAGACUGACGGAAACGUGGCUGCUAGUUUGCACUCACAAUCAUACACACUGGGAGCAAGGUGGGUUGAGUGUCUUUCCCAAGGACACAACAGACAGACUUGGGAUGGGGGGGGAAUUGAACCGCCAACCCUCUGGUUAUUGGACGGCCAUUCUACCUCCUUAGCUACUGAUGCCCCACACACAGCUACUGUGUGUAUUUGUCACUUUUUCACUUCACACCAAGCUUUAAAAAGCUGAGACAAGAAUGUUUUUAGAUGAACUAGACCUGAGAAGUGCUAUAUUUUGAAGUCUCUAAAUUGACAUUAAUACAUGAGUCAGCCUGUUACUCAGUCCUCUGAAGUGAUAAUUAAUAUUGUACUUUAUUUCUAUUUAGAGAAAGUAUGUUUGAACUUUUCUUAUGAUCCAUUUCUUGACCUGCACAACUUCUUUCUACGCAACUCUCAGUGUUCCCAGGCAAUCAGCUUUGUUAGUGCAAACCUGUUAUUACAGAUUAUAAUGGCCAAAACUACAUAAACAAACCCCUCAGUUUAUGGAGCAGAAAUUUCCUUUUAAUAACAGAGUGAGUUUGGGGGAAGGGGCAGAGUGGGUGUAAAGGUGUUCGAGCACAUGUUACUGUUGCCAAACAACAUGAAAUAAAUGAUGCAAUUACUUAAAAGGCAGGACACAUCCUUCUACCAAAUUGCACAGCUGCGGCCUUGUGUGUGUGUGUUCGUGUGUGUGUCUGUGUUUGUGUUUGGCUGCUCGUUCACAUGCUCUCCUUUGAAUUUAUCAUGUCACAUAAACUCAUAGUCGCUAAACUCUUCAGGGGGCCUUUUUAAGAGCACUCUGUGUGUACUCUUUCUCACACACACACACACAUCUACUCUGGCUUCUAGGUUCAACAGUUCACAUGGUCACCUUGUGAACUAUCCCUCAACCUCCGUGAGACAUGAGUGGCCUCUCCCCUCUCCAGAGCAAAGGGAGGACUUAAAUGAAAUAAUAAAUAUCCGCAGUAUGGCUCCCUCUUGCGCACCGGGCCACUCUGACCCCUCUCAGGAUCUCCUAAACCAGGCAGGAAGAGCCAACAAGGGGGCAGGGGAGUGGGAGGAUGUCGGGGAGAGAGGGGCUACGUGCUGCUCAGGUGACCCAGGAAAUGCCUGCAGAAGGCUGCGGACCAUCUGAUUGUGGCAGUGGUCAACAAAAAAGCAGGAGCUUCAGCUGAGCCAGGGUGAGCAGCUCUAAGCCAAGCAGCUGGCAGACAUCAUAGAAAAUGUGUUGGUGUGCUGUGGACAAAGCAGGUCAGCAGGGUUAUGAUCCAGGAGGGACAGAGAAAGGUGGAAGAGGCAAUGAACUCCAGGGAUAGAAAUGAAAAUAAACCGUGGAAAGAAAGGCAGGAGAGCGAGGACUCACCACAGUGCAGUCCCGUUAGAUCAACAAGACAGAAGCAACUUUUUGAGACAAAAUGUCUGAAUCAGCUCAUAAAAGUACAAAAAAGGAAUCGGUCAAGAGUUAUUCAUGAAGCUGAUGCUCCAGGGAGCUCCAAACAAGUUCUUAUUACGUUUUCACUCAUUCAUCACUUCUUGGAAAGUAUAUUAUUUUUAACAAGUGAUAUAUCUUAACUCCUUUUGAUCCUCUAAUGUGUCCUUGACCCCAAACAGGACACCAUAGGAGUGACGUCUACAGGGCCAGUUGCUGUGGUCCAUGAAAACACAGUGUGGGCGAGCCCCCUCUCUACGAGGCCUCAAGUUCAGAGCUGUUAAAACAUGAGAGGACAGCAGGAUUAAGUGAAAACCUACAGCUGUGGCUUGUGUUUGUGUGAGAGAGUGUGUGUGUAUAAGAAGGUAGGAAAGGAUACAUAAGAUUAAAAGGAUGUUGGAUUAAAUGAUUGUCAUUCUCAUUGGUAUGUAAGGUGGUUUGCGCGUGUGUGUGUAUGCAUAUGGUUACUGGCAAACAGAAGAAGAGUGUAAUUUAACCAGGAGGGUUUCAGUCAUGAAUGUGGGGAUAUGUGAAUGUAAAUGUAGGUGUUGGAUGAAAGUCAUGAGGAUCAGAUGACCUUCAAUACAGGUUAUGUGUAAACACCCACAGAGAAUAAAUAUGUAUGUGUGGAUUCCUGUGUGUGUGCAAACCCACACAUGUCCAUUCCUCCCUUAUCUGUAGACGUUAUCGCAGUAAAAACCUUACAUGAACCUAAAUCUGAAACUUAAAUUACACCCUAUACGUUGUUAAGUUUUGCCAAAAUAUGCAGUGUCCUCCAAGUGAGCCCUGGCAUCCAAACUAAAACUGAAGUCGUACUUUCAGGGUGGUUCUGUGAUGGUAAAUAGAUUCAAAUAAUUAGACGAAAAUUAAAAAUGGGAAAAGAAUUCAAACAUGGCAGCUGUGCUGAAUAGUCCUCUACAUGCUGAACGAAAUCCAAUCCCAGCUUUCCGCCAAAAGUUGUGCCAAAAACCCAAAAUCUGAGUAUUUCACUCACUAAGCUGACAUCCAACGUGACAUCCACACAUCACGAAGUGAGCUCAUCUAAGCAGGGGGAAAUCACACUGCUCUGUGUUUUACUUUGAUUGCAUCAUAUUUGUCUUGCUCAACCCUUUUUUUUUUUUAUGUAUUUAUCCCAGCGAGACCUUUUUUGAUCUUAGUCCUGAU
This 96013-nucleotide long non-coding RNA is filed under the name Xyrichtys novacula (pearly razorfish). The record is from RNAcentral. Lineage: Eukaryota; Metazoa; Chordata; Actinopteri; Labriformes; Labridae.